AUUUCAUUGGAGAGGAUGCUGUCAUGGAUGGAUAAUGACACUUAUGUUGGUUAACCCAACCUACACGCGAGAUUUUUUCGCAUGUGUGUUGGGAACUUUUAAUUGGCCAUUCCCUUGUUCUUGCACACUGUACCUUGAAACUAUGUGAAUUACUGUAGUCUAGUUAGAAGUACAGUCGUGUCGGGGCUUCUAUUUUACUCUAGCUUUUUAAUAAGUCUGUUGUCUUUUGAGAACAAAAUGAUGUUCGGUUAUGUUAUUUCUGAUGUAACCAUUAAUUAUUGUUCUAUGUACUAUCGAUGUGGUGUUGCAUCUUUUCCUGAGAAAACAUUUCAAGGUAAAAACAUGUGCCCCUAUCUAUGACAUGGUCUUUAGGACCAAUUUAUCAGACACACCUUAGGGCGAAUUCAUACAUUAUAUCUAUUAUAUAAAAAAUUUCUUGAUGGGAUAACCAAAAAAGAGAAAUAUUCUAGAAAAAUUGCACAAAAAUUGGAAAUAUCCGACCGUUAAUUUAAUAGACUAAAAUUAUACAGCCAUUAGAUUUGAUUUAAGUGACUAAAAUUAUACAGCCAUUAGAUUCGAUUUAAGUGACAAAAUUACCCAACAUGCCAUUAUGAUGAUGAGAUCCUCCUUCACCCCAUGACGUCAUCAUCAUUAGACUUGAUUUAAGUGAAAACAAUUACCCACCAUGCCAUUAUGAUAGAUAACGUGGUCUCUCCUCCCCUAUUGCCUUCCCCCUUUUGAGAUUGAUGAGAAAAAGAUCAGAUCCUAGGUUAAAAAAAGAGAAGAUAUCGACCUUCACCGUCGAACAUGAUAAUCGUUUUUUUCCCACACAUCGAUUGUUCCAUCUCCUUCCAAUCUAGCAGCGGGAAAAAAGAGAUGAGACACUCCUUCAUCCCGUUGUGUGGCCAUCAAUUUUCUUUCGUGCCAUCAACUAGUUCUUCUCCUUCCAAUAUAGAUUUGGUGGAUGGUGCUUGAUCGAUCAAAAACUAAUCAAACGACCAUGCCUGGGAAACUUCAUACGACUUAUAAAGUAAGGAAAUACCAAAGCACUACAAUGUUUUUAAUCCAUGCUAUUAAAGCCUUUGUUUGGUAUAAUUGAGUCAUCUUUUUUCAUCCAUGUGAUGUUAGGGGAAAGUCCAGAAUUGUUCCGGAUAGUGGCGGAUAUUUAUGUCUGGCCGAAUGGAGCCAAAUUUGGUGGUUCCAGUGGCCGACAUGGCGGCUCUUGGUUGCACCUGGCCGGACAGAGCUGAACACGGGCGUUCAUGUGGGGGACUUGGUGGCUGCCAUAGUGGCUGAUGUUACGACAGCAUCAACCUGCAGAUGAAAGCUGAUGCCGACAUGUGAUCUACUACUGCCAUGCAAAAAAAGUUGUGGAACUUGAGAUAAGGUGGAGAACCUGAUAACUAAUUACUACAACAAAGCACAAAGAGAAGAGGAUGGAGCAAUUGAUGCAAGCUCAGAACAACAAUUAGCGAUUGAGAAGAGGAUGGAUUAAUUAAUACAACCAUGAGAAGAGGGCGUCUAGGUGCACAGUCAGAGAGGACUCAUUUUCCAUGGGGAGCACAGUCGAAGUAUUACACAAGCUUCCAUUGGGAGCAUUCAUUUUCCUGCCAUACAUUAUUUUGCUCUCUUUAUAGGAAGAUGCAUUAAUAGUAAACAUGAUCAUAGCCACCUUUGUGCAUCAGAUCUUAGUGUCCUCAAGUGUGUUGUGUUGUGUGAUAAACGAUAUAACUUGGGGGCUAUUUUUGCGAGGAGGUUACGUCUUAAUGCUCUAGAUGGAGAUUCAUUUGGUGCGAUUUAUGCAACCCGUUUAGCUACCUAUCUUCGAGUACCCAUAAGGGGGAACGAUAUUGAGUUACCACCUGCUUUUCUUGAUUAUAAUGCUUUGGUUCGCUAUCAGUUUCUUGUGAGGUACGAGCAGUCCCUCCUAUACCGACUAAUCUUUCACCGGCGGCAUGCUCGCCAUAUUACUCUUCCCGCUCCUGCCUUAUUUAACUUUCAGGUAAAAGGGAGAUAUUUUAUAAUUAGAGAGGAGGCGAACGAGUACGAGAGAGAGGCGGAGACCGCUCGCCUCCACACUGUAGCACUUCAGGCAGUAGCUGCCGCAUCCCAGUACAACCCCGACUACAAUUUUGGAUAUCCGCCAGGCCAGCCAUGGCCCUAGACCAACUUAGGCCAAAAGCCUAAGCUUGGGGGAGUAUGUAUUUCUCACCAACAUUACAUUCAUGUUCACACACUCAUUUCAGUUGUCAGUGUUCAUACAUUUUCAUUGUAUUAUCCAUGCUAGUUUAUUUUCCUUUUUCCUACUUUCUUCUUGUGUGUUUGAAAAACCUUAAGAAAAACCAAAAAAAUUAGUUGUAGCUUAUUUCCUUUGCAUGUUUGUUUAGUAGUAUUAUUAAAGAAAACCCAAAAAGAUUUCUCGUUCUUAUUUUGCUUGUUGGGAGCUUUCCCAUGUAAAUAGUUUUUCUCGUUCUUGUUUUACUUUCUUCAAAAAACAAAAACUCCAAAAACAUUUCAGUGUGUUUCUUUGAAAUUCUUUUCUUUUCUUUGGGGGUCGAGAGGAGAAGACCACGAUGAAAAUGUUGAGUGGCUCUCAUAUGCAUUAUUGUUGAUCUAACAAAGAGUCCAUAUUACCUUGUAUUCUCCUUUGAAUAAAUGUUUGCAGAGUCCAGCUUAGUCCAAUGCACGUGCACUAUUAUUAUUAUUCACACCGUUCGUUCGUGCAAGUGAAAGGCCAUAAUGACGAUAUAUGAUGAAAUGAUUGAGAUGAGGAAAAGCAGGUAUGAACUCGACCUAUCUUGUUUUUGUAAAUAUGAUUAGUUCAUCGUUCUUGAUUCAUAAUAUUAUGAAUGAGACAUGUUUGCAAUGACAAUUAUAGAUUAUAGUGAUUCAUGCCAUGCGUAAUUAGCUAUGAGUUUAUAAUGGUUUACCUUGCGUGCCAACAUGCUUUUAAAAUGGUUGUGAUGUAGCAUGAUAAGAUGAUAUCCUCCUUUGAAUGAUUCGAGUGGCUUGACUUGGCACAUGUUCACGCAUGUUGUUGAAACAAAAUCAACAUAGCCUCCACGAUAUUUAUGUUCAUGGUGAUUUAUAUCCUACUCAUGCUUGCACUCAAUGUUGGUUAAUCUCAAUGCAUGUUUAUGACUGUUGUCGCUCUCUAGUUGGUCGCUCCUCAAUCUCUUGCUAGCCUUCACUUGUACUAAGCGGGGAUACUGCUUGUGCAUCCACUUCCAUAAACCCAAAGUUGUUCCAUAUGAGUCCACCAUAUGAGUUCCAUCACCAAAGCUGUACAACCUCCCCCCAUGGAAGUGCAUGAAGACAAAGUACAUACACAUGAGCAUGCUGAUUCAAGGGCAAAAACAACCGGGAAAUAAUAUUAACCCGUAUAUGGGGCUUCUGAAAGAGGAGGUAGACACGUUAUGGAAAACACUGGCAUGGACAUGGGACGCCAACAAAGCAGAGUAUUUUUAUAUGCGAGUCGCGCUGAUGACGACGGUGCACGACUAUCUCGGUUACGGGUACACCUCAGACCAGGUGUGCCAUGGAUACUGCGGAUGCAUGAGGUGCAUGGAUGAUACAACGUCUCAGUAGCUUACGUCAACGAAAGAUGGCGGGCCUGGGAAAAUUGUGUACAUGGGGCAUCAUAGAUGGCUCGAGAAGGAUGACCCAUGGAGAAAACAUGGAGAUCUAUUCAAAGGUUUGGCUGAGCAUCGAGGACGUCCACGUAAGAGGAGCGGCGCCGAAGUCAAGGGCUGUUGAAAAACUUGGAACAGUGCCCCGCAUCGGGAAAGAUGAAAAAGGCACCGAAGCCGCUGCUGAAGGUAUGGAAAACGAGGUCUGUUUUCUGGGACUUCGAGUAGUAGCCCAAUCACGACCGGCUCAUUGCCUUGAUCAAAGGCAUAUCAUGAAGAAUGUCCUCAAGAGCUUGCUUGGCACACUGAUGAACAUGCCAGAGAAGACCAAGGAUGGCCCGAAGGCAAGGACAGACUUGGAAGAUUUGGAGACCAGUAGAGAUCUUCACAUGCAGCCCCGUAAAAAGUCGACGGAGGAGAUGGAGACGGAGACGGAGGUGGUGGAAAGGGGCAGAAAAGUCAACAAAAGGAGGAGAAUUAUUGCCCCCCUUCUUGCUUCACCUUAAGUGCAAAGGAGAGAUCGAUCAAUUCAUCAAGUGCCUUAUAGGAAUCAAAGUCAGUUCCGGUUACUGCGGAAAGAUAAGCAGAUUUCUAGACACCAAGAAGAAAAGCUUCUGCGGGAUGAAGUCUCAUGACUGUCACGUGAUGAUGACGCAGAUAGUCCCGGUUUCCAUUAGAGGGAUAAUUGAGAAGCACGUCCGUGACACGCUUACUGGUCUCUGCAACUUCUGCGACGUUAUCUCUCGAAAGUCCAUCAGUGUGAAGUAGCUUCGAAGGCUACAGAAAGAGAUCGUUGCAAUCCUAUGUGAUCUUGAGAUCUACUUCCUUCCCACGUUCUUUUACAUCAUGGUGCAUCUGUGUGUCCACAUCGUGGACGACAUCAUCGACCUCAGGCCGACAUUCCUUCACAACAUGAUGUCGUUCGAGAGGAUGAAUGGGGUCAUCAAAGGAUUCGUUUGCAACAUGUCCCAUCCCGAUGGGAGCAUCGUCCAGGGGUAUCUGACGCCAGAGUGCAUCCCCUUUUGUGAGAAUUAUAUAGGCAUCGAAGACCCUCUUGUUGGUUUGCCCGUCAAGAAGCACCAUGGGAGGCUCGGAGGAGAAGGUCACAACAACGGCCGGAGGGAAUUGCACAGGGACUACUUGGAUCGACGGAACGACUUUGACAGGGCUAACUUAGUAGUGCCACAACACCUAGAUGUGGUAGAUGAUUAUGUGACACUGCAGAAAGAAACCAUCGCAAAGAAGUACUGUGAUAAGGGGAUGCGCUAAACGGAUGACGAAAACUGUAGAGCACAACGCCACUUUCUUGCGUUGGUUAAAAGAGCAAGUUCUUUCUAAUCCCCCAAAAGAGGGCGGCUUGGAAGUAUUGCUCAUAUACGCCUUAGCACAUGUCCCCACGCCCAAACUCGCGACCUAUCAGACAUACGAUAUCAAUGGGUACACGUUCUACAUGGAGGCCAAUGACAUGGACAGUGAUUACCAGAACUAUAGGGUGACGAUUGAAUGCGGACCGACGCAAACGGCACAACUAAAAGAUUCUAUGGAAGGGUCGAAGAGAUCUGGGAGCUUGACUAUGCUGGAAUGCAUGAGGUGACGUAUGUUCCAUGUCAGAUGGGCUAAGGUCGUCGUAAGAGAAGACAAGUAUUUCACUACCAUGUCUAUACCCGACGCGAAGAGCGCUACCGUGAACGUUAACGUCAUCGCCAAAACUGAGCCAUGGGUACAAGCUAAGCACGUGACACAAUGCUUCUUCCUAACCAACCCGACCAAUCCUAGUCGUGUUGUCGUGAGGAGAAGCAAAAGGAGCAUCGUCAGUGAAAGUGCAACUAUCCCUGGGUGGUUUUGGUAAUUACUAACAACAUAUAUCGCAUUGAACUAAUUCUAUUUCAAGAUGAUCAUUUCAGAAGGUUCAAUGAUUGGCAUGGCAAGGAUUAAGAAUGUGGACCCCUCAAAAUGCCAAGGACACAUAUUGGCUCAAGCUCAAGAUUCUACAUUUUAUUUUUACUGAUCCAAGAUCACAUAGAGUCCAUAGGAAAAUCCAAUACUAUUAAAAGGAGAUGAGGUGUUGCUUAAUUGCUUGCUUGCUCAAAAUCCUUAGUGAUAUGAUCCAAAAGCCCCCAACCACAUUAUCAUAUCCACAUAUGUCCCAAACCAAAAGACAAACUCGGCCCCACCAAAAUGCUCUAUCCGGCGCCACCGAGUUCAUUUGACAUAGCCACUGCCAGAAACCCUAGUCACUUCGGUCUCACCGAUAGGGAUCUCGGUCUCACUGAGAUGGGAUUGCAAACUCUCUGUUUCCCUUCGUAACGUUUCGGUCUAACCGAGAUGAGCGAUCGGUCCCACCGAGUUUGCAAUGCAAACUCUCUGUUUCCCCUCCGUAACAUUUCGGUCUCACCGAAAGAGCGAAUCGGUCCCACCGAGUUUGCCUGACAAACUCUCUUAUUAGCUUAUUACCAAAGUCGGUCUCACCGAGUUUGUGUAAUCGGCCUCACCGAGAUUACGUUAUGCCCUAACCCUAAUGAAAUCGGUCCCACUGAGUUGACAUGUCGGUCCCACCGAAAAGCCAAACGUUCACAUUUUGAACAGAAUCGGUCUGACCUAGUUUUCUGAUUCGGUCCCACCGAGUUUGGUGAAUUGUGUGUAAUGAUUAGAUUUUGUGUGGAGGCUAUAUAUAACCCUCCACCCACUCUUCAUUUGUGGAGAGAGCCAUCAGAACAUGCCUACACUUCCAGCAUAUAUUUUCUGAGAGAGAACCACCUACUCAUGUGUUGAGGUCAAGAUAUUCCAUUCCGACCACAUAAAUCUUGAUCUCUAGCCUUCUCGAAGUUGCUUCCACUCAAAUCAUCUUUCCACCAAAUCCAAAUAUGUGAGAGAGAGUUGAGUGUUGGGGAGACUAUCAUUUGAAGCACAAGAGCAAGGAGUUCAUCAUCAACACACCAUCUAUUACCUUUUGGAGAGUGGUGUCUCCUAGAUUGGUUAGGUGUCACUUGGGAGCAUCCGUCAAGAUUGUGGAGUUGAACCAAGGAGUUUGUACGGGCAAGGAGAUCGCCUAUUCGUGAAGAUCUAUCCUAGUGAGGCAAGUCCUUCGUGGGCGAUGGACAUGGUGCGAUAGACAAGGUUGCUUCUUCCUGGACCCUUCGUGGGUGGAGCCCUCCGUGGACUCGCGCAACCGUUACCCUUCGUGGGUUGAAGUCUCCAUCAACGUGGAUGUACGAUAGCACCACCUAUCGGAACCACGCCAAAAAUCUCUCUGUCUACAUUGCGUUUACUCCCUCCAAACUCCUCCGUUUACCUUCAUGUGCAAUGUUUUACAUUUCGCUGCUAUACUCUUAGACUUGCAUGUGUAGGUUGAUUGCUUGACUUGUUCUAAGUUGCUAAAAUCUGCCAAGACUUAAAUUUGGGAAAAGGCUAGAUUUUUAUUUGGUCAAGUAGUCUAAUCACCCUCCCUCUAGACAUACUUUCGAUCCUACAAGUGGUAUCAGGGCCUUGGUAUCCAUUUUCCUUGAUUUCCAUAGCUUUUGGUGAUCAUAGCCUUGGUUUCACAACCAAGGAGAGUAUGGCAUCUAGCGAGGGAAAUUACCACCAUAGAGGUCCUUACUUUGAUGGUACUAAUUUUGCUAGUUGGAAGCAUCAGAUGAAAAUACAUAUUCUUGGACACAACCCCGCCGUUUGGGCUACUGUGUGUAUUGGUUUGCAAGGUGAAUUCUUUGAUGGGACAGAACCAAACCGUGAAGCUACCGCAGAAGAGUUGAAGAUGCUGCAAUACAACGCUCAAGCUUGCGAUAUCCUCUUCAACGGAUUGUGCCCCGAAGAAUUCAACAAAAUCAGCCAUCUUGAGAAUGCAAAGGAUAUUUGAGAUACUUUGAUUGAUAUGCAUGAGGGUACCGACUCUGUCAAGGAAUCCAAAUUGGAUGUGCUUCAAAGUCAACUUGACAAGUUCAAAAUGAAGGAUGGUGAAGGUGUCGCUGAAAUGUACUCUAGGCUUGCUCUCAUCACAAAUGAGAUUGCCGGCUUAGGAAGUGAAGAGAUGAUCGAUAGAUUCAUCAUCAAGAAGAUCCUAAGAGCCUUGGAUGGAAAACAUGAUACCGUCUGCGCAUUGAUCCAAAUGAUGCCCAAUUACAAAGACCUUAAGCCUACGAAAGUCAUUGGAAGAAUUGUUGCUCAUGAGAUGUCACUCAAGGAUAAGGAAGAGCUUCACAACAAGUCAAGUGGUGCUUACAAAGCCUCAUGUGAUGCUCCUACAUUGUCAAGUGAGAAACAAACCUUCAAUGAGGAGUUGAGCCUAAUGGUGAAGAACUUCAACAAGUUCUACAAGAGUAGAAGCAAGGAAAGAAGUGCCAAGUCAAGGUCCUACAAUGACAAAAGAUCUUCUAGUCGUGAGUGUCAUUGCUACAAUUGUGGAAGACCCGGACAUUACUCUAAUGAGUGUACGGCUCCCUACAAAAGAAUAGAAGAUUCACCCAAAAGAAGAAGUAGAAGAGAAGAAUCACUACCAAGAGAGAGAAGGAGUAGAGAUGAUCGUUAUGAACGAAGAACCUCUCGGAGAAGCAAGGAUUUGGAAUGGAAGGACAACUCAUCAAAGAGCUAAACAAAACGAAGACAUCAAGCUCAUGUUGGUGAAUGGAUAUCCGGCUCCGACUCCGACCAUCACUCCGAAAGAAGUUAUCACUCCGACUCCGAAUAUACUGAAGAUGAAGGUGUUGCCGGUCUAGCACUUGUGUCAACAGACUCCUACGACAUAUUUGACUCACCAAAUGAAGGAAUUGGAAGAUGCUUCAUGGCUAAAGGCCCAAAGGUAUCACACCCCGAGUAUGUUGAUUUCAAUAGUGAUGUAGAUGAUUUUCUAGGUGAUGAUGAUUUACUUGUUGACAACUCUAGUGAUGAAAACUAUGAUGAGCUCGCUAUUAAUCAUGUUAAUCAAGAUAAAACGAAUGAUGAUGAUAAGAAGGAGAUUGAGAGCCUAACUAAAGAAUUAAACACUCUUAAGUUAGCUCAUGAAACUACCUUAGAAGAUCAUCGAGAACUUUUAAAGACUCAUGAGAAGCUACGCUUUGAAAAGCUCAAUCUUGAGCAAGAGCAUGGGUUCUUAAAAGCGAUCAAUGACGAUCUUCGCAAGAAAAGUUCUUCUUACAUUGCCAAGUGUUUACUCUUGUUUACUUACAUGCCACAAGUUAAAUCUAGCAACAACAGUAAGAAAGAUUCUUCAUCUAGUAGUAACAAUAAUCAUGCUAAAUCCAAUGUUGUUGCUUCUAGUAGUUCUCUUGAUUCCACUAAUGAUGCUCUUAGUCAAGUUACACUUGAGAAAGAAAAUAGCUUAUUGAAGGGAAUUAUAGAGAAAGGUAUUUACAAGAGCCUUGCCGGAAGUAAGCAAUUUGAGGAAAUUGUACGCAAGCAAGGAAGACACCGGAAGAAUCAAGGUGUUGGUUUUGAACGAAAGUUCAAUGCCAAUGUAGUUGAAUGGGAAGAAGAUCAAUACCCCAAGACGAAGUUUGUUCCUCAACAAGAGAAGUAUGAUCCUACUUCUUUCCAAGGAACACAAGCUCAAGAUAAUCUUCCACCACAAUACCAGAAGCAAAAAGGCAAAGACAAGCUUCAAGAGGAGAUUGAUGCAUUUGAAGAAGCUCCCAAGGACUUGGUCAAGUGGGUUCCCAAGACUACAUCAAGUUCUACUACAUCAAGUACGACUACAACUCCAAGAAUUCCCAUCAAGACGGUGUCGAUCCUGAAGAAGAAGAACUAGAGAGUUCUUGAGGGUGACUCCGCCAACAAACUUCACUCAUAUCUUUUGGCAAGGACAUGUGCAAACAACUUUCACAUCUUGCACUAGUUCAAGGAGUCACAAACCCUCUUGUUGGUAAGACAAGGGACAAGGUAACCUAAUGCUUUCAUGGACAUCAUCUUAUGUGAACAUCACUCUAUGUCUAUGGAUAUACUUGUUUGUUCCUUGUGGGACUAACCCGUGUAGGUAUUGAAAGUGCAACUAACUCCAAUGGAUUGCUCCGAACGAUCUACAUCAACGUUGAGCAUCCACAUCUUCAACACCUACAUGAAGUCAUCAUCGACAAAACCCAAGGUUAGUUCAUCCCUCUUAGGAGGGAUAUCACAUCUAGGGAGAGCUUUAGUCUAAUCAAUUGAGCUAAAGCAACUCUAAUGGUGUGAACACAACAAUGCUUUAUGUAAAAGUGGCAACCCCACUUGUGCUUAAACGACGAGUCUGACCUAUGAUCAAAUGUUCUCAUUUGACUCCUAAGUCAAUAUACUCAUAUAUAGAUGACCUAGUCAUCGCCAAUUGCUUGAUGGAUGCUAGAGUGUUUGUGCAUACUUUGUCACAAAUUCCAUUUGCCAUUUUAUUGUGUGAGCAUGUUGAUUGCAUAUUUUACUCAUUCGAGGACAUCCAUUUGUUGCUUUGAUUGUUUGGCUUUUUCUCUUUUGACAAAUAGAUGGACAAGAAUGCCUAAGAACUCCCUCUAGCGAUCUAUGCUUUUCGCGUCUCAAACUCUAUUCAUGCUACAUCACAAAGUUUGAUCAAGUCAGAUUCGAACCACUCUGUUUGAGGAGCACUCGGAGUCCCCGAUUCGUCAUAGACUUAAACUUCCAAAACCUCUCUGGGCAUUUCGGACUGACCGAUCCAUCCACUUCGGUCACACCGAGUUCACUGAGUUGAUCUAGGUUUUCAAUCUUGGUGCAACCAGUUUGAACUUUUCGGUCACACCGAGUUGCAGUAACCGCUUGCGAUUCUGCAUCUUGGUGCCACCGAGUUGUUCCACUCGGUCACACCAACAGGGUCGGGAUAUAUAUACCCACGGGUGAUUUUGGAAAUUUAUUCAAAACCCCUCAGCCCGCGCGUAUCCUGCUCUGCCGUCUCGGGUCUUCGGAUCGUCUCCUCGUCGCCAGCGACCUCCCGCCGCUGAUUUCCGUCGCUGUCAACGGGAUUCUGCUCCACCUUUGUCGCCGUAGCGAACUCAUCGCCGGACUAGGGUAUGAGUUUGAUCUUUUGUGCUAAUUCCUUAGUCCGAUUCUUAGCACAUUUCUUUGCCAUGAUCAUUACCACAUAUGAAAUCAAUCUAUCCAUACAAAACCCUCCAUUAGAUUAGGUCUGAUUCGAAAAUUUAGGGUUAAGUCUCCGCCGAACUCAUCUCGGACCGACCAAGUUGUAGAAAUCGGUCUCACCAAUUUGGUUUAGGCCAUUGCACAUGCGCUUUUCGAUCUGACCGAAAAUUGCAAAUCGGUGCGACUGAUUUCAACUCUUAGUGAGACCCUAGCAAUCUCGGAGCAACCGAACUGUGACUCGGUCUGACCGAGUUCACUAGUUUAGGUUCCAAACAUUGCUUCGGUAUCACCGAGUUUAUCAAAUCGGUAGCUCCGAAAUGCUUUCUGUGGAGAACUAAAACUAUGUUUUCGACUCAUCUGUUUUGCAAAACUCUGCACUUUGUGAUGCUCAUCUACUCUACCUCAUCUAUAUCUAUUCACAGGGUUUGCUGUCAGUUUUCUUGCCAAGAUGUCUGACCAGAGUGAUAGCCAGAAUAGAUAUGAAGAGCAAAUGCAAAUGAGUGAGGGCACUAGUCCCUCAAGCAGCUAUGAUGAGGGCAACAGGAGCACACCCAGCAAUUUGCCUAUGGCAUCCACCAGAACAAGGAAGAAGAGAACCUCAGAUUAUGAGGAUGAGGACUAUGUGGCUACAGAGGAGGAAGUGACCUCAAAGAAGAAAGUCUUGAAGAAGGAGUAUGCUACAGCUGCUGCAACCAAGCCUGGGUUGCACAAAAAGGCACCUGCAAAGAGAGUUCCAAUGUCAAAAGCCAGAGCCUCCACUCAUGAGACCUCCAAGUCAACUGGAGGAGAGGAUGCUAUUGAGGAGAAGAAGAAGGAAAGAAAAAGAGGAAGAUGGUGCAAGAAGGUGGACCCCAUGGAAGAAUUUGAGAGGCAUUCUUCUGAUGAAGAAGAGGAAGAGGAAGAGGAAGCUGCACCAGCACCCACGUCCCAGAAGCUCAUGGGGGAUGCUACCAAGUCAGGGGCUGCUUCAUCAAAGCCCAUAAUUGCUCCCAAAGCUACUACUCAAGCUCAGAAGCCUUCUAAGCCAAAGAGAAGCACCAGAAACAUCCCAGCUGAAGAGAAGAACAAGGCCCUAGUGCCUGAAGUUGAAGAAGAAGAUGAUGAAUCCCAAGUGCUGAGAAAACCGAAACCAAAGAUUCCAGACCACAAUGACACUCAUCCAGUGGCAGAGGACAUGAACAUCAGGAUGGAUGCAGGACUGAGACUUUGAGACAGUCUGAUCCCUAUGCUGUUAGAAGGAGGACUGCUGUGGACUAUAGGUUCCACACCAAAGAACAACAAGAUUUCUAUGAGACCAUUCUGUUGGACAAUAAACCUAUUGUCUGUGAUAUGAAGUGGGUUGAUUGGGAACAUAUUGAUGAGAAUGAAGAUCACUUCCCAUGUGUAAAUGAGAGCUUCAAAGGUUGUGGAGUUGACAAGUUUGUUGGACAGAAGGUUACCAAAUGGAAUGAUGAGCUAAUUAUGCAGUUCUAUUCCACUGAUCAUUUCUAUCCAGAUGGAAGAAUAGUGUGGAUGUCUGAAGGUACCAGUCAACUGUUGAUGAGUGGGCCAAGUUGAUCAAUGCCCAGAAGAGCAUGAGGAUGAUUUGGAUGUGUAUGCCAAGAAGGAAAAAGACCACAACUCUAUGGCAAAUAUGUACAAGGAGAUCCCAGACUAAGCUUUGGAGAGACACAAGUUUGGAUCUGUACAUUAUUUGUUGUCUGGUCUGCCUACAAUCAACACCAUCUUAAGGCAUACUUUGUUGCCCAAGUCUGGAGAUCACAAGAUGAUUAGAGGACAUCCCAUCAACUUGCUGCAGAUCUUUGAUGUUCCUAAAAAAUUCAAGGUCAUGAGUCUGAUUGUAGAGACAAUCAAAAGGACAGCUGCUGAUCAGAAAAGAUCUUGUGGGUAUGCUCCACACAUUCAGGUGCUCAUCAACUCCAAGAUAGGAAAAUGCACUUACUUGUUGGACAAGAAGCAUUUACCUUUGCACGCAAAAUUUGAAGAUAACACAGUUGUGAUGAAUGAGGAUGACCCUUCAUCAGCGCAAGCACAAGAGAAGAGAGCAAAGGCCAAGGCAGAAAAAGCUGCAAAGAUGCCAAUUAUUGAGGAGGCAUCUGAAGUGUUCUUGAAGAGCAAACAAGAUCAACUAGGUUAUCUGAUUCAAGCUACAUUGAGGAUUGAGAAGGGCUUGGCCACCCUGACUCAGAAUCAGGAGAGCUUGGAGAGGAUCAUAGAGACCAAGUUUUAUGAUCUUGAUCUGAAAGUCACUGAGAUACAGACUGCAGUUGAGCAGCUCCAGGAGGAAGCAGAGGAGAAGAGAGGGAAGGCAACUAUAGAUGCUUUUCAGUGAGUGCCAAGAGGUCAGAGGCCAGGUGCAGUGCCAGUGCCAAAUACUAGAGCUACUUCAUCUGCACCUGCAGCAACAGCUUCAGUACCACCUCCAGCAGCCACUCCACCAGCUCCAGCUACUUCAACUGAUGCCUUCGUCCUUGGAGUUCUCUCUACACCACCUCCCGAAGACCAAGCCCGAGAGACGCAUAACACUAUGCACUUUUAAACUUUUGGUAACUUGUUGCCAAAGGGGGCGAAAUGUAUAGAUCAUAGGCUUCGAGAGAGAGUGUUUUGCUUCUUUGUCUCUCUUGCUAUUUGCUAUUUGGUUGAUACCUUUGUGUGUGCUCGUUUGAUACUUUAUGUCUGUGUGAGAGAUACUUAUAUGAUCGUGUGUUUGAUCAUAUCAUAUUUUAAUGUUUGCCUGGAUGAUAUUAUCUUGUAUAUCCAUAUAUGAUCAUUCACUUUGCUUGGUGAUGAGUGCAUGUUUUAAAUCCUAUCAUUUUGAGCGCGCCACCAAGAUGUAUGUGACAUGGAAGAGUAAUCCAUGAUCCUAAUCAAUUGUGCAUUUGCAUUCAAAAGAAAAAAUGCACAAAUUUAGGGGGAGUUCUUACUUAUCACAUACUUCUCAAAGAGGUGAUGUAUUUCAAUCUUAUUAUCAUUUGUUGAAGCUUUGAUCUAUAUGUUGUCAUCAAUUACCAAAAAGGGGGAGAUUCAAAGUGCAACUAUCCCUGGGUGGAUUUGGUAAUUACUAACAAUAUAUAGCUGAUUGAACUAAUGCUAUUUCAAGAUGAUCAUUUCAGAAGGUUCAAUGAUUGGCAUGGCAAGGAUUAAGAAUUUGGAACCCUCAAAAUGCUAAGGACACAUAUUGGCUCAAGCUCAAGAUUCUACAUUUUAUUUUUAGUGAUCCAAGAUCACAUUGAGUCCAUAGGAAAAGCCAAUGCUAUUAAAAGGGGAUGAGCUGUUGCUUAAUGGCCUGCUUACUCAAAAUGCUUAGUGAUAUGCUCCAAAAGCCCUCAACCACUUUCUCAUAUGCACAUAUGUCACAAACCAAAAGUCAAACUCGGCCCCACCGAAAUGUUCUAUCCGGCGCCACCGAGUUCAUUUGACAUAGCCACUGCCAGAAACCCUAGUCACUUCGGUCUCACCGAUAGGGAUCUCGGUCUCACCGAGAUGGGAUUGCAAACUCUUUGUUUCCCUUCGUAACGUUUCGGUCUAACCGAGAUUGACGGUCGGUCCCACCGAGUUCGCAAUGCAAACUCUCUGUUUCCCCUUCGUAACAUUUCGGUCUCACCGAAAGAGCGAAUCGGUCCCACGGAGUUUGCCUGACCAACUCUCUCGUUAUCUUAUUACCAAAGACGGUCUCACCGAGUUCGUGUAAUGGGUCUCACUGAGAUUACGUUAUGCCCUAACCCUAAUGAAAUCGGUCCCACAAAGUUGACAUGUCGGUCCCACCUAAAAGCCUAACAUUCACAUUUUGAAUUGAAUUGGUCUGACCGAGUUUUCUGAUUCGGUCCCACCGAGUUUGGUGAAUUGUGUGUAACGGUUAGAUUUUGUGUGGAGGCUAUAUAUACUUCUCCACCCACUCUUCAUUCGUGGAGAGAGCCAUCAGAACAUGCCUACACUUCCAGCAUAUAUUUUCUGGGAGAGAACCACCUACUCAUGUGUUGAGGUCAAGAUAUGCCAUUCCAACCACAUAAAUCAUCAUCUCUAGCCUUCUCCAAGUUGCUUUCCACUCAAAUCAUCUUUCCACCAAUUCCAAAUCUGUGAGAGAGAGUUCAGUGUUGGCGAGACUAUCAUUUGAAGCACAAGAUCAAGGAGUUUAUCAUCAACACACCAUCUAUUACCUCGUGGAGAGUGGUGUCUCCUAGAUUGGUUAGGUGUCACUUGGGAGCCUCCGUCAAGAUUGUGGAGUUGAACCAAGGAGUUUGUAUGGGCAAGGAGAUCGCCAACUUCGUGAAGAUCUACCCUAGUGAGGCAAGUCCUUCGUGGGCGAUGGCCAUGGUGGGAUAGACAAGGUUGCUUCUUCGUGGACCCUUCGGGGGUGGAGACCUCCGUGGACUCGCGCAACCGUUACCCUUCGUGGGUUGAAGUCUCCAUCAGCGUGGAUGUACGAUAGCACCACCUAUCGGAACCACGCCAAAAAACUUUGUGUCUACAUUGCGUUUGCUCCCUCCAAACUCCUCCCUUUACCUUCAUGUGCAAUGUUUGACAUUCCGCUGCUAUACUCUUAGACUUGCAUGUGUAGGUUGGUUGCCUGACUUGUUGUAAGUUGCUAAAAUCUGCCAAGACUUAAAAUUGGGAAAAGACUAGAUUUUUAUUUGGUCAUGUAGUCUAAUCACCCACCCCCCCUCUAGACAUACUUUCGAUCCUACAGUCGGAAUGUAUGGAGUCGCCAACGAGGAAGACUACGACUAAUAAGGCAACCCGAUGUGGGAAGAUGACGAUGACGAUGAAGCAUACGUGAAAAGAAGAAUCAAGACUACAUCACCUAAGAAGAAUCAAGACUACAUCACCUAAGAAGGAUCGUGCUCAAUUAUUCGACAACGGACAACAAAGGUAAGAACCUCAAUGGGAAACGUCGUCGACGCAGCUGAGAAACCAUCAUUUAUAUAUACUAGCCAACAUGUCUGUGCGUUGCAAUGGGAGAAAAAAAAUCAUACUUCCAUACUCAUAAGAUGACCUAAGACCCUUCCCGUCGGUUCCACCCACACACAGGUCCACGUCCUCAAUUUCAACACGCCCCCAUCCGUGUUGCCGCUUAUCUUCUAGUUCGGUGUGUUUUGUGAUUGCAAUAUUCCCAUAAAUGCAAAAGCUGAAAAGCCUAUGCAAUGUAAUCCAACUUCCCUAGAGUUUAUGGAAGGUUAAAAAAAUGCCAACAUAUUUUUCCAGAAAAAAGUAAUAAAGUAGAACAACACCUUGCCACAACUUUAUAUUCAUUUUUCUAUGCACAAAACAUUUAUACAAAACCAAAAGCUGUAAUUCAUUGUCAACAAAUUGGUAAAAGGCUUACAUUGAUGGGGUGAUAGGGUCUCCACAGAUCAAUUGUUCAAACACUACAUUUAUCUAGAAAAUAAGUCAUGUUUCUAGUGCUAACUUACUAAGAAGGUUAAAGAUUACAAAAAUGAAUAUCAACAUGAAACUACAAAAUAUAGUAUGAAGCGGAACUAACAUCGUGGCUGGAUUUGCCAAUACAAUGGGCAGAUGGUGUGCUAAUAAGUCUGACAUGAAUAUGUUACAACGCGACUGUGCUAAUAAGUCUGACAUGAAUAUGUUACAACGCGACUGUGCUAAUAAGUCUGACAUGAAUAUGUUACAACGCGACUGUGCUAAUAAGUAACGCGACUGUGCCACAUUACUGACAAAACAGGUAAUGAGAUGUAAGCAGCUUGUGCAAAUUAGCUAGAAACUACCCUCGUACGGCAGCUGGGUCCCUUGGGGAGCAAGCUCGCGAGUUAGCUCGCACGGCUGGGUAAAUUAAGCAGGGCCAUGGCCUCCACGAAAAUAUAAAAUAGAACAACUGCACCCCGGCCCUCUCUAUCUAGCCAUCCAUUCUGCGCAUCGCGAUUCGUGCAAACACAUUUCUCUUUUUUGUUUCUCUCACAUAAAACAUAUUUUGAAGUUCAAACCUUUGUAGCGUAGCAAAGUUUUCUAUCUAGAAUCCAGGAUAAAUCUUUCAGAAUUUUUUGUCAAACAUAAAUAUACAAAAAAUGAUUUUUUAGAUUAAAAAAUCAUUUUUUGUAUAUUUAUGUUUGACAAAAAAUUCUGAAAGAUUUAUCCUAGAUUCUAGAUGGAAAGGUUUGCCACGCUGCUAAGGUUUGAACUUCAAGACAUCUUUUAUGUGAGAGAAACAAAAAAGAGAAAUUUACAUAUGGAAAGUUAGUUGUGUUGCACAGAUCUUAAAGCAAUAUUGGACAGCCAGGAUACCAGGACCCGGGUGCAGCUGUUCUAAAAAUCCACGUCCAUGGCCUCCACACACCUCCUUGCUUUUGUUUCUUGCAAUUCCCGUGGUUUUUGUUGCUGUUGAGAUGCGAUGGCUCUCACGCGCAGCUCUCGGCCGUCCGCGCUGCACAAGGAACGACGUCUCCUCAAUGUAUGGCACCAUCUGGGCGAUCGACUCUCGCGUCCACUUUCUCCUUCCUGAUCUCCUCCUCCUCCCAUCUUGUUCGAUCAUCUUCCUGAUGUUCUCCACCUCCUUGUCGUCUUCCUGAUCAUGGGAUCGUGGCCCCAGGACGUGACUUACGAAAAAGAGAAGCUUCUAGAUGAAACGGGUUCUGAUCAAGCUCGAUCUUGAGCGAAGUCUAGAGGACGAUCAGGGACACGGCACACGUGAGGUGUUGCGUAUAUAUAUUGGCUGGGUGUCCGUAGAAGGCUCAAUAGUACUGGCGCAAGAGGAGUCUAGCUAAAACUCUUUUUUAUAUAUGUUGUUUUUCCUGUUAGCAGAGUGCCCAAGCUUACAUGAACGGGCCGGCUCUGCUUGCGAGACCGGAGGAAGGAACCAAGAAAAUGCCGGAGCUUGUCCUGCAACGUUUGGUUAUUCCUUAUACUUCUAUACGUGUGUAGAUCUACUUUUAAAUCUCAGCCGUCAAUCUUUAAGGUUAACAUAAAAUUAACGAAUAUAAAAACGUGACGUAUGAAGAACUAUGAAAGUCUCCGUCCUUUAAUAUUAUGUAUAGAUGUAUCUAUUUUAUGCACGCACUUAAGUAACCGUUAUCGGUCAAAUGAUGUAUACAUCGUAUCCCCUUCAAUUACCACCACAUGCAUGGUUCCGGUGAUAUUCGCGCAGUGUGGGAGGGAGACGUUAUCGUCGACUACGUGCGAGGUUGUCGGGAGAAAAACAAAAAACAAAAAAGGGAGAAAACAAUACAAAAGAAAAAGAAAAGGAAACAGAAAAGGAAAGGAAAAUAAUAAAAAGAAAAGAAAACUAAAUAUUAGAAAAGGAAGAUAAUAAAAAGAAAAAAAUAGCAGUAGCGCUAGAUUAGGACCCAAUGCUACCCAACGCUAUAGCUAACUUAGGCCGACGAAACCCCGUGUGCACUACUGUACGACAUCAACGGCCAGAAGGUGGGCGUGGGAAAGGCAAUGAUCAUGAAGCUGAAGGACUGCAUGUUCCAUAACCGAGGGAUUCCCCAUUGCGUCUUCAAGGUUAACGUGGCCAGUGUCAAAGCGGGCUUCGAGGAUUUGCCUUGUCCGGUACCAGUCGAGGACGACGAGACACCUAAAUGGAUUGAUGCAUGCAAGAGCUGGUUCUUGCCUUGGCCGAAGACUCUUCUUCGUGUCGAGGUGCUCGGUAGCACACCAACGACAGCUCCUCAAGAAGGUAUCACUAGUAGAAAACAGGCUUUGGUCACAGGGCAAUGCUCACAUUAGUCCCGGUUCAGUCACGAACCAGGAUUAAUGUGAGCACUGGUCCCGGUUCGUGCGGCUAAGGCAUUAGUCCCGGUUCACCUGGGCCCUUUAGUCCCGGUUAGUGCCACGAACCGGGACUAAAGGGUGCAAUGCCCAUUAGUACCGGUUGGUGGCACCAACCGGNNNNNNNNNNNNNNNNNNNNNNNNNNNNNNNNNNNNNNNNNNNNNNNNNNNNNNNNNNNNNNNNNNNNNNNNNNNNNNNNNNNNNNNNNNNNNNNNNNNNNNNNNNNNNNNNNNNNNNNNNNNNNNNNNNNNNNNNNNNNNNNNNNNNNNNNNNNNNNNNNNNNNNNNNNNNNNNNNNNNNNNNNNNNNNNNNNNNNNNNNNNNNNNNNNNNNNNNNNNNNNNNNNNNNNNNNNNNNNNNNNNNNNNNNNNNNNNNNNNNNNNNNNNNNNNNNNNNNNNNNNNNNNNNNNNNNNNNNNNNNNNNNNNNNNNNNNNNNNNNNNNNNNNNNNNNNNNNNNNNNNNNNNNNNNNNNNNNNNNNNNNNNNNNNNNNNNNNNNNNNNNNNNNNNNNNNNNNNNNNNNNNNNNNNNNNNNNUACCGGUUCAUGGCACGAACCGGUACUAAAGGUCCCAUUUUCAAACUCUACCCCCCCGGACCGCCUUUUCAGUUUUAGAAAAAACAAAAGAAAAUGAUGGAAAUGUCAAAAAAAUAAAAUAAAAUAAGUUUCCCAUGUGAUAUGUGGUCUAGUUGUUGGGAAAAUUUACAAAUAUGAAUUUCGACUUUAUUUGCAAAAUCUCUCUGGAAUUUGUAAAAUGGGCAUAACUUUUGCAUACGAACUCGGAUUAAAAAGUUUUUUAUAUGAAAAAUCAUCUACUCGCAAAGUUACAUCCGAAUUUAACCGGGGAAACCCCGUUAAACAUUUUCAAAAUUCUCAAAAACCUAACAGAAAAAAAGUUACGGGGCUUUUAAGAUCUAGAGUGGAAAAAAAUCGAAAAAAUUUCAAACUUACUAGUGGCGCACCAUUUGCUAGGUGCGCCACUAGUAACCGAAAAAAAUUUAGUUUCAAUUUUUUUUUGAAAAAAUGUGGUCAAAUCUGGUCAAACUGUGGUCAAACAAUGGUCAAACUAAUUAUUCUAGAAUAUUAGUGUUACUAAAUAAUUAUUUCAGUUUUUUCGAAUUUUGGUCAAAUCUGGUCAAACUAUGGUCAAACAAUGGUCAAACUAAUUAUUCAAGAAAUAUUAGUGUUGCUAAAUAAUUAUUGUUUUUUGAAACAAUAGUUUCAAACUCAAACAGUGAAAUGUGUCACUUCAUGCUCAAGGUAAAUCCUGAGGGUUAAUAGGAUUGACAUCUUACUAUUGUCAGGAAAACAACAAGUGCAGACUUGGAAACGAGGGAGAACAGAACCCGAAAGUUAAGCGUGCUCAGGCUGGAGUAGUGAGACGAUGGGUGACCGUCCGGGAAGUUAGAUGAUUUGGAAUGAUGAGGGGUGAUUAGAGAUUAGAGGAUAAAUUGAGCAGUGAUGAGGGGUGGUGAUUAGAGAUUAGAGGUUAAAAUAAUUCAGAAAUUUGAAAAUCAAAAAAAAAAAUAAAAAAAAAAUCAUAAAAUUUCCUUUAGUCCCGGUUGGUGUUACCAAUCCGGACUAAAGGUGGAGCUCCACGUGGCCGCGGCCUUUAGUCCCGGUUCGUGUAAGAAUCGGGACUAAUGGGGGGAGGCAUUAGUAACGACCCUUUAGUCCCGGUUCAAAAACCAGGACUAAAGCCCCUUUUUCUACUAGUGUAUGAACACCACCCCACCUACCAAAUUACCCGCACGUGUCGUGGCGGGUGAUAGCGGACGACACGAGGGAGAGCCUCCAUUAGUGCCGUAUGGCGUCGCCCCCGUCGAAGAAGCAAAUGCUGAUGUUGUCAUGGAGGAGGAUGAUGAUGACCCUCUGAAAGCACAAGUGCUCCCUGGGUGAUUUUGGUAAUUAAUGUCAACAUAUCUCUUGUUGGACUAAUGCCUUUAUCUAGUGUAUUUUAGAUAAGUUCAACAAUGGAGUGGCGUGGACAAGAGGAUGUGGAACCCCUUCAAAAUGCUAAGGACAAAGGAUUGGCUCAAGCUACAAAGCUCAAGACUCUACAUUUUAGUUUUUUGUGAUCCAAGAUCACAUUGAGUCCAUAGGAAAAGCCAAUACUAUUAAAAGGGGAUGAGGUGUUGCUUAAUGGCUUGCAUGCUCAAAGUGCUUAGUGAUAUGCUCCAAAGCCCUCAACCACUUUCUCAUUUCCACAUAUGUUCCAAAGCAAAAGUCAAUCUCGGCCCCACCGAAACAUUCCAUCCGGCGCCACCGAGUUCACUUGACAUAGCCACUGCCAGAAACCCUAAUCAAUUUGGUCUCACCGAUGGGAUCCCGGUCUCACCGAGAUGGGCUUGCAAACUCUCUAUUGCUUGUUGCAAUUAUUUCGGUCUCAUCGAGAUUUGUAAUCGGUCUCACGGAGUUUGCUUGACCAACUCUCUGGUUAGCUCUUUACCAAAAUCUGUCCCACCGAGUUUGUGUAAUCGGUCAAACCGAGAUGAGGUUUUACCCUAACCGUAGCACAUCGGUCCCACCGAGUUGACAUAUCGGUCCCACCGAAAUGCCUAACGGUCACAUUAUGAACUGAAUCGGUCUGACCGAGUUUUCUGAUUCGGUCCCACUGAGUUUGGUGAAUUGUGUGUAACGGUUAUAUUUUGUGUGGAGGCUAUAUAUACCCCUCCACCAACUCUUCACUCGUGGAGAAAGCCAUCAGAACAUGCCUACACUUUUAGCAUACAUUUUCUAAGAGAGAACCACCUACUCAUGUGUUGAGGUCAACAAAUUCCAUUCCAACCACAUAAAUCUUGAUCUCUAGCCUUGUGCAAGUUGCUUUCCACUCAAAUAAUCUUUCCACCAAAUCCAAAUCUGUGUGAGAGAGUUGAGUGUUGGGGAGACUAUCAUUUGAAGCACAAGAGCAAGGAGUUCAUCAUCAACACACCAUCUAUUACCUUUUGGAGAGUGGUGUCUCCUAGAUUGGUUAGGUGUCACUUGGGAGCCUGCGUCAAGAUUGUGGAGUUGAACCAAGGAGUUUGUACGGUCAAGGAGAUCGCCUACUUCGUGAAGAUCUACCCUAGUGAGGCAAGUCCAUCGUGGGCGAUGGCCAUGGUGGGAUAGACAAUGUUGCUUCUUCGUGGACCCUUCAUGGGUGGAGCCCUCCGUGGACUCGCACAACCGUUACCCUUCGCGGGCUGAAGUCUCCAUCAACGUGGAUGUACGAUAGCACCACCUAUCGGAACCACACCAAAAAUCUCCGUGUCUCCAAUUACGUUUUCACAUUCCAAUCCUAUCCCUUUACAUUCUCUCAAAUUGCAUGCUUUACUUACCGCUGCUUAUAUGCUCUUGUCAUGCUUGCUUGGUAUGUAUUGUGAAUGUGUAAACUUGUGCUAACACUCCACCUUAACUUGAAGAAUUUAAAAACUGCAACUUUUCUUUGCUAAGAGUCUAUUCACCCCCCCUAGACACCUCUUCUCGAUCCUUUCAAUUGGUAUCAGAGCUUUGGUCUCCAUUGCUUUGGUUUAAACACCUUUGGAGGAAGAUGGAUGAGUCUACAUUGGGGAGUCUUAGACGUAGAGUCCCUAUUCUUGAUGGAGACUACCUUCAUGAGUGAAAAAAUGAGAUGCUUGUGAUUUUCAAUGAAUAUCAUUUGAACAAGUAUAUUACUAGCCCUUGUUGUAACACCCCGGAUGUGACUUUUCAUAUUUGUAACUCCAACUCUUGCCAUUUUCGGCUAUGUGUUAUGAUAUUCCCUCCGCGGUUGGGUUUUGUUUUUCGGUUUACUUUUUGUUCAUGUCAUGCAUUUCAUAUGAUGUCAUCAUGUGCAUCGCAUUUGCAUACGUGUUCGUCUCAGGCAUCCGAGCAUUUUCCCCGUUGUCCGUUUUGCAAUCCGACACUCCCACAUGCACCGGCGCACCCCUCUUGUCUCUUUUCGUGAGCGGGUGUUAAACAUUCUCGGAAUGGACCGAGGUUUGCCAAGUGGCCUUGGUACACCACCGGUAGACCACGUGUCAAUUUCGUCCCAUUUGGAGGUCUUUUGAUGCUCCAAUGGUUAACCGGGUAACCGCAAAGGCUUCUUGUGUGUUGAUUCCCAACAACCCUUCAAAACAGCCCAAUAACCCAUCUAAGCCCCCUCCAUGCUCUCCGCCGUUCGAUCACGAUCGCGUGGCCGAAAAGUACACCCCAUUUGGAGUCUCCUAGCUCCCUCUAGCUAUAAAUAUGUGCACUCCUCCGAAAUCCCGGGUCCCGAAACCCUAGCCUCGCCCCUCUCCGCCGCCGGACAGGUCCGGAUCGGGCCGGACAAAUUGCCGCCACCGCCCGAGCCAACCGGAGGGCGCCACGUGGCGCUCCCCGCCGCCAGCCGCCGCCGGCCCGCCCGAGCCCGCGGGAGGCCCUCCCCGAGCCCANNNNNNNNNNNNNNNNNNNNNNNNNNNNNNNNNNNNNNNNNNNNNNNNNNNNNNNNNNNNNNNNNNNNNNNNNNNNNNNNNNNNNNNNNNNNNNNNNNNNNNNNNNNNNNNNNNNNNNNNNNNNNNNNNNNNNNNNNNNNNNNNNNNNNNNNNNNNNNNNNNNNNNNNNNNNNNNNNNNNNNNNNNNNNNNNNNNNNNNNNNNNNNNNNNNNNNNNNNNNNNNNNNNNNNNNNNNNNNNNNNNNNNNNNNNNNNNNNNNNNNNNNNNNNNNNNNNNNNNNNNNNNNNNNNNNNNNNNNNNNNNNNNNCCGUCCUCCGCCGUGUCGCCAGUCGUCGCCCCCUCGCCGUCCGGCGACCGCGCCCCGGCCAGAUCCGGCGGGCCCCGACCGGCCCGUCCCGCCGGCGCCAUCUCCCUCCUCUCCAUCUCCGGCCGGCGUUCUCCUCUUCUACGGCGAGCCGGCGCCUGCCUGGAACCACGCGCCAGAUCCAGAUCCAAAACGGAGGUUGACCCCGAAAUUCCACCAAGUCAUUUCUCUGUCGUAUUUUGUUGCUCUGUUCAUCACAUCAUAUCUCUUUGCAUACUGCUCCGUUUCAUGCGAAUGAUACAUCAAAGUGUUCAUCGCGAGAUGCUCUUCAUUUUGUUACAUUGUGCCAUGCUCUUUUGAGUUCAUCUGGUUACUCAAAUCUCUGAUGCAAGAGUGCUAUGUGAUGUUUACUGCUGUUCCUUAUCAGAACUUGAUGUUUUGUUAUUUUUGUUGCAUUUGAUGUGUGCAUCUUUUGGGCAUGAGCUCUACAUGUAUUUUGAUCUAUGACAUGCCAUCUUUACAGAGGUGCUGGACAUGUAUUUUUUCGAUCUAUGGGGUGACGAUCACAAGCAUGCAAACUAGGCUUCGUGAUGUUUCUGUUUUCAGGGACUUAGGAUUUUGCCAAGUCUUUUCCUGCUGUUAUUUUUUAUGUCAUGUAAACUUGAUGCUACAGUGAGAUCCAUGUUUAUUUUGAGAUACUUCAGUAAGGAUGUUUUGAACAUAUGGUUAUGCUCUAUCCAUUCAUGCCACUGUUUGCAAUUAUGGAGUGACUUAGCAUGUCUCAAUAUUGCUCUACUUUUGCUAUUAAAUGUUCCUGGAAGAAUGUUAACAUGCUAUUCAAUUUUGCCAAGGUUGUUGUAGUUGAUCCAUACAUGCUAUGAACUUGCUCUUACCAUGGAUAGCUUCAUGAACAUGUCUUCUUGCUGUUGGUAUGUUUGUUUUGUCAUGCAAUGCCUUGUGAUGAGUGAAUCGAGCUCACAAAGAUUCCUUCAUAAUUCUGUUAAUGUCAUGCUCUGUUUUCUGCUAAGUCUGAAAUCUGUUAACGAAACUUGCUAUGUUUACAUGGGUGCCAUCAUAUCUUCUGUGCAAUUUUAGCUCAUGAUCAGUAGGGGACUUUUGUUCUAUGCAUGUAGUAGAUUUAUGCCAUGCCUUUUUUGCUAUGAUAAGUUCCUGUAGCAUGUUGAUUGCUUGCUCUAAACAUUGCUACCUGCUGCUGUUUCUGCCUUGUUCAGUAUUUUCAGAGUCUGUGAAGCUGAUAUCUUUUGCACUUUUGCCAUGCUUGUUUGAACCUGCUCUAGUGUGCUUUAGCCGUAGCUCAGUGUUCAUCUUUUGUCAGGCAUCUUGAGUACAUCACACCCAUAUGCUUUGUUGUUAUGUUGGAGUGCAGUAGCUUAGUUUCUUGUUGCAUGCUAAAUGGCAUCGUGCUGUUAAUCGCAGAAUUGUGUCAUCCUUGUUUUGCUUGUCAUUUGCAAACCGUGCAUCCGAUUCCGGUGAUCUUUAUAUCGAUUUCAACCGAAAUCAUCCCAUCUUUUCAGCGGCAUACUUGGUUUGCCAAGUCGAUGCCUUGUUCAUCUUUUCGCUUCCGGAGCACGCACAUGCAUUGCAUAUCACAUCUCGCAUAUCAUGCCAUGUAUUGCAUCAUGUUGCUUGUGCAUUGCACCGUGUUUGAUCGUGGUUCCAUUGCUUGUGUUCUUGCUUUGGGUAGAGCCGGGAGACGAGUAUGUGAACGAGGAACCUGUUGAGAACGCUUACGAGGAUCAAGUUUUCGACAACUCUGAGAACCUUGCAGGCAAGAUGACCAUACCCUCGAUAUCACUUCUAUCUUUGCUUUGCUAGUUGUUCGCUCUAUUGCUAUGCCGCGCUACCUACCACUUGUUACAUCAUGCCUCCCAUGUUGCCAUGCCAAGCCUCUAACCAUCCUUUCCUAGCAAACCAUUGUUUGGCUAAGUUACCGCUUUUGCUCAGCCCUUCUUAUAGCGUUGCUAGUUGCAGGUGAAGUUGAAGUUAGUUCCAUGUUGGAACAUGGAUUCUUGGCUUAUCACAAUAUCUCUUAUUUAAUUAAUGCAUCUAUAUAUUUGGUAAAGGGUGGAAGGCUCGGCCUUAUGCCCGGUGUUUUGUUCCACUCUUGCCGCCCUAGUUUCCGUCAUACCGGUGUUAUGUUCCUUGAUUUUGCGUUCCUUACGCGGUUGGGUGAUUUAUGGGACCCCCUUGAUAGUUCGCUUUGAAUAAAACUCCUCCAGCAAGGCCCAACCUUGGUUUUACCAUAUGUCACCUAAGCCUUUUUCCCUUGGGUUUUCGCGAGCCCGAGGGUCAUCUUUAUUUUAANNNNNNNNNNNNNNNNNNNNNNNNNNNNNNNNNNNNNNNNNNNNNNNNNNNNNNNNNNNNNNNNNNNNNNNNNNNNNNNNNNNNNNNNNNNNNNNNNNNNNNNNNNNNNNNNNNNNNNNNNNNNNNNNNNNNNNNNNNNNNNNNNNNNNNNNNNNNNNNNNNNNNNNNNNCCCCGGCCAGUGCUCCUUCGAGUGUUGGUCCGAACCGAGCCGCCUGCGGGGCCACCUCGGGGAAACUCGAAGUCUGGUUUUACUCGUAGCCUGUCUCAUCCGGAGUGCCCUGAGAACGAGAUAUGUGCAGCUCCUAUCGGGAUUUGUCGGCACAGUCGGGCGGUCUUGCUGGUCUUGUUUUACCAUUGUCAAAAUGUCUUGUAAACCGGGAUUCCGAGACUGAUCGGGUCUUCCCAGGAGAAGGAAUAUCCUUCGUUGACCGUGAGAGCUUAUGAUGGGCUAAGUUGGGACACCCUGCAGGGUAUUAUCUUUCGAAAGCCGUGCCCGCGGUUAUGAGGCAGAGGGGAAUUUGUUAAUGUCCGGUUGUAGAGAACUUUACACUUGACUUAAUUAAAAUACAUCAACAGCGUGUGUAGCCGUGAUGGUCUCUUCUCGGCGGAGUCCGAGAAGUGAACAUUGUUUGGGUUAUGUAUGAGCGUAAGUAGUUUCAGGAUCGCUUCUUGAUCACUUCUAGCUUAUCGACCAAUGCGUUGCUUCUCUUCUCGCUCUCAUUUGCGUAUGUUAGCCACCAUAUAUGCUUAGUGCUUGCCGCAGCUCCACCAUAUUACCCCAUCCUUCCUAUAAGCUUAAAUAGUCUUGAUCUCGCGGGUGUGAGAUUGUUGAGCCCUCGUGACUCACAGAUUCUACCAAAACAGUUGCAGGUGUCGAGGAUAUCUAUGCAGGUGACGCAACCGAGCUCAAGUGGGAGUUUGACGAGGACCGUGGUCGUUACUAUGUUUCAUUUCCUGAUGAUCAGUAGUGGAGCCCAGUUGGUACGAUCGGGGAUCUAGCAUUUGGGGUUGUCUUCUUUCAUUUGGUUUCGUAGUCGGACCUUGAUUGUACUCUGAAUGAGGUAUGUUUAAUUUAUGCAUUCUGUGAAGUGGCUACUGUAAGCCAACUCUUUAUCCCAUUCUUGUUCAUUACAUGGGAUUGUGUGAAGAUGACCCUUCUUGCGACAAUACCUACAAUGCGGUUAUGCCUCUAAGUCGCGCCUCGACACGUGGGAGAUAUAGCCGCAUCGUGGUUGUUACAAGUUGGUAAUCAGAGCCAUCCCCGACUUAGGAGCCCCCCUGCUUGAUCGAAUCGCUGGCUUUGUUGAGUCUAGAAAAAAAUGUUUUGAGUCUUAGGAUUAUAUAUAUCGGAGAGUAGGAUUCUUUUUACUCCUCAGUCCCUUCGUCGCUCUGGUGAGGCCCCCCUGACGUAGAAGUUUUGCCUUUCCUAUCCUCAAAUUUCACUAAAAGAAAUUUAGGAUCACGCGGGUAUCUUGGAAUCGUUCCGAUGGUUUUGUGACGAGAACAUUGUUCUUGGUGCCUCCUGACAUUUAGGGGUUGUGGCAAUGUCCCGGGGAGUUGAGCUCCGAGGUGUUGUCGUCACAAUUUUAUCGUUGCAGUUCUGGAAUACCUGAGUUUCGCCGACAUCGAAAAUCUCUUUUAUGCAGUUGUUGGUGAGAUAACCUCGACGCCACCUAGUACUGGGACAGGAGUUCGGGAGUAUUGCCAUAACUCGUAUAACGGAUGCUUUUCGAAGGUUGAGGUAAAUAAUUUCCGAAGGUUUCUUGGUUAUGUGUUGAAGGAUGGAUACAACUGGAUCUAGGUAUUGUUAGUUUGGGUGAGAUAUAUUGUGUCCCAUGUAUCCCCAACACCAGAUUGCAUAACCAGAAAGUUUCGGGAGUUUAUAAGUGGGAAUUCAAGUAGCUCCUAGGAUAUCUUUCCGACAGAUGCAUGUUAUGAGAUUGGGGUUCGACGUCUAGUGGUCCAUCUAUCUACGGUUGGUUUUACAGUGGUCUCGUAGUGUCUUAAAGAGUCCUUGGCUAUGCCGACUCGGGGAAGCUUCGUAUGUCAUGUGCACUGCCUUGUACAUGAUGGUGCUAUACGAUCGAGCCCGUGUGGGCCUCAUGUUGGAAAUAUGCCCUAGUGGCAAUAAUAAAAUGGUUAUUAUUGUAUUUCCUUGUUCGUGAUAAUUGUCUGUUGUUCAUGCUAUAAUUGUAUUAACUGGAAACCGUAAUACAUGUGUGAAUACAUAGACCACAACAUGUCCCUAGUAAGCCUCUAGUUGACUAGCUCGUUGAUCAAUAGAUGGUUAUGGUUUCCUGACCAUGGACAUUGGAUGUCAUUGAUAACGGGAUCACAUCAUUAGGAGAAUGAUGUGAUGGACAAGACCCAAUCCUAAGCAUAGCACAAGAUCGUGUAGUUCGUUUGCUAUAGCUUUUCUAAUGUCAAGUAUCAUUUCCUUAGACCAUGAGAUUGUGCAACUCCCGGAUACCGUAGGAAUGCUUUGGGUGUACCAAACAUCACAACGUAACUGGGUGGCUAUAAAGGUGCACUACAGGUAUCUCCGAAAGUGUCUGUUGGGUUGGCACGAAUCGAGACUGGGAUUUGUCACUCCGUAUGACGGAGAGGUAUCUCUGGGCCCACUCGGUAAUGCAUCAUCAUAAUGAGCUCAAUGUGACUAAGGAGUUAGCCAUGGGAUCAUGCCUUACGGUACGAGUAAAGUGACUUGCCGGUAACGAGUUUGAACAAGGUAUUGGGAUACCGACGAUCGAAUCUCGGGCAAGUAACGUACCGAUUGACAAAGGGAAUUGUAUACGGGAUUGAUUGAAUCCUCGACAUCGUGGUUCAUUCGAUGAGAUCAUCGUGGAACAUGUGGGAGCCAACAUGGGUAUCCAGAUCCCGCUGUUGGUUAUUGACCGGAGAGUCGUCUCAGUCAUGUCUGCAUGUCUCCCGAACCCGUAGGGUCUACACACUUAAGGUUCGGUGAUGCUAGGGUCGUAGAGAUAUUAGUAUGCGGUUAACCGAAAGUUGUUCGGAGUCUCGGAUGAGAUCCCGGACGUCACGGUAAAGAUUUAUAUAUGGGAAGUCCUAUUUUGGCCACCGGAAAAUGUUCGGGAUUUUUUGGUAUUGUACCGGGAAGGUUCUAGAAGGUUCCAAAGUGGGGCCCACCUGCAUGGGGGGACCCACAUGAACGUGGGUAGUGGGGGCAAGGCCCCACACCCCUGGUCAAGGCACACCAAGAUCCCACCUUAGAAGGAAUAAGAUCAUAUCCCGAAGGGAUAAGAUCAAGAUCCCUAAAAAGGGGGGAUAACAAUCGGUGGGGAAGGGAAAUGAUGGGAUUUCUUUCCCCCACCUUUGCCAACGCCCCAAUGGACUUGGAGGGCAAGAAACCAGCCCCUCCACCCCUAUAUAUAGUGGGGAGGCGCAUGGGAGCAGCACCCCAAGCCCUGGCGCCUCCCUCCCUCCCGUGACACCUCUUCCUCCCCGCUUGCGCUUGGCGAAGCCCUGCCGGGAUCCCGCUACUUCCACCACCACGCCGUCGUGCUGCUGGAUCUCCAUCAACCUCUCCUCCCCCCUUGCUGGAUCAAGAAGGAGGAGACGUCGCUGCUCCGUACGUGUGUUGAACGCGGAGGUGCCGUCCGUUCGGCGCUAGGAUCAUCGGUGAUUUGGAUCACGACGAGUACGACUCCAUCAACCCCGUUCUCUUGAAUGCUUCCGCUCGCGAUCUACAAGGGUAUGUAGAUGCACUCCUCCCCUCUCUUCGCAAGCAUCUCCUAGAUUGAUCUUGGUGACACAUAGGAAAAUUUUGAAUUUCUACUACGUUCCCCAACAGUGGCAUCAUGAGCCAGGUCUAUGCGUAGAUUCUACGCACGAGUAGAACACAAAGUAGUUGUGGGCGAUGAUUUGUUCAAUUUGCUUACCGUUACUAGUCUUAUCUCGAUUCGGCGGCAUUGUGGGAUGAAGCGGCCCGGACCGACCUUACACGUACUCUUACGUGAGACAGUUUCCACCAACUGACAUGCACUUGAUGCAUAAGGUGGCUAGCGGGUGUCUGUCUCUCCCACUUUAGUCGGAUCGGAUUCGAUGAAAAGGGUCCUUAUGAAGGGUAAAUAGCAAUUGGCAUAUCACCGUUGUGGUUUUUGCGUAGGUAACAAACGUUCUUGCUAGAAACCCAUAGCAGCCACGUAAAACAUGCAACAACAAUUAGAGGACGUCUAACUUGUUUUUGCAGGGUAUGCUAUGUGAUGUGAUAUGGCCAAAAGGAUGUGAUGAAUGAUAUAUGUGAUGUAUGAGAUUGAUCAUGUUCUUGUAAUAGGAAUCACGACUUGCAUGUCGAUGAGUAUGACAACCGGCAGGAGCCAUAGGAGUUGUCUUAAUUUAUUGUAUGACCUGCGUGUCAAUGAAAAAUGCCAUGUAAUUACUUUACUUCAUUGCUAACCGUUAGCCAUAGUAGUAGAAGUAAUAGUUGGCGAGACAACUUCAUGAAGACACGAUGAUGGAGAUCAUGAUGAUGGAGAUCAUGGUGUCAUGCCGGUGAGGAAGGUGAUCAUGCCGCGCCUCGAAGAUGGAGAUCAAAAGGCGCAAGAUGAUAUUGGCCAUAUCAUGUCACUUUAUGAUUUGCAUGUGAUGUUUGUCAUGUUUACAUCUUAUUUGCUUAGAACGACGGUAGCAUAAAUAAGAUGAUCCCUCACUAAAAUUUCAAGAGAUGUGUUCCCCCUAACUAUGCACCAUUGCGAAGGUUCGUUGUUUCGAAGCACCACGUGAUGAUCGGGUGUGAUAGAUUCUAACGUUCACAUACAACGGGUGUUGACGAGCCUAGCAUGUACAGACAUGGCCUCGGAACACAAGCAAAACACUUAGGUUGACUUGACGAGCCUAGCAUGUACAGACAUGGCCUCGGAACACAAGAGACCGAAAGGUGGAACAUGAGUCGUAUAGUAGAUACGAUCAACAUGGAGAUGUUCACCGAUGAUGACUAGUCCGUCUCACGUGAUGAUCGGACAAGGCCUAGUCGAUUCGGAUCAUGUAUCACUUAGAUGACUAGAGGGAUGUCUAUCUAAGUGGGAGUUCAUUAAAUAAUCAGAUGAACUUAAUUAUCAUGAACAUAGUCAAAAGGUCUUUGCAAAUAAUGUCGUAGCUUACGCUUUAGUUCAACUAAGAUAUGUUCCUAGAGAAAAUUUAGUUGAAAGUUGAUAGUAGCAAUUAUGCGGACUGGGUCCGUAAACUGAGGAUUGUCCUCAUUGCUGCACAGAAGGCUUAUGUCCUUAAUGCACCGCUCGGUGUGCUGAACCUCGAGCGUCGUCUGUAGAUGUUACGAAACAUCUGACAUACACGUUUUGAUGACUACGUCAUAGUUCAGUGUGUGAUGCUAACGGUUUAAAAUUCUGGCACCAAAGACGGUUUUGAAACGUCGUAGAACAUAUGAGAUGUUCCAAAGACUGAAAUUGGGAUUUCAGACUAAUGCCCACGUCAAGAGGUAUGAGACCUCUGACAAGUUUCUUAAGCCUGUAAACUAAGGGAGAAAAGCUCAAUCGUUGAGCAUGUGCUCAGAUUGUCUGAGUACUACAAUCACUUGAAUCGAGUGGGAGUUAAUCUUCCAGAUGAGAUAGUGAUGGUUCUCCAUAGUCACUGCCACCAAGCUAUUAGAGCUUCGUGAUGAACUAUAACAUAUCAAGGAUAGACAUGAUGAUCCUUGAGCAACUCGCGAUGUUUGACACCGCGAAAGUAGAAAUCAAGAAGGAGCAUCAAUUGUUGAUGGUUUGUAAAACCACUAGUUUCUAGAAGGGCAAGGGCAAGAAGGGAUACUUCAUGAAACGGCAAAUCAGUUGCUGCUCUAGUGAAGAAACCCAAGGUUGAACCCAAACCCGAGACUAAGUGCGUCUGAAAUGAGGGGAAUGGUCACUGAAGCAGAACUACCCUAGAUACUUCGUAGAUGAGAAGGCUGGCAAGGUCGACAGAAGUAUAUUGGAUAUACAUUAUAUUAAUGUGUACUUUACUAGUACUCCUAGUAGCACCAGGGUAUUAGAUACCGGUUCGGUUGCUAAGUGUUAGUAACUCGAAAUAAAAGCUGCGGAAUAAACGGAGACUAGCUAAAGGUGAGAUGACGAUAUGUGUUGGAAGUGUUUCCAAGGUUGAUGUGAUCAAGCAUCGCAUGCUCCCUCUACCAUCGAGAUUGGGGUUAAACCUGAAUAAUUAUUAUUUGGUGUUUGCGUUGAGCAUAGACAUGAUUGGAUUAUGUUUAUCGCAAUACUGUUAUUCAUUAAAGGAGAAUAAUGGUUACUCUGUCUAUUUGAAUAAUACCUUCAAUGGUCUUGCACCUAAAAUGAAUGGUUUAUUGAAUCUCGAUCGUAGUGAUACACAUGUUUGAUAUAAGAUAGUAAUGAUAGUACCACAUACUUGUGGCACUGCCACUUGAGUCAUAUUGGUAUAAAACGCAUGAAGAAGCUCCAUGUUGAUGGAUCUUUGGAGUCACUCAUUUUUUAAAAGAUUAAGACAUGCGAACCAUGUCUAUUAGUAUAUAUGCAUGAAGAAAGUCCAUACAGAUGGAUCAUUUGGACUCACUUGAUUUUGAAUCACUUGAGACAUGCAAAUCAUACCACAGGGGCAAGAUGACUGAAAGGCCUCGUUUUCAGUAAGAUGGAACAAGAGAGCAACUUGUUGGAAGUAAUACAUUUGAUGUGUGCAGUCCAAUGAGUGCUGAGGCACGCAGUGGAUAUCGUUAUGUUCUUACUUCACAGAUGAUUUUAGUAGAUGCUGAGAAUAUUUACUUGAUGAAACACAAGUCUGAAUUAUUGAAAGGUUCAAGUAAUUUCAGAGUGAAGUUGAAGAUCGUCGUGACAAGAGGAUAAAAUAUCUGUGAUAUGAUCAUAGAGAUGAAUAUCUGAGUUACGAGUUUGGCACACAAUUAAGAAAUUGUGGAAAUUGUUUCAUGACUAAUACCGCCUGGAACACCAUGUUGUGAUGGUGUGUCCGAACAUCAUAACUGCACCCUAUUGGAUAUGGUGCAUACCAUGAUGUCUCUUAUCGAAUUACAACUAUCGUUUAUGGGUUAGGCAUUAGAGACAACCGCAUUCACUUUAAAUAGGGCACCACUCAAUUCCGUUGAGACGACACCGUAUGAACUAUGGUUUAGAGAAACCUAAGCUGUCGUUUCUUAAAAGUUUGGGGCUGCGACGCUUAUGUGAAAAAGUUUCAGGCUGAUAAGAUCGAACCCAAAGCGGAUAAAUGCAUCUUCAUAGAAUACCCAAAACAGUUGGGUAUACCUCCUAUUUCAGAUCUGGAAGCAAAAGUGAUUGUUUCUAGAAACGGGUCCUUUCUCGAGGAAAAGUUUCUCUCGAGAGAAUUGAGUGGGAGGAUGGUGGAGACUUGAUGAGGUCAUUGAACCGUCACUUCAACUAAUGUGUAGGAGGGCACAGGAAGUUGUUCCUGUGGCACCUACACCAAUUGAAGUGGAAGCUUAUGAUAGUGAUCAUGAAACUUCAGAUCAAGUCACUACCAAACCUCAUAGGACGACAAGGAUGCGUACUACUUCAGAGUGGUACGUAAUCAUGUCUUGGAAGUCAUGUUGCUAGACAACAAUGAACCUACGAGCUAUGGAGAAGCGAUGGUGGGCCCGGAUUCCGACGAAUGGCUCGAGGCCAUAAAAUCGGAGAGGAUCCAUGUAUGAAAACAAAGUAUAGACUUUGAAAGAACUACUUGAUGGUCGUAAGGCUGUUGGGUACAGAUGGAUUUUAAAAGGAAGACAGACAAUGAUGGUAAGUGUCACCAUUAAGAAAGCUCGACUUGUCGUUAAGAUGUUUUCCGGCAAGUUCAAGGAGUUGACUGCGAUGAGACUUUCUCACUCGUAGCGAUGCUAAGAGUCUGUUAGAAUUAUAUUAGCAGUUACUGCAUUAUUUAUGAAAUCUUGCAGAUAGGAUGUCAAAACAUUGUUUCCUCGACGAUUUUCUUGAGGAAAGGUUGUAUGUGAUACAACCAGAAGGUUUUGUCAAUCCUGAAUCAUGCUAACAAGUAUGCAAAGCUCCAGCAAUCCUUCUAAGGAUUGGAGUAAGCAUCUCGGAGUUAAAAUGAAUGCUUUGAUGAGAUGAUCAAAGAUUUUGGGUUUAUACAAAGUUCAUGAGAAACUUGUAUUUCCAAAGAAGUGAGUGGGAGCACUAUAGAAUUUUUGAUGAGUAUAUGUUGUUAACAUAUUGUUGAUCAGAAAUGAUGUAGAAUUUCUGGAAAGCAUCCAGGGUUAUUUGAAAAGUGUUUUUAAUGGAAAACCUGGAUUAAGCUACUUGAACAUUGAGCAUCAAGAUCUAUAAGGAUAGAUAAAAAACGCUUAAUAGUACUUUCAAAUGAAUACAUACCGUGACAAGAUUUUGAAGGAGUUCAAAAUAGAUCAGAAAAGAAGGAGUUCUUGGCUGUGUUACAAGGUGUGAGUAUUGAGUAAGACUCAAGACCUGACCACGGCAGAAGAAAGAGAAAGGACGAAGGUCGUCCCCUAUGCUUUAGACGUAGGCUCUACAAUAUGCUAUGCUGUGUACCGCACCUGAAGUGUGCCUUGCCAUGAGUUAGUCAAGGGGUACAAUAGUGAUCCAGGAAGGGAUCACAUGACAGCGGUCGAACUUAUCCUUAGUAUCUAGUGGACUAACGAAUUUUCUCGAUUAUGGAGGUGGAAAGGGGGUUCGUCGUAAAGGGUUACGUCGAUGCAAACUUUGACACUAAUCCGGAUGACUCUGAGUAGUGAACUGGAUUCGUAUAGUAGAGCAGUUAUUUGGAAUAGCUCCAAGUAGCGCGUGGUAGCUGCAUCUACAAGAUGACAUAGAUAUUUGUAAAGCACACACGGAUCUGAAUGUUGCAGACCCGUUGACUAAAACCUCUCUCGUAAGCAUAACAUGAUCAAACCCUACAACUCAUUGAGUGUUAAUCACAAGGUGAUGUGAACUAGAUUAUUGACUCUAGUAAACUCUUGGGUAUUAGUCACAUGGCGAUGUGAACUUUGAGUGUUAAUCACAUGGUGAUGUGAACUAGAUUAUUGACUCUAGUGAAAGUGGGAGACUGUUGGAAAUAUGCCCUAGAGGCAAUAAUAAAAUGGUUAUUAUUGUAUUUCCUUGUUCAUGAUAAUUGUCUGUUGUUCAUGCUAUAAUUGUAUUAACUGGAAACCGUAAUACAUGUGUGAAUACAUAGACCACAACAUGUCCCUAGUAAGCCUCUAGUUGACUAGCUCGUUGAUCAAUAGAUGGUUAUGGUUUCCUGACCAUGGACAUUGGAUGUCAUUGAUAACGGGAUCACAUCAUUAGGAGAAUGAUGUGAUGGACAAGACCCAAUCCUAAGCAUAGCACAAGAUCGUUUAGUUCGUUUGCUAGAGCUUUUCUAAUGUCAAGUAUCGUUUCCUUAGACCAUGAGAUUGUGCAACUCCCGGAUACCGUAGGAAUGCUUUGGGUGUACCAAACGUCACAACGUAACUGGGUGGCUAUAAAGGUGCACUACAGGUAUCUCCGAAAGUGUCUGUUGGGUUGGCAUGAAUCGAGACUGGGAUUUGUCGCUCCGUAUGACGGAGAGGUAUCUCUGGGCCCACUCGGUAAUGCAUCAUCAUAAUGAGCUCAAUGUGACUAAGGAGUUAGCCACGGGAUCAUGCGUUACGGUACGAGUAAAGUGACUUGCCGGUAACGAGAUUGAACAAGGUAUUGGGAUACCGACGAUCGAAUCUCGGGCAAGUAACGUACCGAUUGACAAAGGGAAUUGUAUACGGGAUUGAUUGAAUCCUCGACAUCGUGGUUCAUCCGAUGAGAUCAUCAUGGAACAUGUGGGAGCCAACAUGGGUAUCCAGAUUCCGCUGUUGGUUAUUGACCGGAGAGUCAUCUCGGUCAUGUCUGCAUGUCUCCCGAACCCGUAGGGUCUACACACUCAAGGUUCGGUGAUGCUAGGGUUGUAGAGAUAUUAGUAUGCGGUUAACCGAAAGUUGUUCGGAGUCCCGGAUGAGAUCCCGGACGUCACGAGGUGUUCCGGAAUGGUCCAGAGGUAAAGAUUUAUAUAUGGGAAGUCCUAUUUUAGCCACCGGAAAAUGUUCGGGAUUUUUCGGUAUUGUACCGGGAAGGUUCUAGAAGGUUCCGAAGUGGGGCCCACCUGCAUGGGGGGACCCACAUGAACGUGGGUAGUGGGGGCAAGGCCCCACACCCCUGGUCAAGGCACACCAAGAUCCCACCUUAGAAGAAACAAGAUCAUAUCCCGAAGGGAUAAGAUCAAGAUCCCUAAAAAGGGGGGAUAACAAUCGGUGGGGAAGGGAAAUGAUGGGAUUUCUUUCCCCCACCUUUGCCAACGCCCCAAUGGACUUGGAGGGCAAGAAACCAGCCCCUCCACCCCUAUAUAUAGUGGGGAGGCGCAUGGGAGCAGCACCCCAAGCCCUGGCGCCUCCCUCCAUCCCGUGACACCUCUUCCUCCCCGCUUGCGCUUGGCGAAGCCCUGCCGGGAUCCCGCUACUUCCACCACCACGCCGUCGUGCUGCUGGAUCUCCAUCAACCUCUCCUCCCCCCUUGCUGGAUCAAGAAGGAGGAGACAUCGCUGCUCCGUACGUGUGUUGAACGCGGAGGUGCCGUCCGUUCGGCGCUAGGAUCAUCGGUGAUUUGGAUCACGACGAGUACGACUCCAUCAACCCCGUUCUCUUGAACGCUUCCGCUCGCGAUCUACAAGGGUAUGUAGAUGCACUCCUCCCCUCUCGUUGCUAGCAUCUCCUAGAUUGAUCUUGGUGACACGUAGGAAAAUUUUGAAUUUCUGCUACGUUCCCCAACACCCCACCACGAAAACUUCGGACGAAAUCUCUAUCCUAUGUUUGUUCCGGCUUAUUCUGCAAGCCAAUCCUUUGUUUUGUUAAGAGUUGUGGUAUUUGAGUUGCUUCAAAGUCAAAUGUUGAUUCCAUACCUUUUUCUAAGUGGCUUCUCAACUUAUGGAAGUGUGAUGAUUUACUAUGGAAUUCAUUCGUUCAUCCUCGUUUGAAUGCUUAUUGUGAAGACUAUAUGUUGCAAAUUUCUAUCUGUUGAUUCAACUUGUCUAUCUGUCUAUCAAGAUGCUAAUGGAUGUCACCCUCUUCAGGAUGGCUCUGCCAACGCGUCAGAAUCCGGAACGCAAUGAUGGGAGUCAGGCGAACCCUCCGCCUCCACCUCCGCCUCCGGAGGCAUGGCAAGCUAUCAUGGCAGCCACCAACGCCAAUGCUCAGAUGAUUUUGCAACUCUUGCAAGAGCGCACCCAAGGGCAAGGCAACCAAGGAAACCAAGGCCAAGGCAACAAUCAGCCUCACUUCGCUACCCUCAACCAGUUCCUUGCAAAUCAGCCGAAGUCAUUCAGCUACUGUGCCGAGGCCACAGACGCCGAUGAUUGGCUAGUGGACAUCAACAAGCAUUUUGAAUGUAGCAAUGUCGGGCCUGAGGACUUUGUCAAGUUUGCUUCUUUUCAACUCAAGGGUCAAGCUGCUGAUUGGUAUCAACAAUACAAAGACUCCAGAGGAGGUCGUGUGAUCACUUGGACUGACUUCUAUCGGGACUUCAAAGCUCACCACAUUCCACAAAGUGUUGUUGAGAGCAAGCGUGAGGAGUUCCGCAAUCUCAAGCAAGGCAGCAUGUCCAUGUAUCAAUACAACAUCCAGUUUCAGAAACUUGCUCGCUUCGCUAAACAAGACGUUCCUGAUGAAAAGAGCAUGAUCUAUCACUUCAGAGGUGACCUUAGAGAGGAUCUGCAGUUAGCUCUCGUUCUUGUUGAGCCUACUCAGUUUGAUCAAUUCUAUAACAUGGCACUGAAGCAAGAAGCUGCCCAGCUCAAGUGUGAGGCUUCUAAGAAGAGAGUCAGGGACGCAGUUCAGUCUUCUUCUUCCUCACUAGUGGCAGCUAAGCAUCAGAAGUUUUGGUUGCCACCUCCUCCUCCGUUUCGUCAGCCGUUCCAGCAGAAGAACAAAGGUGGCCAUGGAUCUUCCCACCCACCCAACCUUGGCUAUCUGAACAAGUCUCAGAAUCAAGCUCCAAGGCCAAAUGCUCCUUAUCAUCGUUCGCUCUCAGAGCUAACUUGCAACAAGUGUCAGCAGAAAGGUCACUAUGCUAACAAGUGCUUCAACCAAAGGCGCCUUUUGCCUCCUCCUCCUGUGAGAUCUUCCAGCAAUGCAGUGGUCAAGCAUAAUCCCAAGUCUGCAAAGGUGAACAUGAUGAAUGCAGCUCAAGCGGAGGAAUCUACUGAUGUGAUAAUGUGUAAUCUCUCAGUUAAUGAUAUUCCUGCAAAAGUCUUAUUUGAUACCGGUGCAUCACAUUCUUUCAUGUCAUAUCCUUUUGCAUCGAAGCACAAUUUUGACACAGAGGAAUUACCUAGAGCAAUGCAAGUUGUUUCUCCAGCUAAGCGUUUGAGAUGUACCAUGUUGGUUCCGAAUGUCGGUAUCAAGAUGAGCGACUAUAAAUUUCUGUCUUCUCCAAUUGUCCUUGGUGACUCGGACAUUGAUCUAAUUCUUGGGAUGGACUGGCUUUCUAAGCACAAGGCUCAACUUGAUUGUGCUUCCAGGGAAAUUCAUUUAACACACUCUUCUGAGGAUGUAAUCAUCUAUGCCGCUCGUGAUGAGACCAUUCGGUUAUUCUCUCUAAAUUAAAAGGGCGAGCUAGACGCAAUCUCUCAGAUUCCAGUCGUUUGUGAGUACCAAGAUGUCUUUCCAGAAGAGCUUCCGGGUAUGCCUCCUCACCUGCCAGUCGAAUUUGUUAUCGAUCUUGAGCCCGGCACUGAACCCGUUUGCAAGCGUCCAUACAAGCUAGGACCCAAGGAGCUGAAAGAAUUGAAGAAACAGCUCGAUGAACAAGAGCGUCUGGGUUUGAUCAGACCAAGUUCAUCUCCGUGGGGUUGUGGUGUUCUUUUUGUCCAGAAGAAGGAUGGCACGGACCGACUUUGUGUCGACUACCGCCCAUUGAACAAGAAGACAAUCAAGAACAAGUAUCCACUUCCCAACAUCAAUGAGCUUUUCGAGCAACUCAAAGGUGCUAAAGUUUUCUCCAAGCUUGACCUUCGUAUGGGUUAUCAUCAGAUUCGCAUUCGUGAAGAAGAUAUUCCCAAGACAGCAUUCAGAACAAGUUUUGGUUCUUAUGAAUAUACUGUCAUGUCUUUCGGCCUUGUCAAUGCUCCUCCAACAUUCUCUCGAAUGAUGAAUUUCAUCUUCAACCCCUAUACCAAUGAAUUCGUGCCGGUGUAUCUCGAUGAUAUCUUGGUCUUCUCCAAGAAUAAGAAGGACCAUGCCAAACAUUUGCGAUUGGUGCUCGACAAGCUCAGAGAGUAUCAAUUCUAUGCGAAGUUUUCCAAAUGUGAGUUUUGGCUUGAUGAAGUUGUUUACCUUGGUCAUAUCAUCUCUGCCAAGGGCAUCGCUGUUAACCCCGCGAAGGUGUCUGCAGUUGUGGAUUGGGAACCUCGUUAGAAUGUCAAGCAGCUCCGCAGUUUUCUUGGGCUUGCAAGCUAUUGCCGAAGAUUCGUUGGGAAUUUCUCUAAGAUUGCAAAGCCUCUUUCCAACCUCCUCCAGAAGCAUGUGAAGUAUGUCUGGACUCCUGAGUGUGACGUAGCUUUCAACACUCUCAAAGAGAAACUUGUCACAGCUCCCGUCUUAACUCCUCCUGACGAAUCCAAGCCAUUUGAAGUUUUCCGUGAUGCUUCUCUUCAAGGUCUCGGUGCUGUGUUAAUGCAAGAGAAGAAAGUUGUGGCCUAUACCUCUCGUCAGUUGAAGCCCAACGAAAAGAACUACCCCACUCACGAUCUUGAGUUGGCGGCAGUUGUCCAUGCAUUAAUAACAUGGAGACAUCUCUUGUUGGGAAGGAAAGUGGACAUAUUCACCGAUCACAAGAGUGUCAAGUACAUCUUCACUCAACCCAACCUCAACCUCAGGCAAACUCGAUGGGUCGAAAUGAUUCAAGAGUACAAUCCGAGUAUUGAAUAUACUCCAGGCAAGGCCAAUGCCAUUGCAGAUGCUUUGAGCAGAAAGGCUUAUUGCAACAGCUUAAUUCGCAAGCCAUUUCAACCGGAUCUUUGUGAAGCUUUCCGCAAACUCAAUCUUCAAGUUGUUCCUCAAGGUUUUCUUGCCAACCUCCUAGUCUCUCCUACUUUGGAAGAUCAAAUUCGUGAGGCACAACUUCUUGAUGCCAUGGUGAAGAAGGUGAAACUGGGGAUUGCCAAGGGCAUUUCCAAAUACAAGUGUUAUCGCAUUGAUGACGGAGACACUCUUUUCUUCGAGGAUCGAAUUGUGGUUCCUAAGGGCGAUCUGAGGAAAGUCAUUAUGAACGAAGAGCACAAUUCUAUUCUUUCCCUUCAUCCUGGAAGUACGAAGAUGUACCAUGACCUCAAGCAGUCGUAUUGGUGGACUCGAAUGAAGCGAGAGAUUGCUCAAUUCGUGAAUGAAUGUGAUGUCUGCAGAAGGGUGAAAGCAGAACACCAACGACCAGCUGGUCUCCUCCAACCUCUUGCUAUUCCAGAAUGGAAGUUUGAUCAUAUCGAGAUGGACUUUAUGACUGGAUUUCCUAAGUCCAAGCGUGGAAAUGAUGCUAUCUUCGUUGUCAUUGACAAGCUUACAAAAGUGGCUCAUUUCCUUCCAAUCAAAGAAUCUAUCACAGCAGCUCAGUUGGCAGAGCUAUACACCUCCAGGCUUGUCUCCUUGCACGGCAUUCCACAAUUGAUCCUUCGGAUCGUGGAAGCAUCUUCACUUCUAUGUUCUGGGACUCCUUCCAGAAGGCCAUGGGCACCAACUUUCGCUUCAGCACAGCUUUCCAUCCUCAAACAAGUGGCCAAGUCGAGCGAGUCAAUCAAAUCCUUGAAUAUAUGCUCAGGGCUUGUGUCAUUUCCUUUGGCAUGAAGUGGGAAGAUUGUCUUCCAUAUGCCGAGUUCUCCUACAACAACAGCUUCCAAGCAAGUUCGGGCAAGGCCCCAUUCGAAAUUCUCUAUGGCAGGAAGUGUCGUACUCCUCUGAACUGGUCAGAGACUGGUGAACGCCAACUCCUUGGCAAUGACUUAAUCACAGAGGCUGAAGAAAUGUGUAAAGUCAUCCGUGAAAAUCUCAAAGCCGCGCAAUCGCGCCAGAAGAGCUACUAUGAUAGAGAGCACCGUGAUGUGGCUUUUGAAAUCGGAGACCAUGUGUACCUCCGCGUCUCUUCAAUGAAAGGCACUCGUCGCUUCGGUAUCAAAUGGAAGCUUGCCCCUAGAUACGUGGGUCCUUUCAAGAUCCUUGGUGAAAGAGGCGAUCUCGCCUAUCAACUUGAGCUUCCCUCAAAUUUUGCGAAUAUGCACGAUGUGUUCCACGUGUCACAGCUUCGCAAGUGCUUCAAGACUCCUGAGCGCACCAUCAAAUUCGAAGAGAUUGACCUCCAAGAAGAUCUGGCUUAUCAUGAGCACCCCGUUGCUAUUCUUGAAGAAACUGGGCGCAAGACUCGCAACAGGUCAAUCAAAUCCCUGAAAGUGAAGUGGUCACACCAUUCCGACCGAGAAGCCACCUGGGAGCGCGAGGACCACCUCCGUUCCGAUUAUCCGGAGUUCUUUCAGUCCUAGAUCUCGGGACGAGAUCCUCUCGUAGUGGUGGAGUGUUGUAACACCCCGGAUGUGACUUCCCAUAUUUGUAACUCCAACUCUUGUCAUUUUCGGCUAUGUGUUAUGAUAUUCCCUCCGUGGUUGGGUUUUGUUUAUCGUUUUGCUUUUUGUUCAUGUCAUGCAUUUCAUAUCAUGUCAUCAUGUGCAUCGCAUUUGCAUACGUGUUCGUCUCUGGCAUCCGAGCAUUUUCCCCGUUGUCCGUUUUGCAAUUCGACACUUCCACAUGCACCGGCGCACCCCUCUUGUCUCUUUUUGUUAGCGGGUGUUAAACGUUCUCAGAAUGGACCGAGGUGUGCCAAGUGGCCUUGGUACACCACCGGUAGACCACCUGUCAAGUUUCGUUCCAUUUGGAGGUCGUUUGAUGUUCCAACGGUUAACCGGGUAACCGCAAAGGCCUCUUGUGUGUUGCAGCCCAACACCCCUGCAAAACAGCCCAAGAACCCAUAUAAGCCCCCUCCAUGCUCUCCGCCGUUCGAUCACGCUCGCGUGGCCGAAAAGUACACCCCAGUUGGAGUCUCCUAGCUCCCUCUAGCUAUAAAUAUGUGCACUCCUCCGAAAUCCCGGGUCCCGAAACCCUAGCCUCGCCCCUCUCCGCCGCCGGACACGUCCGGAUCGGGCCGGACAAAUCGCCGCCGCCGCCCGAGCCAACUGGAGGGCACCACGUGGCGCUCCCCGCCGCCAGCCGCCGCCGGCCCGCCCGAGCCCGCGGGAGGUCCUCCCCGAGCCCAUCGUCGCCCCGCGCCUCCGCGCGCCUCCCGCGUCGGCCCGCUGNNNNNNNNNNNNNNNNNNNNNNNNNNNNNNNNNNNNNNNNNNNNNNNNNNNNNNNNNNNNNNNNNNNNNNNNNNNNNNNNNNNNNNNNNNNNNNNNNNNNNNNNNNNNNNNNNNNNNNNNNNNNNNNNNNNNNNNNNNNNNNNNNNNNNNNNNNNNNNNNNNNNNNNNNNNNNNNNNNNNNNNNNNNNNNNNNNNNNNNNNNNNNNNNNNNNNNNNNNNNNNNNNNNNNNNNNNNNNNNNNNNNNNNNNNNNNNNNNNNNNNNNNNNNNNNNNNNNNNNNNNNNNNNNNNNNNNNNNNNNNNNNNNNNNNNNNNNNNNNNNNNNNNNNNNNNNNNNNNNNNNNNNNNNNNNNNNNNNNNNNNNNNNNNNNNNNNNNNNNNNNNNNNNNNNNNNNNNNNNNNNNNNNNNNNNNNNNNNNNNNNNNNNNNNNNNNNNNNNNNNNNNNNNNNNNNNNNNNNNNNNNNNNNNNNNNNNNNNNNNNNNNNNNNNNNNNNNNNNGUCCGCCGUGUCGCCGGUCGCCGCCCCCGCGCCGCCGUCCUCCGCCGUGUCGCCGGUCGCCGCCCCCGCGCCGCUGGUCCCCGUCGCCCCCUCGCCGUCCGGCGACCGCUCCCUGGCCAGAUCCGGCGGGCCCCGACCGGCCCCGUCCCGCCGGCGCCAUCUCCCUCCUCUCCAUCUCCGGCCGGCGUCCUCCUCUUCUCCGGCGAGCCGCCGCCUACCUCGAACUGCGCGCGAGAUCCAGAUCCAAAGCGGAGGUUGACCCCGAAAUUCCACCAAGUCAUUUCUCUGUCAUAUUUUGUUGCUCUGUUCAUCACAUCAUACCUCCUUGCAUACUGCUCCGUUUCAUGCGCAUGAUAUAUCAAAAUGUUCACCACGAGAUGCUCUUCAAUUUGUUACAUUGUGACAUGCUCGUUUGAGUUCAUCUGGUUACUCAAAUAUUUGAUGCAAAAGUGCUAUAUGAUGUUUACUGCUUUUCCUUAUCAGAACUUGAUGUUUUGUUAUUUUUGUUGCAUUUGAUGUGUGCAUCUUUUGGGGAUGAGCCCUACAUGUAUUUUGAUCUAUGCCAUGCCAUCUUUACAUAGGUGCUGGACAUGUAUGUUUGCAAUCUAUGGGGUGACUAGCACAAGCAUGCAAACUAGGCUUCGUCAUGUUUCUGUUUUCAGGGACUUAGGAUUUUGCCAAGUCUUUUCCUGCUGUUAUUUUUUAAUGCCAUGUAAACUUGAUGCUACAGUGAGAUCCACGCUUAUUUUGUGAUACUUCAGUAAGGAUAUUUUGAACAUAUGGUUAUGCUCUAUCCAUCCAUGCCACUGCUUGCAAUUAUGGAGUGACGUAGCAUGUCCCAAUCUUGCUCUACUUUUGCUAUUAAAUGUUCCUGGAAGAAUGUUAACAUGCUAUUCAAUUUUGCCAAGGUUGUUGUAGUUGAUCCAUACAUGCUAUGAACUUGCUCUUGCCAUGGAUAGCUUCAUGAACAUGUCUUCUUGCUGUUGGUAUGCUUAUUUUGUCAUGCACUGCCUUGUGAUGAGUGCAUCGAGCUCACAAAUAUGCCUUCAUAAUUCUGUUAAUGUCAUGCUCUGUUUUCUGCCAAGUCUGAAAUCUGUUAACGAAACUUGCUAUGUUUACAUGGGUGCCAUCAUAUCUUCUGUGCCUUUUUAGCUCAUGAUCAGUAGGGGACUUUUGUUCUAUGCAUUUAGUAGAUUUAUGCUAUGCCUUGUUUUGCUUUGAUAAGUUCCUGUAGCAUGUUGAUUGCUUGCUCUAAACAUUGCUACCUGCUGCUGUUUAUGCCAUGUUCAGUAUUUUCACCAAGUUUGUGAAGCUGAUAUCUUUUGCACUUUUGCUAUGCUUGUUUGAACCUGCUCUGCUGUGAUUUAGCCGUAGCUCACUGUUCAUCUUUUGUCAGGCAUCUUGAGUACAUCACUGUCAUAUUCUUUGUUGUUAUGUUGGAGUGCAGUAGCUUAGUUUCUUGUUGCAUGCUAAGUGGCAUCGUGCUGUUAAUCGCAGAAUUGUGUCAUCCUUGUUUUGCUUGUCAUUUGCAAACCGUGCAUCCGAUUCCGGUGAUCUUUAUAUCGAUUUCAACUGAAAUCAUCUCAUCUUUCCAGCGGCAUACUUGGUUUGCCAAGUCGAUGCCUUGUUCAUCUUUUUCUUCCGGAGCACGCACAUGCAUUGCAUAUCACAUCUCGCAUGUCAUGCCAUGUAUUGCAUCAUGUUGCUUGUGCAUUGCACCGUGUUUGAUCGUGGUUCCAUUGCUUGUGUUCUUGCUUUGGGUAGAGUCGGGAGAUGAGUACGUGAACGAGGAACCUGUUGAGAACUGUCGUGGAAUUGUCACGGGAGAUGUCCUCGUGCAAGGACUUAGUCGUGGAUCCAUCGCAGCUAGGAAGCUUAAAUGGGUUAAACGGGACAAAGGACACGAGGAUUAUACUGGUUCGGCCCCUUACGUUGAAGGUAAAAGCCUACUCCAGUUGAGGUGGAAUUACUUAGGGUUUCGAUGACCAGGAGCUAAGCCGCUCUGCCUGGCUAUCGAUCUGAUCUUACUUGUCCUGAACCGCCGCCGGGUCGUCCCUUUAUAUAGAAAGGUUAACGCCCAGCGGCUCUCAGAGUUCCGGCCGGUUCAUAAACUGUGUCCGGCUUGGACUCUUAACUAUUCUUGCCUUACACUACAAGUCAUGCCACAACGGCGGUUUACCACUACGGGCCUUAAGUCGCCUCUGGGCCUUAGACCUAUUACUAAACCGCCAUCCUUAACCUGUCCUUGGGCUUCUGAACGAAGAGCUGUUGCAACGUAACCCGGCCCAUCUUGGGCGGGUUACACCGGUAGCUAUAUCCUCAACAUUAGGCCCCAGAUUGAUUUGAACCGGUUCAUGUCAAUCUUCAAUACCUUAAGAAAAAUCUUCCGGCUUCUGUUUGCGCAAAGGUUAUAACCCGCCAUGACGUCAUCUUCUGGAUUCUUGGUAAACCGCUGUGGCGUCACCCGCCAUUAAUGCACGUUCUGUCCAACGUAUCUCAACGGAUUCUUAUCUUAAUAACUAUCCCGAAAAUCGAGGCACCUCUGCAGCUGGAUAAUCAUGUCUUCAGCCUCCUCGUUUCUCGCGCCCACUCAUCAGCCGUCCCUUAUAAAUAGGCCCGACCGGGUCCUCUCUCACUCUUCCCUUUCCAUCGUCUUCCUUCUCUCAAACGCCCCAGAACCUGAGCUCCGCCGUCACCGCCGCGCCUCUCGUCUUCCUCAGCCUCGGCCGCUGGAUCAACCUGAGCUGGUCCAGAGAACGGCGGCGACUCUCCGCAGCAAACCUGCAGCCGUAAGUCUCCUCCUUCUCAAAUGUCAGAUCUGCAUUAGGGUUUCCAAGUUCUUCCCUGUUCUUCGCAACUCAUCACGAUUUCCUUGUAGUUCUUCCACUACGGUCAUGUUUGAUCCAAAAGUAGUACGGAGCUCCUGCGGUAGUUGUUUCGCAUCCAUUUUUAUGCUAGCAAAUCCCUUCUCCUUGUACAAAGACCUCCUUAGAGCUCACGAACUCAUCUGUACCAGUUUUUAGGUCUAGAACAUUUUCUUUUCUGAACGACCAUUUGAUCCAAAAUAAUCCCUGCAAUCUGUGAAACUUGUUUGUGCAACACUUAGGCAAAAAUUGCAUCUGUUAGCUAUGGCGGCUCAUAUCUCCGGCUUUAAAAAAGGCAAUGCUUCAUGAAUAUUCCGGCUCAUUCAUAAUAUAUUCAAAUAACUUAAUUGCUCAUGAUAUCCAUAGCUGCUUAAAUAAUCUGACACAAUUAGCCAUAUAACAUUAGGCCCCUUCAUAAGCCGCCACCUUAAAUAUUAAACCGAAACUUUCCUCCGGCUUAAAUUUGAACCGGAAAUUUUAUUUUGUCAUAGGCUUCCAUCCUUCACAAUGCCGCCCAAGGUUGCCCAAGAAAGAGGUCAUGUCAUAUCGUGCUCCUGACCCGUCUGAAGAGAGACCUCAACCCAAGGACGGAGAGGUUGUCAUAUUUGCUUAUCACAUGAGCCGGGGCUUUGCUCCUCCCGGCUCAAAAUUCUUCAGAGAUGUCCUGCACUUUUUCGACCUGCGACCUCAAGACAUUGGACCCAAUUCUGUGUCAAACAUUUGUAACUUCCAAGUGUUCUGUGAGGUGUACCUUGGAGAAGAGCCCAACUUGCUACUCUUUAGGGAGUUAUUUUAUCUGAACCGCCAGAAUGAAUGUGCCAACGGGCCUAGCUUGGAACUCGGUGGAAUCUCAAUCCAACGACGGAGAGAUUGUCUCUUCCCUUAUGCUGAGCCGCCAAGCCACCCAAAAGAUUGGAACCAGACAUGGUUCUAUUGCCAAGAUACUUCUCCGGCUGAUGAGAACCCUCUGCCCGGCUUUCGCGCCCUGCGUCUAGAGUCAAAUCACCCCCUGCCAGACAAAUUAUCUCAAGCUGAACGUCAACCACUUAUUCCCACCAUCAACGAAAUCAAAGCUCUUCUGGGGAACGGCCUAAAUGGCAUUGAUCUGGUCCGGGUCUGGAUUUCCUGGCAGGUGAUUCCUUUAAGCCGCCGCCCCGGCUUAAUGUGUGAUUACACGGGCCGGAAGGAUGAUUCUCUUUGGCACAGUCCCGACGAGUUACCUGAGGACGUCAUUGAUGAUAUGACCAAGUCUCUUCUGAACGAGAGCCUGGCAGAUUGCGGGAGGACAGGCUUAAGUCCUUUCUGCAAGGCUAACCCGGCCCUAGCGGUAAACUAUUGACCUGAACACCUCACCUUCCAUUUUAACGAUUUCGUCUUAACUUCAAAAACCUUUGUUGUAUUUUACAGGCUAAUGAUAAAUUCUGGAAGGUCAAGUAUGACCAUGAAGCUGCUAAGAACGCCAGAGAGGUUAAAAAAGCCGCCAGGAAAGCCGCUCCCCGCAAGAAGGGGAGUAAACCUAGCGCCUCGCACCUGCUUCACCUGGAAGACACCUCCGAGUCAGAGGUAGCCCUUGACUCUUUAGGCUCCUUUUUUAACCAUCUUAUUGACAUGGAUUAUCAGCAGGAGGACACAGGAACGAGUCAUGAAGUGAUUGAAGAGGUAACUAUAAUUUCCUCCGACUCGGAGCCCUUGCGAAGACUGAAUGUCCGAAGAGUAACCCGGAAAGUAAGAUUUUCACAUCCUUUAGCUUAUCAAGAUCCUCAAUUUCUUUUGAAGCGACAGAUUUAUGAGAGUCGGAGGCAGACCCGGACCAGCAAGGAUGCAGACCUUUCCUCCGGCUUACCCGAAGCAUCAAGGAAGCGCCGGACCGAGGUUAUCACUGACUUAUAUCCUUUUCAUCCUUUGGCGGGCGUCACUCGUCAACCACCCAAUUCUUCUGAUUCAAACUAUCAGGGAACUUCACCUUCCUCCGGCGACUCCAUGCAGUCUAGCUUGCCGGCUUUCAAAACCGCACCCGGGUAAUGAUGAUCAGCUUAUUUUGUGCUUAUCUUACUCAUGUUUUUGCACUAACCCUUUGACUUUCAGUGUACAGGUAAAGCCCAGCAGGAGGGCGAAGAAAAAUAAGCCGGCCGAAGAGCCGGUCCUGACUGAACCAGAUGCUUCUGCUCAUGAUCCGCCAUCUGCACCAGCUCCUGAAACCACCACUGCUCCAUCUGAUGAACAAGUUAUGGAAGGUUCUGAUAACCCAGAGAUCCCCAGCCCGGCUCAUCCAGAUGAUCCGGACGUUGUAAUUACCCGGACCGAGUUUGUUGAACCGGGAAGACCCACCGUGUUGGUUAGGUGCCCUGCCAAGGAAGAACUUCUGGAACGCCGCAGGGCCAGGCUGGAAAUCACUGAUUAUGCUCAUCUGAGCAUUGGAGAUAUUGUCUCUGGCUAUAUUAAUCAAGUGCACAACAGCUGGGACCUGGAAAUUGAUAUGGUGAAGCAAAUACAGCAAAAGUGUGAGGUAUGACUCUCUUGCUUACUCCAUAAUUAUCCUUACCAUGCCAGCCCCCAAGUCUAUUACUUAUAAUGAAAUAUGUUGUAGACUUAAUGCCGGCUUAGUAAUCACUGCAAGAAAACCGGCUUAUCUGGUAACACUCGAGGGCCGGUUUAAACAGCAUAGUUGAACCGGUCCUUACCUUGUUUUAAUCAAGUAGUUGAGCAGCUUUACGCAUUAGCCCCCAAGUGCCAAGUACCUUUGCCUGCAAAGUGCUUGGGACUUAUUUUCAUUUUCCGGCACUGUAAAUAGAGCUCUUCAACAUACAUUAGCCCCCAAGUGCCAAGUGUCUUUGCUUGCAAAGUGCUUGGGACUUAAUGUUGUAUUAUAAUCACCCUAACUGUAACCCGGAAUUUGUACAGGCCGUCUGUAAGAAAUUUGAAUCGGAAAACUCUGAUCUGAAGAACCGCCUGAAGACUCAGGAAAGUGAAACCCAAAAGGCCAACUCUAAAUUUGAAUUCAGUGUAUCUACACAAGAGAAACUGAAGAAAAAGUUUGAAGCAGAAAGAAAAGCCUGGGUGGAUGAAAAAACUGCUUUGCUCAGCCGGGCCGAACAAGCGGAGGCCACUCUUACUGAAAGAACCGCCGAGCUAUCCGGCUUAAAACGCCAUGUAUCUCAGAUGGUUUCCGCAAUCUUUGGUAAGUUACUCUGUAAGUUUUUAGCUAGUUUACAUCGUUCAUUUCCCAUAAGCAUCUCAAUUGCCAUCAGCUCACCUGACUUUGUAAUGCAGGUCCCCGGAGUUCCAAUCUCAACCAGAACGUGCUGAUCAAACUGAAGGCGGUUUAUAACUUUGUAGAGCAACUUUACACCGGGUCACAACAUGCCUUAGCCGUUGUGGCUCUGUCAAACAAAGUUCCCACUCAUCUGGCGGAUGUACUCAGGCGGCUUGCCGUGCUUCCUCAACGCUUCCAGGAGUUAAGACGUGCUUCUGCAAGAGCCGGAGCCAUAGUCACUCUAAGCCGGGCCAAGGCGUUUCUACCAGAACUAGACCCGGCCGACAUCGCCCUUGGGUAUCCUAGCUUGAAGGAAGAUGGCACUCCCUUUGACCAGAAGGACUUCGCCGCUUGCGUGAAGAGCGUACGCCCUAUGGCCACUUUGAUUGGUAAUGACACAAACCUUACCAAAUAUCAACCGGGCUAUGACGCGGAGAAUCAGAGGAUCCCAACACCUCGUUAUGAAGAAGUCAGCCUAAUUCCUCUGACUCGUAAGCAUACCUUCGCCCCUGAAGUUGACCCGGCCGGGUUAAUUGAUGAUGAAGCUCAAUUUGAAGCCUUGAGUGGCAUUGACUGGAAAUCAUCAACCUUCCAGGAUAUGGAAAUAGCCGGAGGAGCGAAGAGGGAUGAACCGGAAGCUUCAGCCCAACAACACCUUUGAUCUCUACGGUGGCUCAUGGUUAUGUCAUAAAAACAAUGCCUCACCUUUUGGACUCAGGGAGUCAUGUAAUAGAGUAGGAUAAGCACUUAAUUUUGCUGUGCCAUCGUGCACGUGUGUAACGCUCAAUACUGUUUAAGCCGCUCUUUUAUAUUCUUCUGGGUUAUGCUUGAUCCUCUGCUUUCCUUAAGUUUAAAGAGCUGUCUUUAAUUGUCCUGCAUAGAAAACAAAUCACAAGUCCCUAGGCGGCUCACCGCAUGGAGAGUCAUAUAUCAUACAUAAAACCCGGAAUAUGAAUCAAAGUAAUAAUAAACCGGUUCUCAAUUAUAUCUUGGAGAUAACCAUAACAGCAUACCUGCGAGCCUUCGAGUAUACUUCUGGUUUAUGUAACCCGAAUAAUGAGGUUAAGAACUCAACUCCGGUUCAUCAGCACAUAUAAUGCUUAUUAUGUGCUAUCAACGUUAUUCAUCAAGGUUAAGCCGGUGGAAUAAGAACCACCCUUGAACAAUUUUGAUAUGAUCAAAAGAACUUGUUUGCAACAAAAAGAUUUCAAAAAUUUGGAGGCUUCUGAUUUGAACACGACCAGAGAACCGGCCCAAAGGGUUAAGCUAAGAUUCGAAUACGAUCAUAUAGCCCCUAGUGGCUUUGGCGUUGCCGAUCAAGAGGGUACCGACAACUAUGUUCUCUUUGGUUCGAAUACGACCUAUGUUUGAACAGGAAGCCCCCAAAUGACCUUGAGAGUUGUUUAACGACGCUGAUUCGAAUACGAUCCACGUCGGUUCCCAAAGGGGGUUGAGCUAUGAUUCAAAUAUGAUCAACAAACUCCCCAAUGAGCUCGGCAAUAUGCCAAUCGAGUGGGUAUCGACAACUAUGUUCUCUUUGGUUCGAAUACGACCUAUGUCUGAACAGGAAGCCCCCAAGCGAUCAUAUUUUUAACGGCUUGAUUUGAAUACAAUCAUAAGCCGGAUCAACCUCCAAGUGACCAUGUAAUAUUACAAUGGAAACAACAAUGACACAUUUACCUUUGGAGGGAAAAAAGGACAGAGGUCCUGCUUUAUUAUUUAUCAUAAUAUAUACAUAUCUAUAGAAAUAUGUACAUUAUGAGAGUCGGUGGCUCAAGUGUAAUAAGGCCGAAGCUGAGCUAUAUUCCACGGCCGGCGGGUCUCCUCCUCCGAAUUACGUGAAUCUUUGUGCUCUCGAACAUCGAUGAGGUAGUAUGACCCGUUGUGCAAGUUCUUACUGACCACAAAGGGCCCUUCCCAAGGUGGGGAUAGUUUGUGUGCAUCUGUUUGAUCCCGUUUGAGCCGGAGCACCAAAUCACCUCCUGAAAGGUCCUGGAUUUAACCCGGUGGCUGUGAUAGCAGCGCAGGUCUUGCUGGUAAAUCGCCGAGCGAGCUGCUGCUAUGUCACGUUGUUCGUCCAACAAGUCAAGAGCAUCUUGACGCGCCUGCUCAUUAUCCGCCUCGACAUAAGCCGUCACUCGAGGCGAGUCAUGACGGAUGUCGCUAGGGAGGACCGCCUCAGCUCCGUAAACCAUGAAGAAAGGUGUGUAACCCAUAGACCUGUUAGGAGUAGUAUUGGCGCUCCAUAAUACAGAAGGUAACUCCUCCACCCAACAACCCGGCGUCCGUUGCAAAGGGACCAAAAGCCGGGGCUUGAUGCCCUUUAAGAUUUCCUGAUUGGCUCUCUCAGCUUGACCUUUGGAUUGAGGGUGAGCCACUGAUGAAACAUCAAGCCGAAUAUGCUCUCGUUGACAAAAAUCCGCCAUGGCGCCUUUAGAUAGAUUGGUACCAUUGUCAGUUAUAAUGCUGUGUGGAAAACCAAAGCGAAAUAUCACCUUUUUCAUGAACUGAACCGCCGUGGCUGCGUCACACUUACUAACUGGCUCUGCCUCAACCAACUUUGUGAACUUGUCAACCACCACCAAGAGGUGGGUCUUCUUAUCUUUGGACCUUUUGAAAGGCCCAACCAUAUCAAGCCCCCAGACUGCAAACGGCCAAGUGAUUGGAAUCAUCCUCAACUCUUGAGCCGGCACGUGAGCCCGUCUUGAGAACUUCUGACAACCGUCACAUUUACUGACCAAGUCCUCUGCAUCAGCAUGAGCCGUCAGCCACUAAAAACCAUGACGAAAAGCCUUGGCCACAAGGGAUUUUGAGUCGGCAUGAUGGCCACAAUCCCCCUCGUGAAUCUCACAUAAAAUUUCUUGACCUUCCUCAGAGGAAACACAACGCUGAAAAGCUCCAGUGACACUGCGAUGAUGCAGCUCGCCACUGACAAUUAUCAUUGACUUAGACCGCGGGGUUAUUUGUCUGGCCAAAGUUUCAUCCUCAGGCAAUUCUCCCCGGGUCAUGUAAGCCAAGUAUGGCACUGUCCAAUCUGGGAUAACGUGGAGAGCCGCCACCAACUGUGCUUCUGGGUCAGGAACAGCCAAGUCUUCCUCUGUAGGUAACUUGACAGAAGGGUUAUGCAGAGUAUCCAAGAAAGUAUUAGGCGGCACCGGCUUUCGCUGAGAGCCUAACCGGCUUAAUGCAUCAGCCGCCUCGUUCAUUCUGCGAUCGAUGUGCUCUACUUGGUAACCCUGAAAAUUUCCAGCAAUGGCAUCAACUUCGCGGCGAUAAGCCGCCAUGAGGGGGUCCUUGGAAUCCCACUUGCCUGAUACUUGUUGGGCCACCAAAUCUGAGUCACCAAAGCACCUUACCCGGCUUAAGCUCAUCUCCUUAGCCAUCCGAAGACCAUGGAGCAAGGCCUCGUACUCAGCUGCAUUGUUAGUACAGGGAAACAUCAACCGUAGUACAUAACAAAACUUGUCACCUCGAGGGGAAGCUAACACAACUCCAGCCCCCGAGCCCUCCAAUUGCCUGGACCCGUCGAAGUGAAUAGUCCAGUAUGUAUUAUCCUGUUUCUCUUCAGGCACCUGCAGCUCUGUCCAAUCGUUGAUGAAAUCCACCAAUGCUUGAGAUUUGAUAGCAGUGCGUGGCACAUACUUUAGACCAUGAGGCCCAAGUUCUAUAGCCCACUUAGCAACUCUUCCUGUGGCUUCUCUGUUUUGGAUGAUAUCUCCUAGGGGAGCAGAACUAACCACAGUGAUAGGGUGGCCCUGGAAAUAAUGCUUAAGCUUCCGGCUUGCCAUGAACACCCCAUAAACAAGCUUCUGCCAAUGUGGAUACCACGUCGGUUCCUUACCGCUUCCUUACGCUCCACCACCACAGCCACACUGACGGCUCGUGUGUUAGCGGCUACAUAUAACAAUAAAGGCUACUUAUCGACAGGAGCAGCAAGGACUGGCGGCUCAGCCAGCUGUCUUUUCAAAUCCUCAAAAGCAGCAUUAGCAGCAUCAUUCCAGACAAAGUCAUCUGUUUUCUUCAUCAUCUGAUAUAGUGGCAUGGCCUUUUCACCUAACCGGCUUAUAAACUGACUCAAAGCAGCGAUGCGACGCGCCAGAUGCUGGACGUCAUUUAUGCACGCCGGCUUAGCCAGAGAGGUGAUUGCCUUGAUCUUCUCCGGGUUAGCUUCAAUGCCUCUGUGAGAAACCAAAAAACCCAAGAGCUUGCCUGCAGGAACACCAAAAACACACUUGGCCGGGUUAAGCAUCAUCUUGUAGACCCGGAGAUUAUCAAAGGUCUCUCUCAGAUCAUCUAUCAAGGUCUCCUUCUCUCUGGAUUUGACCACGAUAUCAUCCACAUAGGCAUGAACGUUGCGCCCAAUCUGAUUAUGAAGACAAUUCUGCACGCAACGCUGGUAAGUCGCCUGUGCACUCCUGAGCCCAAAAGGCAUAGACACAUAACAGAAGGCUCCAAAGGGAGUAAUGAACGCCGUCUUCUCUUGGUCCUUAAUAGCCAUUUUGAUCUGAUGGUAACCAGAGUACGCAUCCAAAAAACUCAAACGCUCAUAACCCGCCGUAGCAUCAAUAAUUUGAUCAAUACGAGGAGAGCAAAAGGAUCAGCCGGACAAGCCUUGUUUAAAUCCGUAUAAUCCACACACAUACGCCAGGUGCCGUUCUUCUUGAGUACGAGAACCGGGUUAGCUAACCAUUCUGGAUGAAAGACUUCCACAAUGAACCCGGCCGCCAAGAGCCGAGCUACUUCCUCACCAAUGGCUUUCCGCCUCUCCUAUUUAAACCGCCGGAGGAAUUGCCUGACCGGUUUAAAUUUUGGAUCAAUAUUAAGAGUGUGCUCAACGAGUUCUCUCGAUACACCCGGCAUGUCAGAAGGUUUCCAUGCAAAGAUGUCCCGGUUCUCGCGGAUGAACUCGAUGAGCGCGCCUUCCUAUUUAGGAUCCAGAUUGGCACUGAUGCUGAACUGCUUAGAUGAGUCACCUGGAACAAAGUCAACAAGCUUAGUCUCAUCGGCCGACUUAAAUUUCAUUACCGGCUCAUGCUCCGUGGUCGGCUUUUUCAGAGACGUCAUAUCUGCCGGGUCAACAUUAUCCUUAUAAAACUUCAACUCUCUUGUUGCACAAACAGAUUUAGCGUAAGCAGCGUCACCUUCCUCGCACUCCAAAGCUACUUUUCGGCUGCCAUGAAACGUAAUGGUCCCGUUGUGACCCGGCAUUUUGAGCUGCAAAUAUACAUAACACGGCCGGGCCAUGAACUUGGCGUAAGCCGGCCGCCCAAAUGAAGCAUGGUACGGGCUUCUUAUUUUGACCACCUCAAAACAGUUUUUCCGCCCUAUAGUUGUACUCAUCUCGAAAGGCUACUUCCAGCUCGAUCUUACCAACUGGAUACGCCGACUUACCGGGCACCACCCUGUGGAAAACAGUGUUGGACUGGUUGAGAUUUUUAUCAGUUAGUCCAUACGACGGAAGGUCUCAUAAUAGAGGAUGUUGAUGCUACUGGCCCCGUCCAUGAGCACCUUAGUGAAUUUAUACCCACCAACUUGAGGGGCCACCACCAAGGCCAGGUGACCUGGAUUAUCAAUCCGGGGAGGGUGAUCUUCCCUACUCCAUACAAUCGGCUGCUCAGACCAUCGCAAGUAACGUGGAACCGCCGGCUCAACAGCGUUCACAGCCCUCUUAUGAAGCUUCUGGUCUCGCUUGCACAAACCGGUGGUAAACACAUGAUACUGUCCACCGCUGAGCUGCUUUGGAUGGGUCUGGUAACCCCCUGCUGCUGCUGCUGAUUACCCUGGCCGGAUUGCUGGUUAAAACCACCUUGAUUACCUUGAGAAUUCUGAAAAUUGGAAUUUGAACUGCCGCCCGGGCCAUGAAAGCCGCCGCCGCCCGAGCCGCCACCCUGCCCAUUGUUGCCAUUGAAAGUGUUGGAAUUUUUGAAAGCUUUCAUGAUUGCGCAGCCUUUCCAUAGAUGAGUGGCCGGCUUCUCCCUAGAACCGUACCUUGGAGAGGGCUCAUUCAAAAAUAGCUCAAGCGUCGGGCCUGAUCCGGCAGAUCGGGGAGGUGGUCUCCCCUUACGUCGGUGGUUGUUACCUUGCGCAUUGGUGUUGGCCACAAAUUCCAUACUACCAUCAGCCAUACGUUUAUUGCCCCCCUGGUUCGCCGGGUUAUGCUGAGGGCCCUUGCCGCUGCCGUUCUUCUUUCCCUUCCCUGUCCUUUCAUCAUCAGACGCGGGAUCCUUGGUACUAUCAGAGUCGGCGUACUUGACCAGAGCCGCCAUCAGCGUACCCAUAUCGUUGCAAUCGCGCUUGAGCCGCCCAAGCUUCAUCUUCAGGGGCGCAAAACGAUAAUUUUGCUCCAACAUCAAGACCACAGAGCCGGCAUCCAUCUUAUCAGACGAGUGUAUUAUCUCUUUAACCCGGCGUACCCAAUGGGUUGUAGACUCGCUUUCUUGCUAUUUGCAGUUAGUCAAAUCCACAAUUGACAUAGAUUGCCUACAUGUAUCUUUGAAAUUUUGGAUGAACCGGGCUUUUAGCUCUGCCCAUGACCCGAUGGAAUUGGGCGGCAGUCCCUUGAACCAAGUGCGGGCAGUCCCAUUCAACAUCAUGGUGAAGUAUUUGGCCAUUGCCGCUUCGCUGACCUCCAGCAACUCCAUAGCCAUCUCGUAGCUCUCAAUCCAUGCUCCGGGCUGUAAAUCCGCCGUGUAAUUAGGUACCUUCCUAAGUCCUUUGAAAUCUUUGGGAAGACGUUCGUUACGGAGAGCCGGCACCAGGAAAGGAACACCUCCGGCUCUUGUAGCCAUGCCUGCCUCAAUAGAAGCCGUCGGGUAAACUGGAAAAGGCUGGUAAGCCGUCAUCUGAGCCGCCUGUUCAGCUUCCUGACGCGCUCUGUCUUGAUCCACCACAUUAAAGGCUCCAUUAUGCGCCGGGCCAUGGCCAGUUGGCAAGUCACGGCGCCGGACGUUGCUUGAGCCGGUCGCUGAAACCAUGUGUCUGCUAUAACUUGGGCUCCGGUUUGGACGAGGAGUUGAAUGAAUCCUGUCCCGGCUAUAUGAAUAUGCCUCCUGUUGUGCCAGAGCCGUCUGAAGAAGUUCUCUGACCCUGCGGGUUCCGACCGCCGUUGGGGAGUCACCUUCGACUGGGAGAGCCGCCAGCCGCGCCGCCGCAGCGAUCAUGUUUUCCAACGGGUUAGAACAAUGACCCGGCGGUGUUGUCACGUAUUGAGGCAGAGCAGUAUUCACACGGGGAGGCCCCAUCACUUGCGGCUGAACCGGCGUUCCAGCCCCGGGUGCUAUGAUUUCUGGCGGGUUACUGGGCCCUGCACCAGGCGUGUUGAAGAGGUUUCGAGGAUCAUAAACCGGAGGGAGCCGAGAUUGAGCCUUCUGAUGCCUCCUUCUCAUGAUCUCAUUGGAUGCGUUCUGAUCCAUCGUGAGCCGGAAAGACUGCGCCUGAAUCAGUUGAGUCUGGGCGUCCAGACCCGCCCGUUCUGCAGCCAUCCUGAUCCCUUCCGCUGCCAGAUCUUCCUUGGCUCUUGCUAUAUCCAGCUUUAACUGUGCCACCUCCGCAUCAUGUUGAGUUUGAUCCGCUGGGACGACCGUAGCGGUUACCAGGGCCGUCAUCUUAUCCGUGAGAUCCAUCAGCACCUGAGCCGGCGAGUGCACAGGGCCUCCUGCCCCAGCGGCGGAGUUUUGAACAGGUUGUGUGCCGGCCAUGAAGAUUCCGACCCGGCUCGGCGGCUCAAAGGGGUCCGGAAUACUGUCGCCAUCGGAACAACCCCUGAGCCUGCCAUCUUGAAGUUGAUAUAACGAGUCGGUCUCACCUGUGGACGACUCACCGUCAGAGCGGGUGGCCGUCUCCUCACCAGAUCUAGAUCCUUCAGAGAGUUCUCCAUGGACACAUCCCACGAAAGCACGCUUCAAGGCCGGCAGAGUCCGGGCGGGUCUUGCACGCUGAGCCGUCUCGACGGGGUCGGUGCAGAUGUCCGGCUCAGGGCCCGGCUCGCCAAUCUUUCCAAUGAAAACGUGGAUUCCGCCGAAGGGGACCCGGUACCCGUACUCAAUUGAGCCGGCGUCGGGGCCCCAGCCUGCGUCGUCGAUGUAGAGCUUGCCGCGACGACUCUGGGUCAUCCGGCCCACAGCGUAUCCCUUGAGCCCUUCGAAGCUGCCCUUCAAGAACUCAAAUCCAUCGUGUGCUGGCCCCACGGUGGGCGCCAACUGUCGUGGAAUUGUCACGGCAGAUGUCCUCGUGCAAGGACUUAGUCGUGGAGCCAUCGCAGCUAGGAAGCUUAAAGGGGUUAAACGGGACAAAGGACACGAGGAUUAUACUGGUUCGGCCCCUUACGUUGAAGGUAAAAGCCUACUCCAGUUGAGGUGGAAUUACUUAGGGUUUCGAUGACCAGGAGCUAAGCCGCUCUGCCUGGCUAUCGAUCUGAUCUUACUUGUCCAGAACCGCCGCCGGGUCAUCCCUUUAUAUAGAAAGGUUAACGCCCAGCGCCUCUCAGAGUUCCGGCCGGCUCAUAAACUGUGUCCGGCUUGGACUCUUAACUAUUAUUGCCUUACACUACAAGUCAUGCCACAACGGAGGUUUACCACUACGGGCCUUAAGUCGCCUCUGGGCCUUAGACCUAUUACUAAACCGCCAUCCUUAACCUGUCCUUGGGCAUCUGAACGAAAAGCUGUUGCAACGUAACCCGGCCCAUCUUGGGCGGGUUACACCGGUAGCUAAGUUACCAUCCUUUCCUAGCAAACCAUUGUUUGGCUAAGUUACCGCUUUUGCUCAGCCCUUCUUAUAGCGUUGCUAGUUGCAGGUGAAGUUGAAGUUAGUUCCAUGUUGGAACAUGGAUUCUUGGCUUAUCACAAUAUCUCUUAUUUAAUUAAUGCAUCUAUAUAUUUGGUAAAGGGUGGAAGGCUCGGCCUUAUGCCUGGUGUUUUGUUCCACUCUUGCCGCCCUAGUUUCCGUCAUACCGGUGUUAUGUUCCUUGAUUUUGCAUUCCUUACGCGGUUGGGUGAUUUAUGGGACCCCCUUGACAGUUCGCUUUGAAUAAAACUCCUCCAGCAAGGCCCAACCUUGGUUUUACCAUUUGUCACCUAAGCCUUUUUCCCUUGGGUUUUCGCGAGCCCGAGGGUCAUCUUUAUUUUAACCCCCCCCGGGCCAGUGCUCCUUCGAGUGUUGGUCCGAACAGAGCCGCCUGCGGGCCCACCUCGGGGAAACUCGAAGUCUGGUUUUACUCAUAGCCUGUCUCAUCCGGUGUGCCCUGAGAACGAGAUAUGUGCAGCUCCUAUCGGGAUUUGUCGGCACAGUCGGGCGGUCUUGCUGGUCUUGUUUUACCAUUGUCAAAAUGUCUUGUAAACCGGGAUUCCGAGACUGAUCGGGUCUUCCCGGGAGAAGGAAUAUCCUUCGUUGACCGUGAGAGCUUAUGAUGGGCCAAGUUGGGACACCCCUGCAGGGUAUUAUCUUUCGAAAGCUGUGCCCGUGGUUAUGAGGCGGAUGGGAAUUUGUUAAUGUCCGGUUGUAGAGAACUUGACAUUUGACUUAAUUAAAAUACAUCAACCGCGUGUGUAGCCGUGAUGGUCUCUUCUCGGCGGAGUCUGGGAAGUGAAGACGGUUUGGGUUAUGUAUGAGCGUAAGUAGUUUCAGGAUCGCUUCUUGAUCACUUCUAGCUUCUCGACCGAUGCGUUGCUUCUCUUCUCGCUCUCAUUUGCGUAUGUUAGCCACCAUAUAUGCUUAAUGCUUGCCGUUGCUCCACCAUAUUACCCCAUCCUUCCUAUAAGCUUAAAUAGUCUUGAUCUCAGGGGUGUGAGAUUGCUGAGUCCUCGUGACUCACAGAUUCUACCAAAACAGUUGCAGGUGCCGAGGAUAUCUAUGCAGGUGACGCAACCGAGCUCAAGUAGGAGUUCGACGAGGACCGUGGUCGUUACUAUGUUUCGUUUCCUGAUGAUCAGUAGUGGAGCGCAGUUGGGACGAUCGGGGAUCUAGCAUUUGGGGUUGUCUUCUUUCAUUUUGGUUCCGUAGUCGGACCUUGAUUGUACUCUGAAUGAGGUAUGUUUAAUUUAUGCAUUGUGUGAAGUGGUGACUGUAAGCCAACUCUUUAUCCCAUUCUUGUUCAUUACAUGGGAUUGUGUGAAGAUGACCCUUCUUGCGACAAUACCUACAAUGCGGUUAUGCCUCUAAGUCGUGCCUCGAACGUGGGAGAUAUAGUCGCAUCGUGGGUGUUACACUUGUGCACCUCAUGUUGAUCCUUUGCAUCCUACCCUUGAUGAGUCUAUUGACAUGAUUCACAACCUUAGAACUAUUAAUCUUAUCACUAGAGGUUUGCCUAGAAACUUGAUUGGAUGUUUGCCUACUCUUGAUUAUGCCUACACUAUAUGGAGAUUCCUUGAGGAAUGAUUUCCAAACUAUUCCUUGAAAAACUUAGAUGAGAUUCUUCAUAAGUCUAUUGCUUUGACUAAGAUGAGUCCUAAUGAUCCUAAGUAUAGUGAUUGUUUGUUUGAGCUUCGUGAUCUAAUGCGUGCCAAAGGAGAUGUUGGAAUCAUUAGCAAUAUCAUUUCCGAAGUCAUUAGAAUCCAUAAAUAUGCACAUUGUUAUGGUCAUAAAUCUAAUGAAUCACCCUCUCUAGGAAUUGAUCCAUCACAAGACGAUGUUGAACGUCUCAACACUCGCAAUAUGCUCAGCAAGAGGAGGCACUAUAACAUUGGGACCAACCUGGACUGUCUCCUUUGUGGCGAACACGUGGAAGAAACCCUUGAGCAUCUCUUCUUUCGCUGCACAUUUAGCACACGAUGCUGGCUCAAGCUCAAUAUCACUUGUCCUUCUACUGGAGAUCGGCUGCAUAUGUUGAACACCUUAAGACGGGAAAUCAACGUAAGAUGAUCAUGGACACCUUCCUAGUCGCUGCGUGGAGUCUGUGGAAGGAAAGGAAUAAUAAUUAUUUUUGGCAUGUGGCCCCUUCGGUUGACAGUUGGCUAGCCAGGUUUAGAAACUAUUUUGCCAACAUUGCUUAUAGACUCCCUAUAGAUAAGAGACAUCUCAUCUUUGCUAUCCUAGCUUCUAGCCCCUAACUAUAUUAACCUGCUAGCUCUCUGACUAUCCUUUGUAAUUGCUUAAGACAUCCCCCCCUCUCCUUGUACAUUUUUAACAUAGUCACCCUUUUGUGUCCUUAAUAUAUACAUGCAGUAGUACGUGUUCCUACUGUCCAACCUUCAAAAAAAAGACGAUGUUGAACAUGGAUACUAUGAUGAGGAUGAUUAUAGUGACUUCGAUCUCGAAGAGUCUAUGAGACACAUUGGUCUUAUGGCCAAUCUUCGCGACUACAUGGCUGGAGGAAAGGAAUGGGUCCUUGAUAGUGGAUGUACCGAUCAUAUGACCGGAGACAAGGAUAUGUUUCAUGAGCUUGCUGAAAACGAUGGCCCUCGAAAGUAUGUCACCUUUGGUGAUAACUCAAAGGGUAAGGUGGUUGGCCUUGGUAAGGUGGCCAUCUCACAUGAUAGCUCCAUACAAAAUGUUAUGCUUGUUGAAUCUCUUGGCUAUAAUCUACUUUCCGUAUCUAGACUUGCUGAUUUGGGCUUCAAUGUCCUAUUUACUCAAGUAGAUUGCCAAGUGUUUCGUAGAGAUAACCAUAAUAUGGUCUUUACUGGUAUACGUAGAGGUGAUCUACACAUUGUUGAUUUCACUAAACAGGCUCAACCUAGAAGUUGUUUUAUUGCUAAAUCUUCUAAAGGUUGCUUGUGGCAUAGAAGGUUAGGUCAUGUGGGCAUGUGAAAUCUUGAUAAGAUUAUUAAAGGUAAUCAUAUCCUUGGAGUAAAAGAUGUUAUAUUUGACAAGGAUAGAUUAUGUAGUGCUUGUCAAGCAGGAAAACAAGUUGGAGGAAAUCACCCCGUGAAGAACAUCAUGACCACGAGGAGACCGCUCGUGCUACUUCAUAUGGAUCUCUUUGGUCCCAAUGCCUACAAGAGUCUCGGUGGAAACUCAUUUGGUCUAGUUAUAGUCGAUGAUUAUUCAAGAUUUACUUGGCUGUUCUUUCUUGAUAAUAAAUCGCAGGUCCAAAAGAACUUCAAGAACUUUGCUAGGAAGGCUCAAAAUCAAUUUGACGUGAAGAUCAAGAAGGUUCGGAGCGACAACGGAACGGAGUUCAAGAACUCAAAUGUGGAUACCUUUCUUGACGAAGAAGGGAUUUCACAUGAGUUCUCGGCUACAUACACACCUCAACAAAAUGGAGUCGUUGAGAGGAAGAACCUGACUCUUAUUGAGGUGGCGAGAACGAUGCUUGAUGAGUACAAGACUCGAAAACAUUUUUGGCGGAACCGGUUGAGACGGCUUGUCAUGCAACAAAUUGCUUGUAUCUUCACAAGCUUCUUGGCAAGACGGCAUACGAGCUCCUCACCGGUAACAAACCCCAAGUUGGAUACAUUCGAGUAUUCAGCUCAAAGUGUUACAUUCUUGAUAAGCAUCGUCGUUCUAAAUUUUCUCCCAAAUCUCAUGAGGGUUUCCUACUCUGUUAUGGCUCAAACUCUCCCACCUACCAUGUCUACAAUAAUUUCACCCGAAAGGUUGAAGAGACGGUAGAUGUGAAGUUUGAUGAAUCUAACGGCUCGCAAGUAGAGCAAUUGCCAAUUGAUGUAGGAGACAAAGACCCUUCGGAAGCAAUCCAAGACAUUUGUAUUGGCAAGAUCCGUCCAACCGAGGUGAAGGAGAGUACCUCGUCCGUCCAAGUGGAAGCUUCUACCUCAGGACAAGGUGAACCAAGAGUUGACAUGGAAGCAUCCACAAGUGGGACACACCAAGAUGAAGAAAACGAGGAAGUACACAAAGAUGAACCUCAAGAACCUCCUUCUCCACCACCAUAAGAGAACGACAACGUCAACAAUGAAGAAGGCCAAGAAGAAGGACAAGAUGAUGAAGAAGAUGUUCCACCCCGACCCAAGCAAAAGCUCUCACGAGUUCGAGCGAGAGUCUCGAGAGAUCAUCCCGUCGAACAAAUCUUCAAUGAUAUUCAAACCGGGAGAAUCACUCGCUCUAAAACUCGUUUUCCUAAUUUUUGUGAACAUUAUUCAUUCAUUUCUAGCAUUGAACGUAUGAAGGUUGAAGAAGCAUUAGAAGAUCCGGAUUGGAUAAAUGCCAUGCAUGAAGAGCUACACAACUUUGAGAGAAACCAAGUGUGGACAUUGGUUGAGAAGCCCGACAACAACCACAACAUCAUCGGUACCAAAUGGGUGUUUCGCAACAAGCAAGACGAAGAUGGUCAAGUCGUCCGCAACAAAGCACGUCUCGUCGCCCAAGGCUAUACUCAAGUCGAAGGUAUGGACUAUGGUGAGACAUACGCCCCCGUUGCUAGACUUGAGUCCAUCCGCAUCAUACUUGCCUAUGCUAAUCACCAUGAUAUCACCUUAUACCAAAUGGACAUUAAAAGUGCUUUUCUAAAUGGUGAAAUUGAGGAGGAAUUUUAUGUUAAACAACCUCUCAGCUUUGUUAAUCCUAAGAAACCCAAUCAUGUCUACAAACUUCACAAAGCUCUUUAUGAUCUUAAACAAGCUCCUAGAGCAUGGUAUAAAUGCUUGACCAAGUUCCUUAUUCAAAAUGGCUUUGAGAUUGGAAAGAUAGAUUCUACUCUUUUUACUAAAAGGGUUAAUGGUGAAUUAUUUGUGUGCCAAAUUUAUGUUGAUGAUAUCAUAUUUGGAUCGACUAACCCUCAUUUUAGUGAAAAGUUUGGGAAGCUAAUGUUGGAGAAGUUUGAGAUGUCUAUGAUGAGUGAACUCAAGUUCUUUCUUGGUUUGCAAAUCAAGCAAACUAAGGAAGGCACCUUUGUCUCUCAAACAAAGUACACCAAGGACUUAUUCAAGAAGUUCAACAUGCAAGAAAGCAAAGGUAUGAAAACACCCAUGCCUACUAGUGGACAUCUUGACUUGACCAAGGAUGGCAAAUCGGUUGUCCAAAAGGUUUACCGAUCUAUGAUUGGUUCAUUGUUAUAUCUUUGUGCCUCCCAUCCCGAUAUUAUGCUAAGUGUAUGCAUGUGUGCAUGAUAUCAAGCGGCCCCCAAAGAAUGUCAUCUUAAGGCUGUGAAAAGGAUAGUGAGAUACCUAAUACAUACAUAAAAUUUUGGCAUUUGGUAUCCUAAGAGGUCUUCUUUCGAUCUUGUUGGCUACUCCGGUUCGGACUAUGCCGGUGACAAGGUUGAUAGAAAGUCCACUUCGGGUACUUGUCAAUUUCUUGGUAGAUCUCGUGUGUCUUGGUCCUCCAAGAAACAAAAUUCAGUAUCCUUAUCUACCGCCGAAGCGGAAUACAUUGCCGCCGGUUCAUGUUGUGCUCAGUUACUUUGGAUGACCCAAACUCUUAAGGAUUAUGGGAUCUAUGUGAAACAUGUUCCAUUGUUUUGUGACAAUGAGAGUGCUAUUAAGAUUGCUCACAAUCCCGUGCAACAUUCUCGAACUAAGCACAUUGAAGUUCGUCAUCAUUUCGUUCGAUAUCAUUUUGCUAAAGGGGACAUUGAUCUUAAGCAUGUUCGUACCGAUAAGCAAUUGGCGGAUAUAUUCACCAAACCGCUUGAUGAGAAAGUGUUUUGCCGUUUGAGAGGUGAAUUGAACAUCAUCGAUGCUUCAAACUUGGAGUAGAUACUCCAUUUGGAUACAUGCAAGGCAUGAGCCUAUGACUAUUCCUUGAUAUUUCUCUUAUGAUGAUAUUCAUAUGUCUUGGAUAUAUUUGCACCCUUGCAUGCUAUCUAACCCUUGUAGGUACUUGGAUGAACCUAAAUCAAUGAGAUUGCAAGUCACUCAUACCGUGAGCAAUCUCUACAUUACCAAGCCUCUACAAUAUGGUGGUUGAAGUCAAGGAAGCAUGAUACCCUUCAACAUAUCCUUUGACAAAUUUUAUAUAUCAAAUUUCAUUUGGUAUCAAGUUUCAUGAUUGUCAUUUUGGAUACACAAGUGCUCUUCCUUACAAGACUAACCCAUGUAGGAAGAUUAACCUCAAUUACACGUGGUGCUCCCAAUCCUUGAUGACCUACAUCAACCUUGAGCAUCCCACACAAGUUCGACUACAUGAUCAAGAUCAACACCACCACCCAAGGUAUGAUAUUCCAUCUUAGAGAAGCUUUAACCCAAGCCAUGGGUCAAAGCAGCUCAACAAGAUGCGAGUACAUCAAAAUGCUUAAACGAAAAAUGGCAACACCAUUUUGAGCUUAAACGAUGAGUAUGACCUACGAUCAAGUGUUCUCACUUGACUCCUUAGUCAAUAUACUCUAACAUAGGUGACUUUGUCGCCACCCAUUUCUAGAUGAAGUUUUCUAGUGUUUCUCUGUGUUCUUGCAUUUGUUCCUUGCAUCUUUGUUCCCCUUCAGAAAAACUUCAUCUAGAUUUCUUCUCUUUUCUCUGCUUUGCUCUGCAGUUCCUGCAUCUAAUUCCUUGCAAAUCCUUCAGUUAAUUCAUUGCAAAUCUUUGUGAGAUCCUAUUUGCCUAGUGAGCUGAGAUAACAAUUGCCCUUUCUUUGUAUUUAACUCGGUCACACCGGCUUGUCAUUCUCGGUCACACCGACUUAUUUCGGUGCCAGCGACGAGAACAACUCGGUGUUACCGAUUUCACUAUAGUAGAGACAAUUUGCCAUUUGUUUGUGCAUGUUUGUUCCAGCUCCACUCAAUGAUUCAUGUCCUCUACCAGCAUCACGUUCUACAUGUUGUUUUGCUAUGUGACUCAAGGACCAAACCUAUUUUAAUCACACUCCAGAAGAACCCUUCUUGGAAAUUGAUGUCAAAGGGGGAGAGAGAUCUCACAUCAAAGCUUAAUCACUUCAAGAUGGGGAGAGAGUACUUCAACAGGGGCAGAGAGAUAUUCACUUCAAAGGAAAAGAUAGAGCCCCCAGAUGCUUGGUAUUCAAGAGGAAAGGAGUUACAUGUCUUUAAGAAGGGAAAGACAUGUUUGUGCUAUUUUUUCUGUGUGUGAUCUGAUUUUUCCUUUUCCUAUUUUCUCCCAUUAUCCAAUAUAAGAUUCAGGGGGAGAAAGCUAUCUAAGGGAAGGAAAUCUUUGAAUUCAUUGCAUAUCUUUUACCAUUGGGGACAUGUCUAUAUCAAAUAGAGUACCAAGUACUCACUCUCUACAUGUCAUCCCAAUCCUAGUACUCUUGUGGUUCUUUUGUUUGCUCUGCCUAGUAGAUGUUGUUAGAGUUAUAAUAUAAGUCAUGUAUACCCCUUUGUAUUUAUCCCGUAGUAUAAGGGGUUUCCUGCAUAUGUACCACACAUGUACAUGUAUAUAUAUUAGCCUAUGGCCUCAUGGGAAUACAAGUUGCUUAUUCCUAACAUGGUAUCAGAGCUUUAGGUCUUUUUUCGCACGCGCAACUCGUGCUUCGAUCCACUCCUGCCGUCGCCGUGUUCUCCCUUCGCUCGGCGUCGCUGCUCCAUCUCCUCCCGCCAGGCGCCUCUCCUCCUCAAUCGCCGUAGGGAGGCCCCCGAUCGCGCCCAGCUGGUUCCGCUCGGCGGUCGUCUCCUCUCCCGCCAGGACUCCGCCGUCUGUGUUAUCUAACCUUGUUUAGUCAGGUUUAUCUCUUCCUAAGCCAGCUCAAGACCACAAGGUAAGUAUAUGCAUCACAAUCAUGUGCGUGAUGAUAUCUUGUUGAUGUACAUAUUGUUUGCAAGAAGGACUCAUGAACAUGAAGGUACACUUCAUAUAUUCACUUCUUUUGCCAUGAUGAAUAUAGCCGAGAUAUAUCUAACAUAUUGCUUGCUCUGUCAUCUAUAUGCAUUCAUAUGCUCUAAUAUUCAAUACUUACAUGAUUGCACACAUGUAGGGGGAGCCUAUGCCUGUUACAUGUCUUUCCAAAGCUUUUCUUGCUAUUCCCUAUAUCUUUAUCUAAAGCUUUGAUGUAUGUUGUCAUCAAUUACCAAAAAGGGGGAGAUUGAAAACACAAGUGCUCCCCGGGUAAUUUUGGUAAUUAAUGUCAACAUAUCUCUUGUUGGACUAAUGCCUUUAUCUAGUAUAUUUCAGAUAAGUUCAACAAUGGAGUGUCAUGGACAAGAGGAUGUGAAACCCCUUCAAAAUGUUAAGGACAAAAGACUGGCUCAAGCUCCAAAGCUCAAGACUCUACAUUUUAUUUUUUAGUGAUCCAAGAUCACAUUGAGUCCAUAGGAAAAUCCAAUACUAUUAAAAGGGGAUGAGGUGUUGCUUAAUGGCUUGCUUGCUCAAAGUGCUUAGUGAUAUGCUCCAAAGCCCUCAACCACUUUCUCAUUUCCACAUAUGUUCCAAACCAAAAGUCAAUCUCGGCCCCACCGAAACAUUCCAUCUGGCGCCACCGAGUUCACUUGACAUAGCCACUGCCAGAAACCCUAAUCAAUUCGGUCUCACCAAUGGGAUCCCGGUCUCACCGAGAUGGGCUUGCAAACUCUCUGUUGCCUGUUCCAAUUAUUUCGGUCUCACCGAGAUUUGUAAUCGGUCUCACGGAGUUUGCUUGACCAACUCUCUGGUUAGCUCUUUACCAAAAUCGGUCCCACCGAGUUUGUGUAAUCGGUCAAACCAAGAUGAGGUUUUACCCUAACCCUAGCACAUCGGUCCCAUCGAGUUGACAUAUCGGUCCCACCGAAAUGCCUAAUGGUCACAUUAUGAACUGAAUCGGUCCAACCGAGUUUUCUGAUUCGGUCCCACGGAGUUUGGUGAAUUGUGUGUAACGGUUAGAUUUUGUGUGGAGGCUAUAUAUACCCCUCCACCGACUCUUCACUCGUGGAGAAAGCCAUCAGAACAUGCCUACACUUCCAGCAUACAUUUUCUGAGAGAGAACCACCUACUCAUGUGUUGAGGUCAAGAUAUUCCAUUCCAACCAGAUAAAUCUUGAUCUCUAGCCUUCUCCAAGUUGCUUUCCACUCAAAUAAUCUUUCCACCAAAUCCAAAUCUAUGAGAGAGAGUUGAGUGUUGGGGAGACUAUCAUUUGAAGAACAAGAGCAAGGAGUUCAUCAUCAACACAACAUCUAUUACCUUUUGGAGAGUGGUGUCUCCUAGAUUGGUUAGGUGUCACUUGGGAGCCUCCGUCAAGAUUGUGGAGUUGAACCAAGGAGUUUGUACGGGAAAGGAGAUCGCCUACUUCGUGAAGAUCUACCCUAGUGAGGCAAGUCCUUCGUGGGCGAUGGACAUGGUGGGAUAGACAAGGUUGCUUCUUCGUGGACCCUUUGUGGGUGGAGCCCUCCGUGGACUCGCGCAACCAUUACCCUUCGUGGGUUGAAGUCUCCAUCAACGUGGAUGUUCGAUAGCACCACCUAUUGGAACCACGCCAAAAAUCUCCGUGUCUCCAAUUGCGUUUGCACACUCCCAUCCUAUCCCUUUACAUUCUCGCAAAUUGCAUGCUUUACUAUCCCUUUAUAUGAUAUGUAUUGUGAAUGGGUAAACUUGUGCUAAAACUCCACCUUAACUUGAAGAAUUUAAAAACUGCAACUUUUCUUUGCUAAGAGUCUAUUCACCCCCCCUCUAGACACCUCUUCUCGAUCCUUUCACCCUCUCAAGUAUAUCAAUACCGCUUAUGACGAUGGAGGAUUGAUGGCACAUAACCAUGACUCGGGAUAUGAGCAUGGAGAUGACUUGAUGCUGACUGAUUUGCCGGAGCCGGAACGUCCUAAGGCGGAAUGCAAAAAGUUUCUCUUCAUGCGAUCCUCGCAUGAGACGCCUCUAGAUGCCGCCUCUACCCAGCAACAACCCGACGGCCGUCCACUGAUUAGCCCGACGACACUGGGGGUGAUGGUUAGGGAAGGUAUGGUGGGCUUACUACCUCCACCCGCCAAGAAGCAAAGGAGGAGACCAGACAAGAAAGGCCCUAAAGGCGCGAGAGCUGCUUCAAGCAGCCAACCGCCUCUGAAGUCCUGGGAGGUAGACAGAAUACCUAUCGAAGGUGCGGAGCGUUUCCAUGUCGCCGGCCACCCGAUCCUACCUCCGAAAGCGCUAGAGCACAUACUGAACAAUGAUCUAGGGAGACUUCAUGAAGAUGUGCUGGCCAGAGAGAAAAGCCUUCUCAUCUCAGAAAAACCAGGAUACCCGCUUUAUGCGGCUCAGGUGCCGGGAGGGAAGUUGUACGUCGAGAGAUGGCCCGCGGAUAAGCUCAUCCUGCAAUUUGACUACAUCUACGACAUGUUCCACAUGACCAAGCUGGAUUUUCAGUUUAUCCGUAUGUAUGCGUUGUAUCUCAGCUACAUCAUUAGGCGCGAGAACUUCUUGGUAGUCUGCAAAGAUCACCGUGACUAUGCGAGCAAGUACAUCGGCGAGUUUAUGAUCGCUAUUAAGGAUAAGGAAAUGAUUCUCCUGCCUUAUCAUCCCACGUAAGUCAUCCGCAGAUAUCUUUUCAUAAGUUUUAAUCAUUUCUUUGCAUGCAUGGAGGCUAAUUUGAGGUGUACUUAUUUUGCGCGGCGNNNNNNNNNNNNNNNNNNNNNNNNNNNNNNNNNNNNNNNNNNNNNNNNNNNNNNNNNNNNNNNNNNNNNNNNNNNNNNNNNNNNNNNNNNNNNNNNNNNNNNNNNNNNNNNNNNNNNNNNNNNNNNNNNNNNNNNNNNNNNNNNNNNNNNNNNNNNNNNNNNNNNNNNNNNNNNNNNNNNNNNNNNNNNNNNNNNNNNNNNNNNNNNNNNNNNNNNNNNNNNNNNNNNNNNNNNGACUCAUCGAAGAACAACAAGAAAAAGGAUUACACACACAUAGAUAGUGUCUGUCUAGUGGAUAUAUCAAGGUGAUAAAGUACAGGAAGAACAGGCUGGGUUUCGGCCAUAAGACGCACUUCUGCUGCAUCCAGCAACCGUACACCAGUAAGGCUGAUGAAUUCGACCUCAUGCAUCACCUGAUCGAGUACAGAAGGGAUAAUCAACGCCUUCGCAUGUCAGCUACUUCCAACGAUGCCGAUAUUGUCAACUAGGCCACAAGCAUUGGAAGGACACCGGAUCAUCGAAUCUGAGCUGAGUUUUAUCACGUACAGUGUGAACUUGCCCAAGUGAUCAUGAAGGAGGUCCUUGAACUAACAUGGAUGUCCUACCAUGGGGAAAUCACGCGGGAAGAUGUCCGAGCACUGCUACUCGCUCAUCGUCUAGACCUGAAGCCUUUCACGAAGCUUGGGUGCUUCCUCCCUGACUAUGAAGAUUGAACCGCCGACAUGGAGGAAUGAUUGACGAUGACAAUGUGUCACUACGAUCUUUUUAUGGCAAAACUUUGAAUUUAUGCAUGGCGAAACUCUGUGAUGUAAUUAAACCGUCCUCCUAAACUAGCAUAGAUCACUCUAGUUAAUUAGUUUGGGUAUGAGGAUCGCUCUAGUUAAUUAGUUUGGGUACGAGGAACUUCGUUAUUUAUGUUUACUAUAGGUUGCUUGUAUUUUGCUAAUUAUGCCUCUUUGUGUUUCUCAAGUACAUUAUGCUGCAUAUUAUCGUUGAAUUCAUCAACUGAAGAUGCAGGUACAUAGAUCAGACAUGGCGAAGGACUGCUACACCGUAUUCGUUGGGAGUGUUCCAGGAAUGUACGACCACUGGCCAGACGCUUAGGCCCAGGUGGAUAGGUACCCGGGCGCUAGCCACAGAGGGUUCGACAACAGAGCCGAAGCGGAAAAUAGUUACUUGAGGUGGACGCUCUGGCAAGAGAGGGAGCGAAACUGGUGCCUCAAGAAGUACUACAUGGUCGCACUCUUGCUCAUACUGAUCGCUCUUCUCUUCUACAACAUGGUUUAGAUAGAGAUGAUGAAACUUGUGUGUGUGCCAUGACCAUGCAGUUGCAUGUAUUCGAGAUAUGGCAUGACUUGUGUAUCCCUAUUUUCGAUAUGUCAUGAUAUUUGUGUUGGAUGAUGAUGAUGAUGGUAUGACGAGACUUCUGUAUGUGUAUGAUACGAGGAGAAUAAUGUAUGUUUAUUAUGAUAUGAUGAAACUACUAUAUAGAGCAUGCACAAAUACAUCACAAAUACGUAGAGGGGAAAUAAAUUUGUGAAAGCAGGAAUAUUAGUAGUAGCGCUGGUUUCAGCAGCAUUUGCUUUUUUGCAGCACUACAGAGAGUUAGCCGUAGCGCUACUCCUAAUCGUACUUACCAGUAGCGCUGGUCUGAGCAGCGCUACUGCUACAACUUAGCUGUAGCGCGUUAGCAGUAGCGCUGCCUCCAGUGCUAUUGUUAUAGGUAUUUCCAGCGCUGCUAGUAAUUAUUAUUAUGGACUAACAUAUCUUACAUUCGUAAGAAGUUUAUCCCCGUUACAAGGCAUUCUCUCAACAUGCAGAUUAUUCACCGCAACAUUCCCAUGUCAUCAUUGCAGUUACAGAUAACAACUACAUAUCUCUUUCUGACUAUCUGUCUCCCCAGCCCGGCAGCCCCUCUUUGGCGUCUCCACACCGCCUAAUAACCUUCCCAAUUAACUUCUUUACCCAUUGAUUUCCAUCCCAAUUCCUAUUCAUCUUCUCUAUCGAAUAAAUUCAUGAGUAACAGAUGGAGUCGCCUUUAAGCUCCCGUCUUCACCAUAAUGACUAGAAGAGCACCGGCCGCCCUCUAGUCUAGAUAGUUGCUGCCCCACCUGUCCAACCCACGAGAGCCACCCACCCUCACCCAUCCCCGGCCGCCACGCCGUCUAGACCCGCAGGUCGCUGACAGCGACAAGCGCGCCGUCGCUAGCCACCUGACCACCGGCACAACCCUUGACCAAGACAUUGCACGCGCAGCUGUCCCAAUCCAGCCACAUGCCGCCACUAGCAACUUUCCUGACCCCUUCCGCCAACCCGACCACACGCCGCGUGCCACCGCCAACAGCCUCACCCAUCCCCAGCUGCGGAUCCAGACAUGGUGAACCGACAUCGUGCAAAUCAUGCACGUGAAUAAUUAUGUUAUAAGAUACAAUCGUAUGAUAUCAAACCUUAUUAAUUUGUUUUAAGGGAUGUGGCAACACUUACUAUGAUUGUGGAAAAUGCCUACAAAAACAAACAAAAAAACAUAUGAAAGGAGUCAACGUGCCACAUGACAAAGGGAGAUGAAAUUAAGGAGUUAUGUGCCACACGAUAGAGGAAAUGAAAGUAGUCGAUGCGCCAUGGAACAAACAGAGAUGAAAGGAGUCAACACACCAUGCGACAAAUGGAGAUGAAAUGAGUCAAUGAGACAAAUGAAACUUGGAGAUUAAAUGGAUCAACACGCUAUGCGACAAAUAUAUCUCUUGAGAAUCUAAAGGUUUAGAUUUGGAGAGUUAGAUUGGAACUUAAUGAUUUAUAUUUAGGGUGACCUAGGGGCACCACUUAAGCUCGUUGAUAGAAUGAAAUUCCAGCAUGAUACAAUGAUCUACAAGAAUUAGUAUUAAAUGCAUUAUUGCUUGUUCAAUUUCAUACUACGUAACUUCCCCCCAUGUACCUUCUAAAUGGGGCAAUAGAGCAAAGUUUCGUGAGAUCAUCUUCGGUCAUUUUUUUUAAAGGAAGGGAUGAUAUCCGAUGACUUUCGUGAUGGUAUUCAUUUUUCUUUGGACGAAUCGAGAUUGUGCGAUGUCACCUCAAUUCUCAAGUAGAUUAUGAGAUACUAUAGACUGGGAUAUGGUCUCUCAAAUCUUUUUGAUAGGAAUAAAGGAAUAAGCCAUGCAUACCAUCGAUGUGUAAAAUAUCAUUACGAAAAAGGAGUCCAUGCACUGCGCAGAGUAUGACAUGCAAUGUAAAAACUAGAAAGUUUCCAUUUCCAUUGGGUGAGUCUUCUCCGAAACAAAUUCAUAAAAAGAGAAUACAGUAGUUGGACUUCAUUCGAAGCAAUGAGCGUAAGUGGUGCCUCUAGGUCUUUCUAUACAAAACUCGUUGGGUGCCAUCUGACCCUCCAAAUAUGAGGUUUUUGAUUCUCAGAACAUAUAUAGUCGCAUAGUGGGAUGAAUCCUUUCAUCUCAUUUUUCAUGUAUCGUGUUGAAUCAUUUCAUCUCCAUGUGUCAUGUGGCGUGCUGACUCCUUUCACCUGUGUUUGUCGAGUGCACUUUUGACUCCUUUCACCCCCUCCAUCGUGUGGCACAUUGACUUCUUUCAUCUCCAAUUGUUUGGUGUCACGUUAACUCCUUUCCACUAGUAGAAAACAGGGCUUUCGUUCGGGCCUGGCCAGCCCAUUAGUCCCGAUUCUGCACGAACUAGGACCCAUGGGGUGCAUUAGUCCCGGUUCGUGAGCCCAGAGGGCCGGCCGGGCCACGUGGGCCACUGGUCCCGGUUCGUCUGGACCUUUUGGUCCCGGUUCCACGCACGAACCGGGACCAAUGCGCCUCGCCCCUGGCCCAUGACCAUUAGUCCCGGUUUGUGCCACAAACCGGGACUAAAGGGUUGGUCCUUGUUGCGGUCAGAGUUUAGUCCCACCUCGCCAACCGAAGGGCGCUCACACCGGUUUAUAAGCCCGUCCCUCUCUGCCUUGUUGAGCUCCUCUCAAAAUGAAAAUAGAUGCCCUUAUACAGAGAAUUUGACCUAAAUUCAGAGUGAAUUUCUCUGAAAUUCAUAGAAAUUUCUUAUGAAUUUAGGUUGAAUUCUCUCUAUAGGCGCAUCUACGCUCAUUUUUUUAUGUUGGGGUUGGCGAUCUUUACAGACUUUUUGUGUGUUGAAUAUGCACAAUUCAAAAUCAGUCUCUGCUUUGAAUGGUUCAUUUUGAACACACAAAAAGUCUGGAGUUCAAAUAAGUUCAAGAAAAUGAAAUCCCUUUGUAACAGAUGAGUUUUCGUCCGAAACCCUGAUACUUCGAAAGAUAUUGUCCAUUUUGUUCAUGUCACAGCCCUAGCUUUGGCCUUUGCUUGUCAUUGCAUGUGCAUCCAUGCAUCAUCUUAAAUUCAAGGAAAUUUAAUUGAGGGAAUUCUCAAGCCUCAGAAAUCUUAUAAAAAAAAUGAUGACAUUAAAAUAUUUUCAAAUGAGCCCAACACAAUGUUCCUGCUAAUCAAUGAAAAUAUUGGAAAGAGCUAAAAUUCAAACCAAUAUUUUUGGAGUCUUAGAAAUAUUUAUUUUGGGCAUUUGAAAUUAAUUGAAUAACUAUUUGAAUUGGGUCUAUAUUUAUUGUAUAAUAAAUAUAUGUUCAAUAAUUCUGGAAAUUGUUGUGUGGCUUUGGAUAAGUCCACUUAGUUAGCACAAUUAUUUUCAUGAAGUUUAAAGUUGAUUUGGUGUUAAAACUAAAUUGCAAACAAACUGCAAAAAAUAGAAAAGAGAAACAAAAAUGUGAAAGGAAGAAAACUUACCUGCCCAACCAGGCCAGCCCAGCCCACCUGGCCUGUGCCAGUCGCCACCCACUCUGCUAGUAGGCAGAGGAGGGACAGUGCACGGCGCGCGCGGGCGCCACGCCACCAGGCUGCCUGCCUGCGUCGCCUUGCCACUGCGACGCCUCGCGUCUUCUCCUCGGCGCUGCCUCGCCCCCCUGGACACCACUCUCCCCCUCGUCCUCUCCCGCUAUGGCCGACGCACCCGUAAGCCGCCGCCGCCGUAGUCGACGCCACCGCCUCUCCCUAGACCCCUCGCCGUGCCUGCGAGCUCCGACUCGACGUCCUCGACCUCCUCGCUUCGCCACACGUAGCCAGACGCGCUCCUCUACCCUCACAGAGCUCGUCCCUGACCGUCCGUCUCUGGAGAUCCCCCUCGCCGCCCCGCUCAACCCCGACCUCCUCCGAGCUCUCCGUCUGCCCUGACGUGACCGCUGUGAGCUCCUGCCCAUUCUUCCCCUCUCCAUUCUCGCUCUCACAUGCCGUAGCCGCCGCGCCACUCGCACCCAUACGCGUCGCCGCCCGCGCUCGUCGCCGGUGGUGCUCCGGUGACCAUAUGGUCCCGGGCUUGUGCCCAUUGCACUCCCCGCAUCGCGUAGGAGCCGUAGGUGCUAGCGCCGCCCCGCCUAGGCCACUGCAGCAACGAGCCCGAGCUCGACCGAGCUUCGGCCGCCGCCGAUCUCGUCGCCGGCGCCACUCCGGCGACGACUCGGCCGCGCCCCCACCACGGUUGGAUGCGGACAAGCGUCCGCAUCCCAUAGCUGUGCUCCGUGAGCCAAACGGCUCUCUGUAGGCAAAUCCCACAGCGCACCGCCGCGUCUGGACUCGCCGGCGACCGCUGACCCGUUGACCGGCGUGGGUUGACCCCACUGCCCGGUUUGACUCCCCCCUCUCUCUCACUGACUUGCGGGCCCCGCCUGACUAAUUACUCUAGUUAGCACUAAUUAACUAGUUAGGUUAGUUACUAAAGUCACUGACCAGUGGGCCCUGCCUAGUUAGUUAGGGCUAACUAACUUAGUUAGUUGACUGGGUCACUGACUAGUGGGUCCCACAGGUCAGGUUUGACCCUGGGCGACCCAGUUGACCUGCUGACAACACAAUGACGUCAUGCUGACGCUGUAAUUCUUUCUGGAAGUUCGAUAAAUCUUAAAUGAUUUAUUUAUUUCAGAAAAAUAACCAAAACUUCUAAAAAUCAUAGAAAAUAAUCUAUAACUCAGAUUGAAAAGAUUUAUAUAUGAAAAAUGAUCAGAAAAAUCCAAUCUAUCCAUCUGUACCACUUGCAUGCAUGUUUGAACAACCUAAGGUUGCUGUAUAUGGCAAUUUGCAUAAUUGGCAUUUAAAUAAGCACAUAUGGAGUUUGAAUUUGAACCCUUGGUUCAAACCAACUUCAUUUAAUCUCGUUUCUAGUUGCAUUAGCUCAAACAACAACAUAUUGCCAUGUCAUGAUGAUGCAUCAUAUUGUUGCAUUGCAUUGAUUGUGUUCUUCCAUGUUUGCUGGUAUUUGUCCCCUCUCAGUUGACGAGGUUCGGACGAUGAGUUCGGUGACACUGAUGAAGAGCUAUAUUAUCUUCAGAAGUGCCAGGCAAGCAACACCCCCUUGUUCAUUCCGACACAAUCCCACUCUCUCGCUUCUGCUCUCUUUUACCGCACUAAGACAACAACGCUUCAACUGUUACAUGCUGCGGUAGUUGAACCCCUUUCCUCUGCAUGACCUGUCUUUGCCACAGUAAAUAGAUGAAACCCACUAGCAUGAGUAGGAGUUGUUUGAGCCCUGAUGUGCCUACUCAUUCAUGCUUGUUUGUCAUGCCUGCUACUUCUUAGAGUUGAGUCAGGUCUGAUUCAUCGGGGAUGAAUUGGAAUGUGGUCAACAUGUCUUCCUGUUGAGAGCUAAGUGUGUGAACACGAUUUGGUAAAGGUAGCGGUGAGAGGCCAUGUAGGAGUACAUGGUGGGUUGUCUCAUUGAAACCGUCCUCAGGAACUGAGUUCUGUGUUUGUGAUCCAUGAACAGCUACUACCAUGCAUUGGGCCCUGAAAUAUGACCCCCGCUCGACUUCCUAAACCACACUAGUCCUCUGUCCAGGAAUUGCAAGUAGUUUCUGGUGUUUGUAGUUUACUGGAGGCCGUGGACAGCGCUGACCCGCGGGGUGGGCUGUGAUGCGGUAGGUACGUGGCACGGUGUACCGGACGCCCGUUUGGUGUCUCGGGAACCCUGCACACAUCGUUCGGGGCCGUAUGUGGAAUCCUCGGCCGGGCUCCGUGCGGAUGGAACCUGGAUAGCGAUAAACCUGGACUAGAGACUUGAGUGUUUAGGUAGGUCAUGGUCUACACCCACGUCGGCUUUCGCUUGAAGUCUGCCGAGCACAUUCGUGUGCAGGCGCUAAGUGGUGGAAACAUGUAUGAAGAAGUACACCCCUGCAGGGUUAACAUCAUCUAUUCGAAUAGCCAUGUCCGCGGUAAAGGACUUCUGGGUUGCCUAUAACAGUUCAUAGGCAAGUGAAAGUGGAUACUGUAAAACUCGCAAGAUAAGAGUGAGUGCUAUGGAUGGCCUUCUCGUAGGAGACGGGAGCGGAUCCAUAGUGGUGUAUUGAUAUGGUGAAUAUGUGGACUCGUGUGCGCCACCACAAAAGAGUUACUUGCAGUCAUAGUUUAGGAUAGCCACUGAGUCAAAGCUGGCUUGCUGCAGUUAAACUCCACCACCCCCUUUGUUGAUACCGAUGCAUAUGUAGCUAGUUCUGAUGUAAGUCUUGCUGGGUACAUUUGUACUCACGUUUGCCUAUUUUUAUGUUUUGCAGAGAGACGUCAGUCUCGCUAGUAGUUCCUUGUGGACUUCGACGUUUAGCUUGAUACCUCAGCUACGAUCUUGUGCCCUCGGCAUGGUCUUGUAGAUUGUCAGGCUUCUCGGCCUUCUUCAUUUGUAGUUGUCUGUACCCAGACAUGUUAAGCUUCCGCAUGUUCUUGUUGCUUGUAUGCUCUGCAUGUUGGGGUCAUGAGACCCAUGUUUGUAAUACUUGGCUCCUCGGAGCCUAAUGAAUAAAUACUUGAGUCGUAGAGUUAUGUUGUGAUGCCAUGUUGUAUUUACACAUAUCGAGCAUAUUGUGUGUAUGAUUGAAAUGCUUGGUAUGUGUGGGAUCCGACAACCUAGUUGUUUAUCCUUGGUAGCCUCUCUUACGGGGAAAUGUAGUCUUCUGCUUCCAUGAGCCAUAGUAGUCCGCUACAGCCCGGUUCACCGGAGUCCUGCUAGCCCAGCACUACUGCUCCGGAACAGUUGACUGGCCCGCAUGUGAUUCACUUCGUUCCUGUGUCUGUCUGUUCGGAGAAAUGUCACGCGGUGACAUCCGGAGUCCUGCCUAGCCUGCUACAGCCCGGGUUCCCGGAGUCCUGUUAGCCCAGUGCUACAGCCCGGAUUCACACGCCGCUGACCGACAUGCUCGAUGUUGAUUCAUGUAUGCCUGUCCCCGUAAGUUAGUGCCCCUUUGGGUUCACGACUAGUCAUGUCGGCCCGGGUUCUCUGUCAUAUGGAUGCUAGCUACACUAUCAUAUACGUGAGCCAAAAGGCGCAAACGGUCCCGGGCCAUGGUAAGGCGACACCCGUGGGAAUACCGUGCGUGAGGCCGCAAAGUGAUAUGAGGUGUUACCGGCUAGAUCGAUGUGACUUGGAAUCGGGGUCCUGACAGCGUUGGUAUCAGAGCCUGACUGCCUGUAGGAUUACCAAGCCAAACUGGUCGAAGUUGAGUCUAGAAAUGCUUUAGCUAUAUAAGGGAAUUGAUUGUGGAAGGGAACUUAAGGCUCUUUUUACUCCUUAUACCUUAUGCCCUUCUGAUCUGAGUCAACCUCUUCCUUUCUACGGGGAUUAAGAACUAGGCUUCUCAUCUUUCUAUCAGGAUCACGUGUUACUAAUCCGUAGACUUAUAGGAUUGUUGGUUUCAAGCCCCAGUUCAGUUCCUACUACUACUGUGUGUUGACAGUUAAUCUCAGAACUUUGAUAUUAUGAUGUUGAGAGGUUAUGCCACCAUUUUGCUGGAUGUCUCAAAUCUUUUUGAGCAUUUACAACAGUUAUGCUGUCCGAGUCAUCCCAGGUUUCUAAAUAGUCUGAUGCAUUUGCAAACCCCUUCUUUCCGUCUCCGAUGUUUCUCUGGGCCAGUUUAACCACACUAUUCAGUGAGUUGAGGUACUCUGUUGUCUCAACAUAUAUGUUGGAGCUAUUAUUAUGACCCUAGGUGUCUUAGAGGAUCACCUAAUAAUCUAGCCAUGUUUUGUGUUCCCAGUGUGAUGAUUCUGGCCAUCUUUCUCGAAAGCAUCCCGUGAUGCCAUUUAGUUAGUAGGCAUUCUAUUUCUGGGUUCUUGAACCCAAGAUUCACUCUACUUACCUCAGGUUGAUAGUGUUUGCUCGUUCCUUUAGAAUAUUAGUAACCUUUGUGAUAGUCCUCGAGGUCCGUGGUAUAUCCUUCUUCCAAAUACCAUGAACUACUUAUGGCAGAAGCUCUCCUGAACCAAAAGAUCACAACCAGAGUGCUCUUGAUGAGUUCUCCAUUCUGCAUUGUGAAUCUGCCAGUCCUAUGUUUCUAUAUGGAUUAUCCGGAAGAAAUAUGUUGAGCUUUGUUCGACAUACUAAUCUAUGCAUCCACAACUCAGAAAGUUAUAUGUUCCUUUGAGUUGUCCCUCUUCAGUUGUAUCCCGACCAUCUCCUUUCAAGCGAUAGCCAAGAGUAGUCGUGCACUCGUGUUCAUCGAUGCCUAUUAUUCUUGUGGUCCGACAAGCCAUUCUAUUCUGGAAUGACUAGGAGAAACAAACUCCAGCACCUCAUCCAUUUCUUGGACUGGUCAAAGUAGUUGUAUUUCGCAGAUCAAAAUGCCAAUCCAGCUUUUGCUCUGUUCUACCUCGGAGUAUUACCCCCUUUAUGUCAGUAUUGUCAUGAGAAUUGCACCAUCUCUCAUGAAUUCUUGAUGCAGUGAUACUUCCUGCGAUCAUUUUCCAUUCCUCGGUUCCGUGUUGUUGCAACUGGAAUGCCGACAAGUGAACCAUGAUGUGUGAAACCAAUACUCCUAGCAACCGUGUUGCUUGGUAGUUAAUGGACAUGAAUAUCAUUCUUAGCGUGUUGUUUAUUGAAUCACUAUACUAGGAUUGAUCAUGCUACCUUGUUCUUAUUCUGGUGCACUCCUCGAUCUUUGAGUUCGGAUUGAAUCCCUUGCUUAUUUGAUCAUAUCGUCUUGCUUUGAAAAGCAAGAUUGUUCUCGAGCUUAGUAACAUAUCGGUGGUUCAUGAUGUUCCGAAUAUCUUCUCAGAAGUGUUACCAGGUUGUCACCUGGCCGCUAUGUUGAGUUCGUGAUCAAGUUGGUUUUCUUACAAACCACCCCUUCUCCAAGAAUAUGUGUUGGAUACUCUGAGCUAGUUGGUCAAGCUGAACAAUAAAUUGGAAAUUUUGAAGAUAAAAGCUUGUCUGACCUAGUUCAUGUUAAGGGAUAUCUUUUUGUGUGUGUGUGUUGAAGAAAGAUGAUAUCUUCAUCGAUCGGUCCUCGUGAUCAGUUGUUAGACCUAUUGUCGUAUCAAAACUUUUAUUUGAGUAUGGGUUAUCAUCAAAUCAAAUCAGAACCAACGUUGUUCAUAAUGUUGUCUUACUCUUGGUUGAUCCCUCGAGCAUACACCAUUAUAUCUUUUGGGUCUGACCAAUGCUAUCACUUGUCCACAUAAUUAUGGAAUUCCAUCUAAAUGGAAACCUGGACGAAUUGUUGUUGAGCCCAUCACCAACACUGCUACCUUCUCCAUGAUUCGUGUUGACCAUCCAGCUAGUAUUGGAAAUUUUAUAAGCAUUAUCUUCGUGUUCCAUUCAUGAAGCAUAUGUUGGAUGAAACAAGUGACUUCCUCUAAUUCACGUGCAUUUGAUGUAAGCUGCCGCCGUGAAUUCGAGAAAGCUUGUUUUUGCUUCCUCUGGAAUCAUCCCAAGUUAGUCACGCAUAUGUGCGAAGUACUCUAUGGUUUGAUAGGUUGGCCGCCUCCAUUCUAUAUGUGUUUCCUAGCACACCAAGCCACUGAUUGAUUUGUUCAAGGAGAAGAAGUUCCUUCUUAGGAUCUGGACUUAUGUAAGGGCUUCGAUAUCCUUGAUGAUGGUUCCCAACCAGAGCUCGGUAGUGUUUUGUUGUAAGACUACCAUGUGGUCAUGCUUGUCUGGGACAGCGUGUUCACAGGUUGUAGCAGAACCAGCUCAUUUUUUGGAGCUUGCUAUCGUAGCUCAUCUCCCGAGAAUCUCGCAACAUCAUCUCGUCGGUUUGUGUUGCAAACUUUCUUUUCCAGACACUUUGUCUGAAUUAUCCUGUUACCAACCAGAUUUGAAUCUCAGGCAGAUACGAUGCUUGGAACUUCUUCCAAGACCUUGAUAUAGGUUCCAGUGAAGUGGACGCACCUAGAUGGAAGCACUAUUAUUGUAGUAUCUUGAUUAAGCCAUUUGGUCACAUCCCAUGAGGAUUUCACAUGACUUAUUCUAGAAGUUGUUCCUUAUGGAUUUUGUGCUCCCGAAGUCCGACCUUUACUUGAUGGCGAUGUUGAUGUUUUCUUAAGCAUAACCAUGGUAGCUAGAACAUCAAGGAGAACAUUAGAAGCGGAGUGCUAAAUGUCUCUCGGUCGAUCAUCCAGAUUUGCUUCUUUGGCAUUGCUAAGGAAAAAUCUAAUAAAGUGUUAUCUUCCUUUGCAUCUGCAUUCUCCACCAAUAUCCAUCAUGGUGGUAUGUUGCCAGGAUCCUUGACACGGAUAUUGGUAAAACUUUGAUGAAUAUGGAAAUGCUGAAGUUCUUGAGAGCACGGGCAAGCACCCGGUGUUAUCAUCGGCACUAACUGGGAUUGCUCCCAGUUUCCUCGGUUAUGCUAUAACCUUUCAAACAGUGGAUUAACUCUCUACUGUUGAGCUUCUCCCCAGUUACUAAAAUCAUUCCAGCAUUUGCAUUUUGUUCCCAGCUUGCACCGUCAUUGUGCCGUCCUACUAUGGACUACCCUUCUCAGUAAUUACUGAUCAAGAUCAUCUUCAAGUGGUCCUACCACGGAUUCCAUCCAUUCCCGGUGAUAAGGAAAAAUCGUUCCUUGUGUUUUCUUCAACAAGGUAGUCCACAUCAUCCAUCCUAGUCCGAGUAUGUCAUUCCCUCAAACUCCGUCAAACGAUCAAAUGUGAAUUGCCUCAGGCUGGCAUAAAAAGUCUCAACGAUCUAUGUAUCAAAAGUAAUUCUUUUGCCACUUAAGUGAUGAUUCUACGAGUCACCCUCCCUGAGGUGCCCCAUUAUGGAAUCAUGUCAAUUUCACCUCGCUACUUUGAAACCCUCGUCAAAUUGUUUCUUCCAUCCGUUCCAAGGUGCGUUUUGCCUCUCAGCUCAAGAGAUGUUUCUACGUCUCAUUCUAUGGGUUGAUCCUGUGAUCAUUAAGAUGAUCCAUCAUUGUAGAGUUGUCUCUGUCGUCGUGUUGGAUGAAGAUCUCGAAAGCAAAGACGUCAAUGAAAACAUGAAGCAGUGAUUCAACAUCUUCGAGAAGGGCAGUUGGAUCAUGAAGAUCGUGUUAUUAGCUUUGUGUCUCCUCUGUCUUCCUACCUCACGUCUUGAAUCUCGGGACGAGAUUCUUGUUUAGUGGGGGUGAGUUGUCACAGCCCUAGGUUUGGCCUUUGCUUGCCAUUGCAUAUGCAUCCAUGCAUCAUCUUAAAUUCAAGGAAAUUGAAUUGAGGGAAUUCUCAAGCCUCAAAAAUCUUUUAAAAACAUGAUCAACAUUAAAAUAUUUUCAAAUGAGCCCAACAAAAUGUUCCUGCUAAUCUCUAAAAAUAUUGGAAAGAGCUAAAAUUCAAACCAAUAUUUUUGGAGUCUUAUAAAUAUUUAUUUUGGGCAUUUGAAAUUAAUUGAAUAACUAUUUGAAUUGGAUCUAUAUUUAUUAUAUAAUAAAUAUAUGUUCAAUAAUUUUGGAAAUUGUUGUGUGGCUUUGGAUAAGUCCACUUAGUUAGCACAUUUAUUUUCAUGAAGUUUAAAGUUGAUUUGGUGUUAAAACUAAAUCGCAAACAAACUGCAAAAAAUAGAAAAGAGAAACAAAAAUGUGGCCCGACUUACCGGGUGGCCCAGUUGGCCGACCCAGCCCACCUGGCCUGUGCCAGUCGUCACCCACCUCUGCCAGUAGGCAGAGGAGGGACAGCGCACGGCGCGCGCGGGGGCGCCACGCCACCAGGCUGCCUGCCUGCGCCGCCUGGCCACCGCGACGCUUCGCGUCUUCUCCUCGGCGCUGCCUCGCCCCCCUGGACACCACUCUCCCCCUCGUCCUCUCCCGCUAUGGCCGACGCGCCCGUAAGCCGCCUCCGCCGUAGUCGACGCCACCGCCUCUCCCUAGACCCCUCGCCGUGCCUGCGAGCUCCGCGUCGACGUCCUCGACCUCCUCGCUUCGCCACACGUAGCCGGACGCGCUCCUCUGCCCUCACCGACCUCGUCCCCGACCGCCCGUCGCCGGAGAUCCCCCUCGCCACCCCGCUCAACCCCGACCUCCUUCGAGCUCUCCGUCUGCCCUGACGUGACCGCUGUGAGCUCCUGCCCCUUCUCCCCCUCUCCGUUCUCGCUCUCACACGCCAUAGCCACCGCGCCACUCGCACCCGUACGCGCCGCCGCCCGCGCUCGUCGCCGGUGGUGCUCCGGUGACCAUAUGGUCCCGGGCUUGUGCCCAUUGCACUCCCCGCAUCGCGUAGGCCCGUAGGUGCUAGCGCCGCCCCGCCUAGGCCACUGCAGCAACGAGCCCGAGCUCGACCGAGCUUCGGCCGCCGCCGAGCUCGUCGCCGGCGCCACUCCGGCCACUCCCCGGUCGCGCCACCACCAUGGUUGGAUGCGGACAAGCGUCCGUAUCCCAUAGCUGUGCUCUGCGCGCCAAACGGCGCUCUGUAGGCGAAUCCCGCAGCACACCGCCGCGUCUGGACUCGCCGGCGGCUAAACGUCGGCGACCGCUGACCCGUUGACAGGCGUGGGUUGACUCCACUGCCCGGUUUGACUUCCCCUCUCUCUCACUGACUUGCAGGCCCCGCCCGACUAAUUACUCUAGUUAGCACUAAUUAACUAGUUAGGUUAGUUACUACAGUCACUGACCAGUGGGCCCUACCCAGUUAGUUAGGGCUAACUAACUUAGUUAGUUGACUGGGUCACUGACCAGUGGGUCCCACAGGUCAGGUUUGACCCUGGGCGACCCAGUUGACCUUAUGACAUCACAAUGACAUCAUGCUGACGCUGUAAUUCUUUCUGGAAGUUAAAUAAAUCUUAAAUGAUUUAUUUAUUUCAGAAAAAUAACCAAUACUUCUAAAAAUCAUAGAAAAUAAUGUAUAACUCAGAUUGAAAAGAUUUAUAUAUGAAAAAUGAUCAGAAAAAUCCAAUAUAUCCAUCUGUACCACUUGCAUGCAUGUUUGAACAACCUAAGGUUGCUGUAUGUGGCAAUUUGCAUAAUUGGCAUUUAAAUAAGCACAUAUGGAGUUUGUAUUUGAACCCUUGGUUCAAACCAACUUCAUUUAAUCUGGUUUCUAGUUGCAUUAGCUCAAACCACAACAUAUUGCCAUGUCAUGAUCAUGCAUCAUAUUGUUGCAUUGCAUUGAUUGUGUUCUUCCUUGUUUGCCAGUAUUUGUCCCCUCUCAGUAGACGAGGUUCCGACGAUGAGUUCGAUGACACCGAUGAAGAGCUAUAUUAUCUUCAGAAGUGCCAGGAAAGCAAAACCCCCUUGUUCAUUCCGAUACAAUCCCACUCUCUCGCUUCUGCUCUCAUUUACCGCAUUAAGACAACAACGCUUCAACUGUUGCAUGCUGCGGUAGUUGAACCCCUUUCCUCUGCAUGACCUGUCUUUGCCACAGUAAAUAGAUGAAACCCACUAGCAUGAGUAGGAGUUGUUUGAGCCCUGAUGUGCCUACUCAUUCAUGCUUGUUUGUCAUGCCUGCUACUGCUUAGAGUUGAGUCAGGACUGAUUCAUCGAGGAUGAAUUGGAAUGUGGUGAACAUGUCUUACUGUUGAGAGCUAAGUGUGUGAACACGAUUUGGUAAAGGUAGCGGUGAGAGGCCAUGUAGGAGUACAUGGUGGGUUGUCUCAUUGAAACCGUCCUCAGGAACUGAGUGCAUUCUGUGUUUGUGAUCCAUGAACAGCUACUACCAUGCAUUGGGCCCUGAAAUAUGACCCCGCUCGACUUCUUAACCACACUAGUCCUCUGUCCAGGAGUUGCAAGUAGUUUUUGGUGUUUGUAGUUUACUGGAGGCCGUGGACAGCGCUGAUCCGCGGGGUGGGCUGUGAUGCGGUAGGUACGUGGCACGGUGUACCGGACGCCCGUUUGGUGUCUCGGGAUCCCUGCACACAUUGUUCGGGGCCGUAUGUGGAAACCUCGGCUGGACUCCCUGCGAAUGGAACCUGGAUAGGCGAUAAACCUGGACUAGAGACUUGAGUGUUUAGGUAGGUCGUGGUCUACACCCACGUCGGCUUUCGCUUGAAGUCUGCCGAGCACAUGUCGUGUGCAGACGCUAAGUGGUGGAAACAUGUAUGAAGAAGUACACGCCUGCAGGGUUAACAUCAUCUAUUCGAAUAGCCGUGUCCGCGGUAAAGGACUUCUGGGUUGCCUAUAACAGUUCAUAGACAAGUGAAAGUGGAUACUCUAAAACUCGCAAGAUAAGCGUGAGUGCUAUGGAUGGCGUUCUCGUAGGGAGACGGGAGCAGAUCCAUAGUGGUGUAUUGAUAUGGUGAAUAUGUGGACUCGUGUGCGCCACCACAAAAGAGUUACUUGCAGUCAUAGUUUAGGAUAGCCACUGAGUCAAAGUUGGCUUGCUGCAGUUAAACUCCGCCACCCCCUUUGUUGAUACCGAUGCAUAUGUAGCUAGUUCUGAUGUAAGUCUUGCUGGGUACAUUUGUACUCAUGUUUGCCUAUUUUUAUGUUUUGCAGAGAGACGUCAGUCUCGCUAGUAGUUCUGUGUGGACUUCGACGUUUAGCUUGAUACGUCAGCUACGAUCUUGUGCCCUCGGCGGGGUCUUGUAGAUAGUCAGGCUUCUCAGCCUUCUUCAUUUGUUGUUGUCUGUACCCAGACAUGUUAAGCUUCCGCAUGUGCUUGUUGCUUGUAUGCUCUGCAUGUUGGGGUCAUGAGACCCAUGUUUGUAAUACUUGGCUCCUCGGAGCCUAAUGAAUAAAUACUGGAGUCGUAGAGUUAUGUUGUGAUGCCAUGUUCUAUUUACACAUAUCGAGCAUAUUGUGUGUAUGAUUGAAAUGCUUGGUAUGUGUGGGAUCCGACAACCUAGUUGUUUAUCCUUGGUAGCCUGUCUUAUGGGGAAAUGUAGUCUUCUGCUUCCAUGAGCCAUAGUAGUCCGCUACAGCCCGGUUCACCGGAGUCCUGCUAGCCCAGCACUACUGUUCCGGAACAGUUGACUGGCCCGCAUGUGAUUCACUUCGUUCCUGUGUUUGUCCCUUUGGGGAAAUGUCACGCGGUGACAUCCGGAGUCCUGCCUAGCCUGCUACAGCCCGGGUUCCCGGAAUCCUGUUAGCCCAGUGCUACAACACGGAUUCACACGCUGCUGACCGACAUGCUCGAUGUUGAUUCAUGUAUGCCUGUCCCUGUAAGUUAGUGCCCCUUUGGGUUCACGACUAGUCAUGUCGGCCCGGGUUCUGUGUCAUGUGGAUGCUAGCGACACUAUCAUAUACGUGAGCCAAAAGGCGCAAACGGUCCUAGGCCGUGGUAAGGCCACACCCGUGGGAAUACCGUGCGUGAGGCCGCAAAGUGAUAUGAGGUGUUACCGGCUAGAUCGAUGUGACUUGGAAUCGGGGUCCUGACAGUUCACGAAGUGCAUCCACCUUUUGCCGGGACCCUCUCAACUUUUUAGCACAUGCUAUAUGGGUGAAAUGAUGAUACCAUGCCAACUUUCAACCUUUUCAGAGUUCAUUUGAAAUGCUUUUCAAUUUUAGGGUCUUAUAGCUCAAAAUAAUUAGUAAAUGCAUGAAAAAUAACAAAUGAAGUCAAAAAGGAUUGAAAAAUGAUGAUGUGGCUUUGAAUGGUGCAUUUUGAACACACAAAAAUUCAGGAGUUCAAAUAAGUUUUAAAAAAUGAAAUCCCUUUGUAACAUACGUGUUUCCGUAUGAAAUCCUGAUACUUUCAAAGAGAUUGUCCGUUUUGUACAUGAAGUGCAUCCACCUUUUGCCGGGACCCUCUCAACUUUAUUGCACAUGCUAUGUGGAUGAAAUGAUGAUACCAUGCCAACUUUCAACCUUUUCAGAGUUCAUUUUGAAAUGCUUUUCAAUUUUAGGGUCUUAUAGCUCAAAAUAAUUAGUAAAUGCAUGAAAAAUAAGAAAUGAAGUCAGAAAGGAUUGAAAAUUGAUGAUGUGGCUUUGAAUGGUGCAUUUUGAACACACAAAAAGUCAGGAGUUCAGAUAAGUUUAAAAAAAUGAAAUCCCUUUGUAACAGAGGAGUUUCCGUAUGAAAUCUUGAUACUUCGAAAGAGAUUGUCCGUUUUGUACAUGAAGUGCAUCUAGUUUUUGCCGUAACCCUCUCAACUUUCUUGCACAUGCUAUGUGGGUGAAAUGAUGAUACCAUGCCAAUUUUCAACCUUUUUGGAGUUCAUUUGAAAUGCUUUUCAAUUUCCGGGUCUUAUACCUCAAAAAAGCAGUAAAUGCAUGAAAAAUAAUAAAAUGCAUAAAACUAUAAUAUUUGUUAUGAUCAACUAGCAAACUAAAAUCAAUUAAAAUAUUCUGUUAUGAUGAACUAAAAUAAAACUAUAAUAUUCUUCAAUAGCAAGAAGAAUCAACUAAAAAGCUUUUAUAAAAUUAUAAUAGCAAAAGGAAUCAACUAAAAAGCUUACAUAAACCUCUAGUAUUUUUGAAACUAAAAUUAUAUAAAAUUUAUGCAACUUAUAGUAACAAAGUAUUUUUUGUUCAAAACAUUAAUAGCAAAAAGAAUUAAUAGCAAAAAAAUUAACAAAAUCUGUUUUUUUAUUAAAAUAGAUAUUUAAAAUAACCUAAAAUUACCAAAUUGAGUAUAAUGAUAAAACAUAUUAAUAUUAAAUAGCAGGAAAGGGAAUCACUCAAAAUUCUAUUUUUAUAGUAAAUUUAUUCAUAAAACUAGUGAUUCACAUACAUUUGAAAAAUAAAUUUUAAAACUAAUGGCACUAACAGAACGUUUAUAAUUUUUGUGACCUAAAAGCAAAAAAGAAAUCACCAAAAAACUACAAGUAUUCAGUUUUAAGUAGAAAUAAAAAAAGAAAAAGAAAAAAAGGAAAAAAUGCCACCUACUGGACCUCCACGGCCUGAAUACGACUAGAAACCCUACAAUGGGCCAGGAUUCAGGCCCGCAGAAGGCCAAAUAGGCCCAACAGGCAUGGCAAAGUAGAGAUUAGGCCCGUAAGCCUGUAAUAGAGUGGAGCUCGAGAGGGUGGCGGCAGCAAAGCUUAUAAACCACUCUGAGACCCUCUCAACUAGCGAGGUGGGACUAAACUUCCCACCGCACCGUGCCAGCACAAGGCCUAUGGUCCCGGUUCAUGCCACCAACCGGGACCAUAGGUGGGCAUUCGUACCGGUUCGUGGCACCAACCGGUNNNNNNNNNNAUGGUCCCGGUUUGUGCCACCAACCAGGACCAUAGGCUCAGUUUCCCGCCCUUUGGGCUGCCGAAAAGAGACCUUUGGUCUCGGUCGUGGCACUAACCGGGACGAUAGGUGGGCAUUGGUACCGGUUGGUGCCACGAACCGGUACCAUUGGUUUUGCUAUAUAAGGUAUCACUUGUGAAAAUUUCACGAACUGCUCCCAUUCCCCCCGACGCCGCCAGGCCGUUCCUCGUCGUCGUCGUCGUCGCCGCCCCGAGCCCCUGCCCCGACGCCGUCGCCCCGCCCCUGACCCGCCGUCGACGUCGUCCUCGCCGUCAUCGUCGCCGGCCUCGUCGUCGUCCUCGUCACCGGCCUCGUCGCCGUCCUGCCUCGAGCCCCCAGUGAGCCCCUUCCCAUCCCGAUCUGUGCGCUCCCGCGGCUGCCGCCGCCCCCUGCGCCACGCCUCCGCCCCUGUUUUUGUAUGUUUGUAUGUAUAUGGAUGUAUGUAUGUAUGGAUGGAUAUGCAUGUAUAUGGAUGGAUGUAUGUGUAUGUGUUCAUAGUUUUUUUUGUUCAUAGUUUUUUGUUCAUAGCAUUUUUAGGCUGUAUAGUUUUAUUUUUGUUCAAUGUUUAUGGUUAGAAGAGGAGAGGAAAAACUUGUGUUGCAAAAGUUACAUUUAAGGUUAGUUGAUUUAGUGCAUUUUAGGUGAUUAGUUCUACUGUUAGUGCAUUUAAAGUUAGUUUAUUUUUAGUUGAACUAGUUGAUUAAUUAAUAAAACUACUUUUUUUACUAUAUAUAGAAGUAGUUUAUUUUUAGUAAGUACUACUUUAAAACUAGUUUAUUUUACUAUAGAAGUAGUUUAUUUUUAGCUAGGAAAUUAAUAGAACUAGUUUGUUUUUUUAGUUAAAGCAAUUAUUCCCGCAUCAACGUCGACGAUUCCUAUCCCGCAUCCUCGUCGUCGACUCGGCGGAGGAGGCCGGCUUGAUCAGAGGGGCCAUGUCCGGGACUGGGCUCCGCCGGGCUGGUUUUGGGAGGUGCUACCUUCCGGUGGGCGUAGGUUGGUGAGGAGCCAGCCCGUCGUUGACCCGAUCCUUGUUUGGUGGCGGUCGCGUGGGCCAGUGACGGUGCCGAGGCUUCCGGACACCGCGGAGGUGGUACGUCACCGUGUCAGCGAGGAGGACCAGCACGUCCGUCGCUACAUGGUUGCGUUGGAGGGCAGGUUCGACAAUACCUGGCAGGUUCUUCAGGGAUCUCACUGGAGCUAUGAUCCUAUGAUGAUUCCGUCCCUUUGGGUGUCCACCGCCCGCGCCGAUACCCGUCGGGCGCUACGGUUCUAGCUGUACUAGCGAUGCUAUAUGUAUGAUAGUAUUCGAGGUGUAUUAGUGAUAAUAUUCGACGAUGUACGGACGCAUGGAGAUGAUGUAGUUUUGCUUAUAAUUGAAUGCAUCCUAAUUUGAAUACUACUUUAUUUUGUGAUUUGAUUUUGCUUAUUGAAUGCUCAAAGUGGAAAACUACUCCUACUUUGAAUGCUAAAAUUGGAGAGCACUAUGCAAGGCGUAUGCAUAUGAUUAGUUGAUAGCUUAUAGGGUUUUUGUUUUCGCAGAAAUCUAGGAGCCCCCGGCCCCUCCAUCAUCCCCGCCGUCGUCCCCGUCACCGCCCCCUCCGACAUCGAGGUGAGACCAGCCAAAUCCUCUUUUAGAAAGAUAAUUAAACGAUAUUUCAGGUUGACUUUAAGUCUGUCGAGUCUCCACCAUAUAUGAGAGGACGAAGAAUCCCGACUGUUGUCGUGGGGGUAGCUUCUCCUUCCUUCCCGUGUGCUAGACAAUUUGGUGUAAUGCACUCGAGAAUGAAAGGAGGGAGCUACCAUCACCGACGGUCACAAAUGUCAGAGAGGAAUCAGUGAGGGAGAGUUCUACCAUAUAUAUAUAUAUAUAUAUGAGAGGACGAAGAAUCCCGACUAUUGUCGUGGGGGUCGCUUCUCCUUUGUUCCCGUGUGCUAGACAUUUUGGUGUAAUGCACUUGGGGACAAAUGGAGGAGCGACCAUCACCAACGGUCGAAUGUAUACACCACGUGAGCUGAGAGUUUUCAAGAAAAGACUCGACAAACCGAUAGUCAACCCGUGAUGAAUAAUAAUGAUCUAACUUAGUUUUUUUAGUACAUAUAUUUAAUUUUAGACGUUUAAUAUUUGAAUUAUGAACAUAGGAAAUGUCGUACUCGGACGACGAAAGUAUCCUGGGGGAGUGCGACUGGUGCCACGACGACCGAGGUCAGUGCAACAGUCCUCACCUGGACGAAGAUCGGUGCUUCAGUAUUAAGCUGGAGGAGACCUUCGAUGUUGAAACGGUACGCAACGAUGACAAGUGUUAUUUUUUCAUAAUUAAGCACGACUUCAACUAUUUCAACGUGUACUUUUCAUCUUUUACAAUUCGACUAGCUUAUCCCAUGCCAUGCAAGACGCUACGUCUUGGAGAGGAUGGGUUUUGAAGACCAUGACAGUAUGGAAACAAAGAAAAUUCACCUAAGGACCCAUCAUGAUAUAGAUUUUGAAGUAAAUCUGUAUAAUUCUGAGAGCGUAACCCAUUUUGGUUGCAAAAAUUGGGAAGCAUUUUGCAAGAUGUAUGGUUUUGAUGAGGGUAUGCUUGUCACCAUGGAUCUUGGUGAUCCUGACAUCGAGCAAGACAAUAUGGACAUUUGGGUCCUUGUUGAUACGCCUCCAAUUCUACCGCUAUGUGAGUUUCUCAAACGUAGUUAUUAGCUAAUUUAUAUUGUUCAUUUCAAAAUAGUUGACAGCUUAUUUUCAUUGACAGCUUAUUUUGAUUGUUCAAACAAUGUGCGGAACAUGGUAGACAGAACCUGCUACACCGAUGGCUCUGAGUUAACUUAUAAGGAGAAAACUCAUCUGGUCGGAUUUUGUACUGAUCUUGAGAAUUACAAUAUCUAUUGUAAAACUCCUCCACAUUAUGGUCAAUACGUGCCACUAGUGCACGUGUUGAACUACGGUAACUACUAUGGAGAUACCCUCGUAAGAUUUCUUACUAUUACGACAUCCGUGCAUCUCUUGCAUACUUCUAAAACUAGUACAUCAUUGCUAACUAUGAAGUUAUUACUAUGUUUUUCAACAGAUAAUCCCAGAGGAUUGUGUGCCUCAUUUGAUGUAUCAGAAUGGUAGGCUUGAUGUUUUGAACAUACAACCAGGUAAUCCUACGAAUCUCAACUGUCCAUACCGGAUUUCAAAAAAAGUGGAGACAUGAAAAUCAAAUAAUGGAAAAAAUGUAUGGACAGUGUAUGGACAGGCGCAAGGAGGUUCUUGGAAGCAAAAGGAAGCGAAGCGCAAAAAUUGGAGACAGGAUGAUCUCCAUUCUUCAUAAUGGAGAGUCGGAGUCUAUAUUGUUUUAUGCUAUUUUACCUUAAAGAUGGUAUUUAGGUCCUACCUAAUAUUGAUGAUCAUGUGCUAAGAACAAUUAAGUAGGGUUGGUUCGAUGACUAUGAGGAUGAUGAUCGUAUGACUUGUUAUUAAUAAUGAAUAGAAGUUGUAUGAUGAUGAUUAGUAGGACUUGUUAUUAUGAUGAUGCAUGAUGCGGGCAUGAAGAGUUAUUAUAUAUCAGUGGGUGAAAUGGACAUGGAUUGGAAUGAAGUGAAGGCAACAAGCAUGUGGUGCAUGUCGAAAGUAGUACUAAUCCAAACUUGAUCAAGUUAGGAUUAAUAUUACUUUAGACAUGCACCACAUGUUGCCUUCAUCACUUUAAUCUAAGCCAUGUUUAGGCAUAGCAGUAGCGUUGGUAAAUCAUGCACGGAAAUAAGAGAGGACAGUUCUCUCUGUUAGCUAGCUUACACAUCCUAAAUUACCCCCUAAACCCUCCCCCCUUUCAAAAAAAACAAAAACCCCAGCCACUGAAAUGCUGACGCGUGGAUGCCUUUUGGUCCCGGUUGGUGUCACCAACCGGGACCAAAGGCCCUCCUGCCUGGGCUGGCCGCAGCGGCCACGUGGAGGCCCAUCUGUCCCGGUUCGUGUAAGAACCGGGACUAAAGGGCUAGGGCAUUAGUAACGACCCUUUAGUCCCGGUUCAACAACCGGGACAAAAGGCCCUUACCAACCGGGACAGAUGACCCUUUUUCUACUAGUGUUCAUCUCCAUUGGUCUGGUUCUCCAUGAUAGUAAGCACUACUUCAUCCCACAAAUCAUAUUAAUAGGAUUUCUAAUAACAUAUUUUUGUAUUUCAUGUGCAUGAAUAACUCUCCAGCGUAAUUCCUAUGACAUCAUUCCUUUUUAAUAUUUUUCAAAAAAGAACAUGAAACUAGUAUAUGUUAACUCUUGGGCCAUAUACGUACCACAAACAGAAACAUAUUGACAGUUGACAAGAAUGGAAACAAGUUUAUUGAGGGGGAUAAUAAAAAAAUGGCAGAAACUAUCACACCUUUCCCAAAACUACACAUAUCCUUGGCAUGGACCACAAGAACUCCACUCGAUGGAUCCUUGUAUUUCUUUUCUCUCUUUGUCGUAAAUGAUAUUUCUUCUUUCUUGAACAUCUUGGCCCGACUUCAUACUCACAAAGCAUAAACAAUUAUCUUUGUGAUGUUGGAUAGAGAAUGCAAUUAUUUGGUUCGAAUUUGUGUGUUGCUCUCGCCCUAGUCUGAAACACCCUUGAACUUAUUUUUGAGAAGUGUUUUAUUUUUCAGAUAAAAGGCCCUUGCCAUAUUCUGAUUCCAGGAAGUCACAAGGCCCGAUUUGUGCAACUGAAAUCGAAGAUAAUUUCCAUCCGUUUCUUUGAUGCCUUCUUGCUUGUGAGUUGUGGUAUGCUAUGGCAGAAGUCUGGGUCCUGCCGGAGAGUGGUUAUUGCAUUCACUUGAACCCCUCCCAGACAUACAUCGAACGUGCCAUGCUGCUGCUGACCUUAUGGCGCUGUUGGCACGUCUGCAAUGAAGUGAUUCAUCACACACCACUACCCCUGGCGGAAGCAUCUAAGAGAUUUCUGGUAAGCUAACUGGACUCUAUCAUUGGGCUCAAAACUGAAUUGUGUGACGAUCCUUGCAAAGGUAAAUCUAUCAUCACGUAUCACCAAACAGUGAGAACAACAACGACAGGUCAGGUGGAUAGAUGGAGUUCGCCCCCUGCUGGGUGAGUGAAAUUAGACACUGACAGGUCCUAUAGGCGAUGAUUGUGCCGCUGGAGCGGGAAUGAUCUUACCGAAUGAUAAUGGUGCUAUCAUUUUUUCGGCAUGUAGGGCACUGUUUUCAUGUCGAGAAGCAUUGGAGGCGGAACUCUGCGCGUGUAUGGAAGGACUCUCAUUUCAAUCGAGAGAAGUGAAUUGCCAAUUAUUGUGCAGAUGGACUCCAUGGUAGUUGUGAAGCUGAUUCAGUCGCAUGAGAUAAACAGGUCUUUAUACUCUUCCAUUGUAAGAAAGAUUAGGCACUUGAUGAGCCUUCGUAGAACUUGUAUUACUCUUGUCGACUGCACUCGAAAUAAGGUUAGUGAUAAUCUAGCUAAGUUUGCAAGGGUUGAAGGAAGAACUAUGACCUGGAUUGCUUCAGGACCUUCAGCUUCUUUAGAGCUAGCUCAUGCAGAUUGUAAUGACCAUGAUAUUUGAGUAAUGCAACUUUUUACCCGCAAAAAAAUGGAAAAAGUAUAGGUAACCUAUGCACCAGAACAUUUGUUGAGAAAAGAACAAAAAAGCAAAAAACAGCAACACUGCCCGUGGUUUUGCUUUCUUCCCAUGGACCGACGGCAGAAGCAGAGGCAUUGACAUGCACAAAAUUAAUACUGGAGAUUUAGAAAUUAAAGAGUAGUAUCAAGUAGCGCAUGAACACAACCACGGGCACAAGCAGACACCAAAAUACAUGCACAAAAUUAAUACUGUAGAUUCAGAAAUUAUGAGUAGAAAUUAAGUAGCGCAUGAACAGAAUCCAAAAUCAAGCACGGGGACCACAAGACUUCCACUCCUUCCCUCGACCCCUCUCCCCCUAUAAAAGCCGCCUUGCAUCCUCCAGCCCUUCGCACAAAGCUCCUCUGAAAUCCACAUUUUGGUUCUGUUCUGCCUUGCGGCGAGGAAGUCAUUGUAAGAGGUGGGGAAGGAGGCAUCUAAUCUAAUUGAGGUUUUGGGUUCUAUUCUUAAUAAGAUGUCUGUGGGGUUUGUGUUGGUUAGUCCCCUUGUUUCUUAAUCAGUGUUUUCUUGAUGGCGUUUGAUUUGCCAGGUGGGACGAAGGAGUUCGGAAAACAACGGCCUCCAUGGGUGGGGACAAAAGGCAGAUGAUGGAGGACGCGGCGGAGGACAAGUUCCCGGAGGGGUUACGAGUCCUCGCCGUGGACGACGACUGCGUCUGCCUCAAGGUCCUAGAGAACCUCUUGCGCGGCUGCAAAUACCACGGUGAGUCUCUUGAAUCUUGAUCCCUUGUGAUGUUUUUGAUAUAUGAAUGCUCUUUGCGAUUAGAAUAAUGCUUUCUUUUUGUGCGCCAAAGUCCAUUAGAAUCGGAGCCUUGUGAUCUUUUUGUUUCUCUGCAAAUAAUGCUUUCUGCGAUGCAGCAACGACUGUGACGGAUGCCAAGACAGGGCUGAAGAUUCUCAGGGCGGGGAAGGAGAAGUUCGACGUCGUCAUCACCGACGUGCGCAUGCAGGACAUGGACGGCUUCAAGCUCCUUGAGCGCAUCCGCCUCGAGAUGGAUCUGCCCGUCAUCAGUACGUUCACUGCUCAAUUCUAAGUCCUAGUUUUAUUUUUGUGUGUAUGAGCUGACAAUUCUCUUUGAGAACGUACUUCUAAUCCUGAAUCUUGGAUAUACACUGAGAGGACAUUCAUUCCUUCGGGCAGCACGUGAGAUCCUAUAUAUUCAGCACGAUCUUAGGAAACCAAAUGCACAUGCACGCCACACUCACCGUAUUUUUAUCUUUGGGGAAAUCGAAAGAGUGGGAUCCCCUUUCAGCCCGAACCAACGGGAUCCCAUCUAACCGUUCAUCUGUCCGAUCGGAUGGCCAGUGGGCCGGGUAGUAGAGCGGAAGUGAAUCGACACAUUAGUGAAUUAGGAGGGUGCCGGAUCGCAGGAUCCCUAGUGGUAUCGGUUCCUUGCCGAACCAAGGGGAUCCUACCUAAUUGUUCAUCCAUCGAUCGAAUGGCUAGUGGGGGCCGGGGAAUGGAAGUGGACAGGGUAGGAUGUGAAUUAAGAAAUCCAAUUAACUAUUGACUUAAAUAAUUGUGUUAAUUGUCUUUAGUAUGCUAGAGAUAUGGUCAUGUGUACCAUAUAUAAUUAGAAGGAGGCAACAAGAUGUUUUUUCCCCUAUAGGAACCGGUUCUAUUUUCGAUCAAUUGAUGUCCCAAUUGCAUUAAAACAUGUCGUCUAGAUUCAAUAUAAAUUUGUUUUAGAACUUCAAUACAUAAUGCCUGAAGUGUAGAAUUCAAUACCAUCCAUACAAUAUAUAUGGUAAUCUAGCUUAGUGGGAGUAUGUGUCACUCCUAUGCAAUGUAGACCCACUACGUAUGUGUUCGGCAUGGGUGCAUUGAUGGACGUAGUUUAAUUUUGUAUGCUCUCAUUUGUAAAAAUCUAGUCGUAAGAACCAACACUAUAAUAUAUUUAUAUUUUGUGAUAUGACCAAUUUAUAUUUAGUAGUUUUCUAAACAAAUAUUAAAUGUCUAGUCAUUGCAAUCACACAAAGUAUAGAACUGCACCACACCUGUUUGCUAGGGUGGCAUGAGUAAUACAAUUGGGAAACCACUUAUGUUGUAUCUACGUUAUUAAAGGAUUACCCAUCUAUAAUCUGCUUGAGAUUCUUAGUUAAAACUACUUACUCCUGAGAAUACCUUAUAUAUUAAAGUAGGAGUGCUACUUUUAAGCAGAUAUGUUGAGUAGGUUAACCAUGUCUAGUAUCUACAAUCGUGCAGCUUUGAUGACUUUGAACUAGCACACUAAUUUGUAGUCACAUUAUUUUUGGUGGAGAUUGCAACCAAAAAUACUUAUUAUCCUACAUUGUAAUAAAAUACUUCAGAUAAUGGCGCUACUAUGUGCAUGAUUGCUUAACAAGCUCAAAACAUUGCUGGGGCCGAUCACUUUUAUCUAGUGCGCUAGAGAAACAUGGUAAACCACCAAUAAUAGUAAUUGAUCUUCAGGUUCACCAGUACUUAAUUGUGAUGAUCAGAUUUACCUAGUAAUAAUAUGGUGUUAUGAUGGGUUAGCCAUUGUGUCAUGGUUAUUUUUCUAUCGAUUAUUUAUCUUUCGUAUUAUUAAUUGAAUCUGUGAAUGUUUUUCCUUUUAGUUUGCGUUGGAAAGAAAAUUAUAUCAUUGUCAUGAUAAUUUGAAAAUCAUGUGUAAAACAUGUUUGCUUCCCCACUUGCUCGACGCAUUUGGAAAAUAUUGAAUUCUGUUUUCUGUCUAUAAGCACUAGUAUAAAAUUUUAUGUCCAGUUCAUAGAUUUUUGUGAAGUACUGAACUCCAAAGCUAAGUUAGGUCAUAUGGCAUGCAGUGCUAUCCGAAGAUUGCGACAAGAAGGCUGUGAUGAAGGGGAUAAAUCAUGGGGCGUGUGACUAUUUGGUGAAGCCAAUGCAUACCAACGAGCUAAAAAACAUAUGGCAGCAUGUUCGAAGCAAGAGAAAAUCCGAAGCAAUAAGGCACAUCAGCGGUGAUGAUGAUGACGAUCAGAGAGCACAGCUUGGGACUGCUGCCAAGAGCAAUGAUGGAGCUAAUACUGAUGAGAACAAAGAGAACACACAGGCAUCCACUACCCCGAAGAAGCCAAGAGUGCGAUGGACAAUUGAGAUGCAUACAAAGUUUAUGGAAGCUAUCAACCAGAUCGGCCUUGAUAGUAAGACACACAUUAUGUCCUUAUUAAAUGAAAAAACAUUUGUUGCUAUUUGGGAUUUUUCAUUAACAAAUUUCUGAUUACGUUACUCUAGGGGCUACUCCAAAAAAGAUUAUGGAGAUGAUGAAUGUCGAUUGCCUCACUAGGCAAAACGUAUCGAGUCAUCUACAGGUUUAUUUUCGACCCUCGUUCUUUAUUUUUCACAUGUUUGUGUUCCAUUUAUUCAUAGUCUAACAUUUUGUCGUAUAUAAGUGCGAGCUUUUAUUUUUGGGGUAACAUAUCGGUCAAAGGUUUAGUAAUGCACCUAGCAUGAAAACGUGUGUAACUUUAAUCAUGUUUGUCCUUGAAAAUGUAAGGCUUAUCUUAUAUAAAGGAUGCCCCAUACUUUUUUAUAACCCAUGCAACACUUCCUGUUAUUUUUCUUCCCACAUGUCUACCAUUACUAUCUCCCAUGAGCGUGCAUCUCACAUACACUUUUAUUUUCUCUAUUAUUAUUUCAGAAGUAUAAAUUGUACUUGAAAAGAGUCAACCCAAACCCACUUGGUGAUGCAUGUGUAAGAUGGAACGAUUUCAUGAACAUUCAGGAGAGUUUUAUGCAUAACCAUGAACAUGAAAGGUGGGGUGUGUCCUCAGGUCGCAUCGCCUCCUGGAGUCCCAACCAUUACGGUGAAGCGGGUCACUUAGGUCAGCAUAGAAACACCCAGAGCAGUAUGUCCAUGGGUUCAUUAAUCAAUGGUGCUAGAAUGCCGGUGUAUUUGGUUCCACAGACACCCUAUAUGGGAAGAUUUUCUGGCUUCAAUGAGCACAUAGUUCCAUUCAUCAUACCUGGCAACCCAAGCUCUAUACUGAUAUUGAAUGCAAAUGACAAUGUUCCAAUGGCAGCACCUCAGUUCGUUUACAGUGACCCCAUCACUACCUUAGUGGCAGGCUUCAGUGAGCAGAUGGCGCCAUUCAACAUAGAAAGCAACAUGGGCUCGGUUGGAAUGAUGUUAAAUGGCAAGUCUACACAUGGUACAGGAAGAACAUCAGUGGGAGAGGCUGCUAUGGUUAACUACGGAAGAACUAGUUCUGCACUUUCCAACCAUCAAACAGAUGGUUUCGUCCCAUUGACCGAGAUGCAUGAUGUCGGUUAUGCAUCUGGCAUUCUCCAUGUGCAAGAAGGAACAAUGGAUCAGCAAGUGCUUGGUGGUCAACUGAAUGGCAUCAAUGCCUUGUCAUCGGGUGGUAUUUCCAACCUUCUCAAUGAAGUAAGAACUUUUCUCGUUGACAUGUAUGUAGUCUAUGCAUAUGAAACUUUGAACUGAAAAGGUGUAUUUAAAUCAAACUAUCUUUCUCGCUAUAGGAUUUCAUUGGAGAGGAUGCUGUCAUGGAUGGAUAAUGACACUUAUGUUGGUUAACCUAACCUACACGCGAGAUUUUUUCGCAUGUUUGUUGGGAACUUUUAAUUGGCCAUUCCCUUGUUCUUGCACACUGUACCUUGAAACUAUGUGAAUUAUUGUAGUCUAGUUAGAAGUACAGUCGUGUCGGGGCUUCUAUUUUACUCUAGCUUUUUAAUAAGUCUGUUGUCUUUUGAGAACAAAAUGAUGUUCGGUUAUGUUAUUUCUGAUGUAACCAUUAAUUAUUGUUCUAUGUAUUAUCAAUGUGAUGUUGCAUCUUUUCCUGAGAAAACAUUUCAAGGUAAAAACAUG
Molecule: long non-coding RNA, 96456 nt
Filed under: Triticum aestivum (bread wheat)
Lineage: Eukaryota; Viridiplantae; Streptophyta; Magnoliopsida; Poales; Poaceae
Description: long non-coding RNA (TAES_LNC018533)
Source: RNAcentral